AGAGCUUCCAUUCAUCCUUGAAAUCCAUUCUAACACUCAAGAACUUCUUCGUCCUCUUCGGACCUCUUCUGUGCACCAUCAUAUGCCUCUGUGUGAAGCUAGAUGGCCCGGUGGCCAGCCGGAACAUGUUGGCGGUGCUGGUAUGGGUGUUUGCUUGGUGGCUCACGGAGGCAGUGCCCAUGCCAGUUACCUCAAUGUCCCCUCUCUUCCUCUUCCCGCUCUUCGGAAUUGCCUCUGCAGAUGAUGUUGCCCACUCUUACAUGAACGAUGUUAUUGCCCUUGUUCUUGGAAGCUCGAUUUUGGCUCUCGCCGUUGAGCAUUAUAACAUGCCCAAAAGAUUGGCCUUGAAUGUGAGUCCCCUUUUCGUUGCAAUUUUCUCAUAUUACCUCAUUCAUGUGAUUUAUGUUCACACAAUAUUAUCAUCGCCAACAAAACAAACAUAAAUAUAUUUUCAAUAAUAUUAAUAUGUGUCACAACUUGAGGUUUGGAUGCUUUAGUUUCCUAGGGUGAGAGCUGCAUUGUGCCCGAAUCCUAGCUCAUACUACGUGCUUAGGGUUUUCAAAAUAAUUUAAUUUUUGGAUUCAAGCGAUAUUAGUGAAGGACAAUCGAAAUUUGGACUUCAGGUACAUGAAUAAUUUAUGGUAAUGUUAAAUAGAUCAUCUAUUUAAAUUAAAUUUUGGAAACUAUAUGAUGUGGUUGUUGAUAAUUGAGAUAAAAUUUUUCAAUGUGCUGGAAAUACGGCUCGGUACACUAAAUGUCAUAAUAAAAUUUGUUAGAAUUUCUUUUUUCAAGUUUCCAACAAAUUGUAUUAUUAUACUUGAUUUGAUGGGUGGUGCUUGCAGUAUACUAAAAAAUCUCUCGAUGAUUGAAUUAUUACUUAAAUAUUGAUUAACGUAUUUAUUUUGUAGAAUAAUAUUAUACCCACCUCAAAUCUUAUUUCUCCAUCCACCUUAUAUUUACACCCAGCAUAAAAAAAACAAAACACGCAUAAACUCUUUUCCCACCCACCGUUACUCCCAAAAUAAUCCUAUAUAUUUCUUCUUCUAAUUUUCCUUGCUUUAAACAAAUAUACCCAACAACUCCAACUCCAAAUAUCAUAGUAGCCCCCUUCCCAGAACCGUCACUAUCAACACACCCAAAUCCCCAACCCCUCUCCCCAAAACACAUCCAGCGCCCCUCCUCACCCAAAAUCCUCGAUCGGCCUCAACGGUGAUAACGCUGAUAACAAACUAUGAAGAAGAACUUAUGAAGAACUCAAGAAAGCUUUCGACGAGAGAGAAUGUAGAGAGAGAAACUGUAUUAUCAUUAUAUCCAACUAUUACAUCAUACAUCCUUAUAAAUACAAUGACACAUAACUGACUUCUAGAGUUCCCAAUACAAUUGUGACACCUGGCAAUGUAAAACAAUACUAAUCUUUUAUCCUAACAUUCCCCCUCAAUUUUAUGCUGGCCAUUGGCUAGCAUAAGAUUGUUACAAUGAGAACUAAACAAAGGAAAACAGAGACCCUUUGUAAGAAUAUCAGCAAACUGUUCAGAUGAGUUAACAAAUUGCAACAUAAUGGUGCCUUGCUGCACUCUUUCCCGCACAAAAUGACAGUCUAUUUCUAUGUGUUUAGCUUUAGAAUGGAGAAUGGGAUUGGUUGCUAAAGCCAUGGCUGAUAUAUUGUCACAAUGGAGUAAAGGAGUUGUGGAAGGAGAUAAAGAUAGAUCCUGAAGUAACUGCUGAAUCCACACAACUUCAGCAGUGGUAGUUGCCAUUGCGCGAUAUUCUGCCUCAGUUGAAGAACGACUAACUGUAUGCUGUUUCUUGGAACUCCAGGAAAUUGGAUUAUCACCUAAAAAUACAACAAAACCAGUGGUUGACCGUCGAUCAUUGGGAUCCCCAGCCCAAUCAGCAUCUGUGUAAGCUCUUAUAUCCAAAUUACCAGGUUGAAAACACAAACCAAGAUGCAGAGAACCUUUGAGAUACCGCAGUAUGCGUUUGACAGCAACAAAGUGACUGUCAAGAGGAGAAUGCAUAAACUGACAUACCUGAUUGACAGAAUAUGCUAUAUCAGGGCGAGUGAAAGUCAAAUACUGUAAUGCCCCGACGAUACUUCUAUAAAGACCGGGAUCAUGGAAUGGAGGACUACCAUGAUUUAAGAGCUUUUGAUGUGGAUGACAGGGAGUGGUACAUGGCUUACUGUCAAACAUAUGUACCUUAUGCAGCAAGUCCCUGAUAUAUUUGGACUGAUGAACUAACAAUCCCUGAGGUUGAUACUCAAUUUGCAGCCCAAGAAAGUAGUGGAGGACCCCUAAGUCCUUCAUAUCGAACUCCCUGGUUAAUUGACUGAUCACAGACUGAACAUGUACAUCAUCAUCACCACUGAGUAUAAUAUCGUCAACAUAUAACAGCAACACAACAAGGGAAGGACCAUCACGUUUUACAUAUAAGGAAAGAUCGGCAUAAGAGGAUGUGAAGCCCAAACUGAGAAGGAAGCUCGAGAACCUUGCAUUCCAAGCACGAGGGGCUUGUUUGAGGCCAUACAAAGACCUUUCUAAUUUGCAAACAAAAUCUGGAUGAUCCUUGUCAAUAAACCCUUGUGGUUGAGACAUAUACACUUCUUCAUCUAGAAAACCAUGCAGAAACGCAUUUUUAACAUCUAAUUGCUUAAGUUUCCAGCCCUUUGUUGCAGCCAAUGAGAGCAUUAACCUAACAGUAGUAGGCUUAACCACGGGGCUGAACGUUUCAUAGUAAUCAAGGCCGGCUUCUUGAGAGAACCCCUUGGCCACUAAACGAGCCUUAUACCGAGCCACAGAUCCAUCAGGAUUUCUUUUGACUUUAUAUAUCCAUUUACAACCCACCAAGUUCUUAUGAGAUGGGAGAGGAACAAGAGUCCAUGUAUGCUGUUUAAUAAGAGCAUCCAUCUCUUCUGUCAUUGCUUGUCUCCACUGAGAUGAUCGAGCAGCAAUACUAAAAGACUGAGGUUCCUUGACAUCUUCGUGAACAACAGCAGAAAAAACCUUCUUUUUGAAAAUCCCUGACUUGGACCUUGUUUUCAUAGGAUGAGUAUUAGAACUGACUACAUAAACAUGUUGCAAAUCUGGAACUUGAGAACUUGUUACAUCAGGAUGAGACUCGGACAGCAACAAUGAAGAUGCAGAACGUGAAGCAGAAUUGUCUCCAGUAGGACCAAGAUCACCAAGUUGCUGAAAAUCGGACAGAGUAACUGAUGGGUGAGAAGAUAUGUGUGGAAAUGGUAUUGGAAUAAAUGGAGGAUGAGAAAAGGUAGUAGGAGGAGCUAGUGAAACUGGAAUUGAUGCAGAAGAGACAGUAGAACUGAAGGAUGAAGAAGACAGACCAUAUGUACUAGGGAAGACAGAUUCAUCAAACAAAACAUGCCUAGAGACAAUUAGUUUAUUAUCACUUAUAGCAUAACAAAUAUACCCCUUAUAUUGAGCAGCAUACCCCAAAAAUAUACACAUAGUGGUCUUAGGAUCAAGUUUAUUGGUUCGAUAAGGUUUUAAGGAAGGGUAACAAGCACAACCAAAAACCCUCAAGUGAUCAAGUGUAGGUGGGGAUUUAUACAACACUUCAAAUGGAGAGUGCAUCUUCAACACGGAAGUAGGUAGUCUAUUAACAAGAUAUGUACUUGUGGCACAUGCAUGAAACCAAAACUUAGAUGAAAGAGAGGCUUUUUGAAGUAAUGUAACAGCAGUUUCAACAAGAUGCCUAUUUUUCCUUUCGGCUAAACCAUUUUGCUCAGGAGUGUAUAGACAAGAUUUUUGAUGGACAAUGCCUUUGGUGGUGAGAAAGUUUUGAAAUCGAGUACUAACAUAUUCCCCUCCCCCAUCACUUUGCAAAACUUUGACAGUUGCAGAAAAAUAAUUUUGAAUAUAGGCAUGAAACUGAACAAAAAAUCUCAAAGACAGCAGCUUUAUUAUUCAUGGGAAAAAUCCAUGUAUAUCUGGUACAUUCGUCAAUAAACGACACAUAAUAGCUAUACCCUUCUAUAGACUUGGUAGGAGAUGGACCCCAUACAUCUGUGUGAAUGACCUCAAGUGGAACAAAAGAUUUGGAAGCCAUUACAGGAAAAAAAGGUAACUUGGUGAACUUGCCUUGGAGACAAGCAGUACAAGUUUGAGAUGGGGAAUUACAAGAGGAAGUAAUAGCUGACUUACUAAGAGCUACUUGUAGAACAGAAUUGGUGGGAUGACCCAAUCGACAAUGCCAAAGAGAAUCAUUUAUUUUCUGUCCAAGAAAAGCUGCAGGAUUAGUCUUUGGUGGUUUGAGAAGUGGAAGAGGAUAGACAGCUUGGUUACUCAGUCCUUGAUAGAGAACCUUGUUGGUGACCUUGUCCUGUAUACACACAGAAAACUCAUCAACAAUACACCUACAAUUGUUGUCUUUGCAUAAUUGAUACAUAGACAGUAAGUGCUGUGACAAUUGUGGAACAUGUAACACAGAAUUUAACUCGAGUGUAUGAGAAGGAGUGGAUAAGCAAGCUUGACCAAUAUAAGAAAUUUGUAAACCUUCACCAUUAGCACCAAUCACAGUUUCUGAUGAAGCAUAUGGAGUAACAGCUUGCAGAUUUGACAAAUCAGAUGUCAUAUGAUUAGUUGCUCCCGAAUCCAGCAACCAAUACUCAUGUGUGGGGGCGGAUGGUGAGAAAUUAGUGCGUGCAGUAAAAGCAGCCUGCGAAUUAUUGGGAGGAGACAUCAUUCCAUUAGGAUACUGUGAUGAAGACAUCAUAGUAGGAUGCUGCACGGGAGAUGAAAAUGAAGGUGAAGAGUGAGGAUGGGGCUGCAACUGUGAAGAAUUCUGAGAAUAUGAAUGCUGCGGAAACAUCAUAGGAGAUGAGGAGAAAGUAGACAUAGGCAGAGAUCCAGUAUUGUUCCUGUCAAAGCAAGUGGCAGCUGUGUGCCCUUUUCUGUGGCAGAUUUGGCAGCCAUUCUGAAAGCAGUUCAAAGCUACAUGGCCCUUUUUAUCACAUAUUUGACAAAUCAGCAGUGGUUGAAAAGAUUGUCCCGAAGCCAUUUGAGAUCCAGAAUUCUGAAACUGAGACUGUGACGGAAGAAAGGGUUGAGCAAAGUGUUGAUGUCCAGAAGGUUGUUGAAAACCAGUGUUAAACCUUUUCCCUUUACCCUUGUUUCGAUAGUUAGUCCCCCUGAAAUUGUUGUAAGUUCUAGAACCAGUCUGAGAAACAAAAGCAACAUGACCAUUGGGAAAUGGCAAUUGUUGAAACUGAGCCAUUGGUGAAAAUGAAGAACCACCAGUAUAUGGACCAGUAUGAGAACCCAGAUCAAAGUUUCCAGUAUAUGGACGAGAAUUGGAAGAUCCACCAGUUUCAUAAGUUGUGUUGGAAGCAUUAGCAAACAUAGCUGCCAUUAAAUGUGGUUGUUUAAGACCUUCUUCCAAAGUAGACUCAUCUGCCUUCAAUUGAGACCGAAGUUCCUUCAAGGAGACCAAACUUUCUCUGCCCCGAAUCACAGACUUAAUGGUAUUGUAGUCUGUAGGUAAUCCUCUUAAAGCCACAAUCACAAUAUCUUCAUCAGAAAUCACAACACCAGCAAUAGCUAACUGAUCCCUACAUUCUUUAAUCCUCUGCAAGUAAGCAUCAAUCGAUUCUGACCCCUUCUUAAUGUUCUGCAGAUCAAUCUUCAGUUGAACAAUACUAGUGCGAGACAUAUGAGCAAAUCUUUCUUUCAAAUGAUUCCACAUAUCACUGGAGCUUCGACAUCCAAUAACACAAGAUAAAGCAGCAGUAGAUAGUGUGGCAGUUAUCAAGGUCAUAAGAGCUUUAUCAUGAAUUUGCCAAACUUGAUAGGCAUCAGUCAGUGGAGAAUUAUGUACAAUCGACUCAUCAUCAGACUCCAACUCAGUAUAUUUCUGAGGACAAGGAAUUGUGCCAUCAAGAAAUCCCAUAAUUCCAUUCCCUUCUAGUAACAAAGAAAUCUGGAAAUUCCAAGUAACAUAAUUGGAAUCAUCCAAUUUCACAGUCACCGUGUUUCCAACACUAGGUAUAAGCGACGAAAUUGGAGAUUGAGUGAGGGCUAAUUGUGCAGCCGUAACCAUAAUGCAAGAACAAGAAUCAAUAGAUCAAGAAAGCAACAGAGAAACUGAAGGAUUUAUUUUGAAAAACAUGUUCAUUUGAAUAACAUCUAUAGCAUGCAAUUAACAAAUUAAAGGCGGAAUCAUGCUUGUAUGCAUUCAAAAACAAAACAUUACCCAUGAAAUUCAAAGCCUAGUAUUGGUGAACCAAUAAUCAACUCAAAACAAAGUGAGUUGAAAUUAAUACCUUUGUAGAUUCCUCUUUGCAUAAGCAAAGGCUAAUCACCCAAAGAGAUAGGGCCUUCAUUCCUUGCUUCUUAGAUCCAUGGAUUUGGAUGGAAGAAUAGGUUCUCCAAGUUCCCAAAAUUGAGAACCUCUAAGUCUCUUCACCAAGGUUUGAUUGUAGAAGAAAUGAGUGACCUUGGAGUAGUAGGAUUGCUAGAUGUACCCUCCAAGGUGUUGGCCUCUUUAGAGAGAAAAUGGAGAGACAAUUCUCACCCAUUUUCACCCAAAAUAAACCCUUAAUCACAUUAAUGAAUAUUUGGCUAUAAAGUUCUUUAUAUAGUCACUUCUUUAAGUGACCUAAACAACCAAAACCCUAAUUCAUCACCAUAUGGCCGGCCACCUAAGGAAUUUUGGGCUUUUGGGCUUUAAUGAAUCUUUAUUCAUUAAAUUGUCAUACAACUUAAGUUAAUGGGCUUGACGUUCGAAGCCCAUUGGGCCUUAAGGUCCAAAACUAUCCCGAGGUCUUUAACGAACUUAUUCGUUUGAUUAAUUAACAUAUUAAUUAAUCCUUGCCAUAAAUAAAUGAUUAAACCAUUUAAUCAUUCUUACUCAUUUCCGUUUAAUCUUCAAUCUCCACCUUUUAUGGUGUGCGAUCCAUUAGGUUCCUUUUAGCGAGGCAGUGGGCGAUUAAAACAAUUUUACAUCGAUUGUGAAUUGAAACAAUUUUCAAUUCUCCCUUUAGUGGUUAUACACGUAUAGGGCUUCCACAAACCAUGGUUGACGCCUAGCAGCAUGUCAUGGUUACCCAAGCUAAUCAGAAGAGGUUAGAGAACCUAUUCAGUUCGGGAUUACAAAUGCAAUACGGUCCUUCUCUAAUCUAAUACUCUUGACCACAUUGUUUGGUAUGAUAGUUUAUUUACUCAUGUCUACUAUCCAAUGUGAAUCGUUUGCUUAUAUGAUUUCCUUGAAUGUGAUUUGGAACGCAUUCCCCAAUCUCAUUCAUACUCUGGCCAGAGAUUCCAAAUCAUAUCAUAAAGUAUUCUCCCUCAACUGUUUGAAGGUUAGAGAUCCCUUGUUGCGCAUUUACUUGUCUCCAUAGCUAAGUGGCUUAACCCCAACGAUGCCGUGACACCCCUAGGGGGUGAAUUAGACAUAAUCAAAGAUUAAGGACUUAACCACAAGACAACUGUGAUGCCUCAGGUCAAAUGACUACUUUGCAUUAUCCCAACCAUGAGUUCUCAUGUGACAUGGAAUAUAAGAACUCUUCGUUGAUCACGUUCAGUGAACUCAUUCUCUUAUUGAGCACCUACGUACUUGUCUUGAUGUCACACACACCAAUGACUCGAGACUAGUCACUCUCCCUGAGAGAAGACACAGUACGUACUGAUCUUAACGGACUGUCAAUGCCCAAUUGGUAAUCCUAUGAUCAGGAACAUUUAGGAUGUGUCUACGAAAGAAUGGUCUCAUUAAUCUAACUUCAUUAGAUUGCAUUCUCCCAAUCACAUAUUCCUUGGACUUUAUCGUUUAAGCAUAUAACAUUUAUAUGAGACGGCUCAAACAAUAAUCUUUGCCCUUUAUAUGUUAAACUAGAUUAGUUUAACAUUUGAAAUGUCCGUAAAGUAUCAUCAUAUGAUUGGUUUUAGGGCACAUUUCCAACAGAAACACCUCAAGAAUCACUCAGCAAGAAGUACCACAAAACAAUAAUUGUGAUAGACAAAAUCUUGCAAAUAUCAAUACGGAGAAAUCGAAAGAAAACACCUCAAGAUGAUCACGACGGCAGCUGCAAAGAUCAACGAACAAAUCAACCGUUGACGACUACAGAACAAACAACCAACAAGAAGAAACUCCACCGACUUAGAGCACCAGACUACACGAAUCACGACACGGCAGUAGCUGCACAGAACGACGAACAGAUCAACAGUCUCCAAUGGCAGAACGAACAACCGACAAGAAGAAAUGCCACCGACUUAGGGUUUGAGAAAUCAACACUUCUCUGAAAUUGCGAACAACCAGUAAGGAUCCGAUGUCGGUCACCGGAACAACCACGACCACGACGACUACGACUACGACGACGACGACGACGAGCGGAAGCACAGGAAUCGUUAAUCACAGGUGUUAACCAUGGCAGGCGAAGAUACCAUGAUAACGCUGAUAACAAACUAUGAAGAAGAACUUAUGAAGAACUCAAGAAAGCUUUCGACGAGAGAGAAUGUAGAGAGAGAAACUGUAUUAUCAUUAUAUCCAACUAUUACAUCAUACAUCCUUAUAAAUACAAUGACACAUAACUGACUUCUAGAGUUCCCAAUACAAUUGUGACACCUGGCAAUGUAAAACAAUACUAAUCUUUUAUCCUAACAAACGGCGCGUUUGUGGAAUUGGGAGAUGGUUUUCGAGUCCCCAUUUGAUCGAGUCGGAGGAGGAUCGCAAAGGAGAUCAAUGGACGGGAUGGGCUUGCCAUUUGAGCACAGCCUCGACGUGUUUGGCAAAGGUCUCAGCCAUGGCGAGCGAGACGAUCGGUGAGAAAGCCAAUGCAUAACAGAAAGGGAGAGGAGAAAUAGAGGGGGGAGGAAGAAGGAUGAGUGUUUGGGGUUGAAGCAGUGAGGUGGGAAAUUAAAAUGGGGUGAAGUUGUGGAAGCUGAGGUCGGGGAGGGUGAUGGUUAUGAGGUUUUUCAGGUUUUAUGUUUUUUCAUGUUCAAAAAAGCUUUAAGUCCAGCUGUAUAAUAAUUGCAUAUGUGUUAACUUUUGGGUGGAAGUUAUGUCUAUGGUAAUACUGUAACUGUAUUACCGCCUUUCUUUAAUAAUUUAGGAAAAUGAAGGAUCCUUUCCUUGGAGAUCCCGAGAAUCCCGUGAUCGGGAUCAGUCAUCGUACAUUAUAUGGUCAGAAAUUAUUUUAAAAUUUUAAAAUUUAAAAUUAAAUAUAAAAUAGUACUUAAUGAAAAUUGACAGCACAAUGUACGAUAAACGGUCACGAUUACAGAAUUCCCAAGAAAAGGAUCCAGCGAGGAUCAUUUUCCAAUAAUUUAGAGUAAUGCUAGGGAGACUAAAUUUUAAAAACUAAAUAACAUGUAAGUUCAUGAUUAAUUUAUUACUUAAGGGUUGAUAAACGUGCUCAUUUCUAUUGAUGACACAUCAUUUAGUUUGCUAAUUUAAUCUCUUUAGCAUUACUCAAUAAUUUAUCCUAAUUGUGGAGGUGAAGGGGGUUGUGGCAAGAUAUGAUUGAUUGGUCUUUUAAGUAAAAUGAUUUUAUACAAAGACAAAUUUGUCAAUAAAAAUACUAUUUCAAAGUGGGUGAAGAGAUAAAACAUUGGAAUAAGCUUAGUAGUACUUAUUUUGAUUGGUGACACAUUUACAAAUUGGAUAAGUUGAUUUCCUUAGUAUUACUAGUUAACCCUUUUUAGUUUUUCCCGAACACAGAUAACCCUGGUGUUCUAUGGAGAUCCCUUGAAUCCGCCAUUGUUGCUGCUGGGAAUAUGUGGGACCGCAGUAUUCAUCAGCAUGUGGAUGCACAACUUGGCAACUGCGGUGAUGAUGAUGCCCGUAGCCACCAGCAUUCUCCGGCGGUUUCCGACGGGUCCCGACCAGUCCGUGGUUGUGAGCAACUUUUGCAAAGCCGUGAUUCUGGGGGUGUUGUACUCCAUAACCAUAGGAGGGAUGAGCACUCUAACGGGGACCGAUGUCAAUCUCAUAUUGGUUGGAAUGUGGAAGACCUAUUUCCCACAAGCAGCUCCGAUCACCUUCAGCACUUGGUUCUGUUUCGCCUUCCCUUUGGCAUUGUUGAUGUUCUUGGCUUUGCGGGGUUUGCUUUGCUGCUUGUAUUGCUCAAGGAGUUCAGGCCAGGCUCUCUCUGUUUAUUUAGACAAAGCCCAUUUGAAGGAGGAGCUCGAAUUGCUAGGUAGGAUCUCUCAAACCUAGAGCAACUUACAUGCAUUCAACAUCGAAUUGUGGUGUAUCCUAAAUCAAUCAUGCAUUAUCGUGUGUGAAAUUUUUAACGACUAAAACUGCUUCUAAAUAAAUUAGGCAAAAAAAGUUCAAACGUGUCUUUGAGGGAGUAGGACUUUUAAUAAAAAAUCAACUUGUUUAUAAUGAAAGUACUGAUAUUAAAGAGUUAAUGAGAAAAAGUGUUUCUUACAAAAGUAAUUUUGAAAAAACCAUUCUUUUUUAUAGCAAUUGUUGUGGAUACCCCAAAUGCCAUAAUAAAAUAGUUAACACAUGGUAUCACCGUAUUGGUCAUUUUUUUUUAGCUUCUGGCCCAAUGUUCAAUAUCCAAUCUUAGGGACUAGAGAACACCUUCUGUGUAAAUGUAUUUCCAAAUCAACUUACAAUUGUUGAUGCGGCAACCGGCAGGUCCAAUGGAUUUUGCUGAGAAGAUGGUACUGGCUUUGUUUUCGGUGCGUCCCCAAGUACUCAGUUUCGCAUAGUUUUUUAGUAUGGAUGUGUCCUCCAGUUAUUAUGACUAGCAUUUUCUGCAGAUGCUGAUUGUUUUGUGGAUGACAAGAAGCAUAACGGAGGAUAUUCCGGGCUGGGGAGUCCUCUUCAACGGGCAUGCCGGAGAUGGAACUGUCAGUGUGAGUAUUGACAUUUCUUCUUAUGUGUUCUAACUUUAAACACGAAAUAGCCUUAUAAACAGACCUUUCGUUGGAUCAAAUUUUCAAGUGUGACUUAAAAAUGUUUGUAGGUUAUGAUUGCAACUUUUUUGUUCACAAUUCCAAGCAAAAAGCAAAAAGGUGAGAAGUUGAUGGACUGGGAAAAAUGUGAGAAGCUACCCUGGAAUAUCAUAUUGUUACUAGGUGCUGGUUUAGCCAUAACUGACGGAGUUCGAUCCAGUGGCCUUGCUAAUAUAUUACCUGAAACCCUAGAUUUUUUGGAGGCAGUCCCAUAUGUUGCCCUUGCACCUGCUGUGUGUCUCAUAAGUAGUUCCAUCACUGAGUUGAUCAUAUCAAACAAUGCAACAACCACGCUUAUUAUUCCUCUCCUAAUUCAAAUUGCCAAACGAAUGCAUGUGCAUCCUCUCCUUCUGAUGAUUCCGGGUGGCAUUGGGGCACAAUUUGCUUUCUUGCUUCCUACGGCAACUCCUUCAAAUACUGUAGGAUUAGCCACUGGCCACAUUGAGAUCCAAGAUAUGAUCAAGAUUGGCUUGCCAUUGAAGAUUGUUGGGAUUGCUGUGUUGUCCCUUUUGAUGCCCACUCUUGGUAACAUUCCUUUUCUCUUCAUUAUUUAGCUCACUUCAAUUUUGAUCAAUUUUCAUCUUCACUAGUUAUACGUGAUGUUGUAGUUCAUAAGUAACUAUUGAGUUUUGGCUAUUGCAGGAGCUUUUGUAUUUAGGACAAGUGAACCAGUUCGGUGACUGAAAGUUCAAUAAUGUUACGAUGUCUCACAAAAUCGCAAGACAUAACAAAAAGUUGAACAUGUUUCGUUAGAGAUAGUCUUAUGAUCUCAUUCAUCUGUGAAUCUACCUGUGAUUGUGAGAUACCUAUAUGAAUUCGAAGCACGAUUUUUAAUUUACAUUUCAUAUAUGAUGUCCGUGAUGAUCAACCUUACAAAUAUGUGUGAUUAUGUACAUCAAAUCAAAUUAACUUUAAACCAAACAAAUAAAUAAAGUACAACUAAUGCAUAUAAAUUUUUGCUUAUUAUACAAGAUCACACCAUUACAUCAUCUCUAAUAAACUAACAUUACAUCCCAAGAAAAUUUAAGUUUUAACAGCACACCACAAUAUAUAUCGCACAUAAAGUUUAAGGCUAGAGUAACCAAGAUAAAUCAAUGAUCAGAGGCUUCCAUGGAGAUGGUGAUUUUCUGGGCUGUUAUUGAUCGCUACUCAUGAUCAAUUUUGCUUUCUCCGAACUCCUUGCUCUUCAACCUCGCGAGGAAGAUUUUUGAACUUUGAACAAUGGCUAAUCUCCAUGUAGCGGAGUGCAGGCAUAAUUUUCCUCACAAAUUCCACAUAGCAAGGGGGUUUAUGCUUCAUGGGAAUGUUUUCAUGCUUCAUGGUUGUUUCAAAUAUCUUACUUUACUUUAAACGUAUCUGAUUGGCAGAAAACAACAAAAGUCUUUGAAUUUGUAAAAGAUUCAUCUCUGAAAGCCGGAAUUGCAUCUCCAAUACGUUGUAUCACGUUCAACACAUAAAAAUUAAAUUGAAUAAAUAGCAUGUAGAUCAAUUCAAUAAAAUAAUAAAUUAAACAUAAAAGAAUGAUUAAAACGUAAUACUCUCCUGAUUAAAAAUCAAAAUCUCUUUAGCGCAGAGUCAAGAGCGUGUUGAUAACAUGUUGUAGGCACAAUUUGCUGAACAAUUAUGGAGGCCAGAGAGACGGGUGCGGCAUAGAGAGAGAAGAGAUAUAUAUGUAAUUGUGAGGUGCGUUAUAUUCUACUUCAUUGUGCCUUUAUUUAUAGCAGUAGGGAAUAUUAAUUCCUUAUCCCAAUAGGAUUACAACUCUAAUAGGAUAAUAUUUAGUCUAAGAGAUAUGGUAGAAUCCCAUAAGAUAUCCUAGAUAUGUUAGGAUUUACACAAUCACACUACUCACAAUAUAUCUUCUAUACAUCAAAUACAUUUCCUUGGCUCCAUUUUAUGAUGUCCAUUUCUUCAUUUCUUUGACUCCAAGAUAUCCAUCCUCAGUUACUCCUUCGUUUCCUCAUAGCUACCAAUGUACUCGCCGGCAAUCGUCCACAAAAUACCUAUGCAUUCCUUUACUUGCAUUGUGGCGGGACCAACCAGAGACCCUAGCAUGUGCCAAUCGACCUAACGUCCUCUAAUGAUGCUAACCAAUCGAUGGUUGGUCUGAUGGUAUCACUAAGAGGAUGUCAGGAAGGGACAUGCUAGGCUCUCUUGUUCGCCUUCGCACGGUGCAAGUAAGUUCAAGGAAUGCAAAGGUUCUGUGGCGACUACUUUGGUACCUAUGAGAAAAUGAGGGAGGAGCUGAUGAUGAUAACUUUCAGAUCGACGAAAAAUUCACAAAUUCGCGCAACGGGUCAAACUUUGUAAAGUUUUAGUUAUGAAUAGAAUAAUGGGCCUCCAAAUUUGUAGUGAAACGGGCCUGAUUAAAUUCGUAUGUUGGGCGUACAAAAGUAAAGCCCUAUUUUUUUAUAAGAAUUUUAACGAAAAACUUUCGGUACUGUUCACUUUAAUGAAAAACCAUAUUUUUACACUAAAAAGUCAAUCAUGAUACUAUUCACUUUACCUUUUAUUUUGUCCUUAUCGUUAAAACUCAAAGUUUUCAAACCAUUUUCAUUAGUUUCCAUUUUUUUUAACCUAAAUAAAAUCAGUCUUCCCAGCCAACGCGUGCAACUUGCUUCCAUAUUCUUACACCUCUACGCUUCUCCUCACUCCAGUCCAUCUUCUCCAUCCGACUUCGACGAAUUACAUAAAAUUUUGUGAUUGCGUACCAGCAUAAGAAUCUUCGGAUAUUUACGAUUUCUGAGUUGAGGCUGCCCAUCGGCAUCCAAUGCAACAGGUGUACACAGUGGCGGAGCCAGGAAUCUUACCACAAGGGGUCAUAGUGUAAAAGUCCAAAAAAAAAUUUAGGAUGGAAAAACAUGUUGAAAAUGAAAUCAUAGUACUUUCAUUCAUAAUUCAUAACGGAAACAAUAUUACAAGCUAUAAUUGUCCACGACGAGGUUUCAUAUUUUGAAAACGAAGCAUUAUAGCUUCAUUUUCAAUACAAGCAAAAAUAUCUCUCUCAAUAUAAACAAGCAAGCUAUCACUCAACCAUUGAUCUCCCAUUUUGUUCCUAAGUGGACCCUUAACAAUAUUCAUGACAGAAAAUGCUCUCUCCACUGAAGCAGUUGCAACUGGUAAAACUAAAGACAAUGUAAUGAGCAAAUAUACAUAAUUGAAUACUUGAUGCAUCCUUGUCUCCACCAUUUUUUUUGCAAGAUCACCAAUCCCUUUCAAUUGAGAGAAAUCACUACUGGAACGCACAUAAUGAAUAUAAAUCUCAAGUUGAUCUUCAAGUGCCAAACGAUCCUCAUCCGAAAAGUCUUGAGGAUAAAAUUGAGCAAGACGAAGUAACUUUGGUUUAUCAAAAGCUACAAAUGAAUCUUUCGGACUCAAACAUGCCAAACAAAUAAGCAACUCGGUAUUUACCUCAUUAAAGCGAUCCUCUAACUCCGUAAUUUGCUCAUCAAUGACAUAAAUAAAGAGCUCCACACGAUAAUAAUGACGAUUUGUCUUUAUUGGAGCAUUACGCCUUGACCUUCCUGGAAGUAUAAAUGCCUCUUCCAUGUUAGGAACAUCAAUAUAAUGUUUUUCACAAAAAGAAGAUACUUCAUCAACCAAUGCAUCGAACCCAUUAUUCCUCAUCCAAUGUAGCUUUUCCUUGCAUGAUUUCACUUGUUUAUACCAUAUUUAGGGUCUCGUAUUUAGACCUCGUAUAAAUACUCGAGAGACUUAAAUGUGAUUAUGUAAUAAAGGAAGGGGCAAAUAUGUAAUUAGGGGAGGAGCCCUUAUUCUAUAAAAGGGUAUCCUCACCCUCACAAACCCUAAGCCUCCUCACCCCUCUCAAAGCUCUCACUCACAGAGCUCUUUCUCUCCCUCACUUCUCAGAGAAAUAUAAUACAAUCAGUGUGGACGUAGCCCAAACCUUGGGGUGAACAACGAUAACUCUUGUGUCAUUUACAUUUUAUGCAGAUUCACGGUCGGAUUUACGUUGUACCAAGACCAUCCGGUUUUGUGCAUCAACAUUUGGCGCCGUCUGUGGGAAUCGAUACGAAAAGUUAUGUCGGUUCUUUCUCAAUUUUUUCACCUCCACCGUGAAUUUGCAAAUUCUGCAAAAACCCAGGAAACCAAGAACACCACUCUCUCUAAAAAUCCUAAGAUUCUCUCUCUAAGCCGCUACAUUUAUAGCUGCGUUAUUCACCCUCCCUUUUUUUUUUCUGGGUCUCUGUAAUUUCCACUGCAGAGUAAAACCCAGAUUUUUGGUUCUCAGAUCCAAGCUUUGGAACAGUGGUGGUCGAGUUUCAGUGUUCUCCCAGGGGAGGACCACUUGGUGUUCUCCUGUUGCUUCCUCCUCCAACUGAGACUCAUAGGCAGGAGCAAACGCUGAGCUUUUCUAACAACAAAUCAGAAGUCAGUUUUCUCAACAAAGAUGGAGACUUUGCCUACUACCAGAAGGAUACCACUCCCAUUUUCUCUCCUUACCCAAGGAAUGCAGGCCUACCAGGUUAUGGAAGCUUGAAUCUGAGCAUACAUGGGCCUUUGACUGGGCUAGAUGACCAUUCACUCAUUCUCAAUGGAUUGAGCUGGAGCACCAGGCCUCGAUAUACAAGUACAUGACUUCAAAUGUGCCUGUCCCUUCCAAUCUGCUCGUACCUCUCAAGAAACCCCCAAAUUCUGUGUAAUUUCAGCAACCCAUAAACAAAUUACUUUAAUGGCUUCCAAUGGGAAAUAUGGCUCUCACCUUUGCACUAUUUCUGAGCCAUCCCUGCCCGAGUCCCACGGCCAGCAGCAUACCCAAUACCCCCAUGGUUAUGGGCAGCCCUAACAACAACAUAAUCUGCCGUAUUUCUCUCCCCAGUACUCCCAUUGUCACGGGAAACCGUAACAUCAGCCAUAUGGGUCAUCUUUUUGCUUCGUCUACUUCAUAUGGGCAGUCGGGUUUUCCCGCAGGGACCGACCCGGCUGUGAUUAGAAGCUCUGAGAUGGUGGACAGGGACAUCGGCGGGUACAUCAACAAGCACGAUGACAUUUGGCUACAGUAGAGAUGAUGUGGGCAAGUUUCUACCUAUCUACCUUGCGGAAGGCCUUCUUCAAAGCGAUCCAUUUGAGGUCCUUGAUCAAAGAGGUGUUGGCCAGCUCAUCAAGAUGGCCACAGAAAAGGGUCGCGCAGCUAGGCCUAGCUUAAAGGUAACUGGAAAUGCAUAGAUUGGGAACAUACCAUAACAAAUUGGGAUGUCAAUUUAUAUUGAUGGCGUGUCAUAUACAGUCACAAGUGUACCAGAGGUUUAACCUCAGGACCAUUCGCCUGCCCAGUUUUUCUCUUCAAAAGUCCUACGGAUUCUCUUAGAGUUGGAACCGUCAAUUCUACCGUCGAUCCUCGCCGCGGAGGUCAGCUCGGGAAGGUUGAGCUGGCUCAAAAAACUACAUUGAUCAACCAUCCAGCACCCUCUCGUCCCGGGACAUGUCAUUUCGUAGUUCUGGAAGAUUUUACAGUGGAAGUUGCUGCCAGAGUAAGGGGUCAAUCGCCGGGGAUUCGAGCUUGGAAACAAGGCGCGUCGAAGAAGAGAUAUCCGAGAUGUUUCAGUGGCUUACAGGGGUAUGAUUGGUAAAUUCAAUAAAAGGACUGCAUCAGACAGGGAUGGGGAACAUGGGUGGGCAGAGAAGGAGUGGAGAGAUCAGAAAAAACAUGUGGGUGGUGUUGAAAAGACUGUCCAAACAGCUGUAGGAAUAUCGCCCUUAAUCAUGUAAUCAAGCGACAUAUCCAAAGCAGUUGUUCAUGGAAAAAAGCCGAGAUAGAGAAGCAAAAGCAAAUCAGAAAGAAAAAGAGAAAAGCAGUGGGAAACAGAAACAAAAGCAAAAGGAAAAACAGAAAAUGAAAAGAGAAAAGCAAAAGAUUUUUCUAUUAUUAUGAUUCUUUAUGUCUGCCAGAGACAGAGAGAGUGCAGAAGAAAAAUACUGCAAAAGUAAGGAAUAAACACCCCACCAGAAUGAUGUAAUUUAGUUUCCUUAUCUUUCGGAAACAUAUGUAUAAACCCCAUCAGAGGGUAAAGCCCAAAAUAAAUGGGCUGGAAUGUUGCGUGGAGGGCAAAGGCCCAUAAGCCCAAAAUAGCACCAACCCGGUGACUAAAAUUACAUCCAGUACUAAAAAAAUUAUUCGGCACCCUGCCGCUACUACCACCAACCAGGUGAUCAAAAGUACACCCAGUACUCCAAAAUUAUUCGGCAACUUACCGCUAUUACCACCAACUAGGUGAUGAAAUGUAUAACCCGUACUCUAAUAUCAUUUGACAACUAGCCAUUCAUGCCACCAAUUAAGUGAUGAAAUGUACAACCCGUACUCUAAUAUCAUUUGGCAACUAGCCAUUCAUGCCACCAACCAGGUGAUGAAAUGUACAACCCAUACUCUCCUUCAUGCCACCAACCAGGUGAUCAAAAGUACGCCUAGUACUCCAAAUUAUACAUGAGCAUUACUCAUGUCAUUCAUACAUAAACAUUCAUGAGCAUCACUCAUGACAAUCAUGCAUAAACAUUCAUGACCAUCAUUCAUGUCAACAUUUAUGAGCAUAACUCAUGUUAACAUUCAUGAGCAUCACUCAUGACAACAUCCAUGAGCAUCACUCAUAUCAAUCAACAUAAACAUUCAUGAGCAUCACUCAUGUCAAUCAGCUUCAAAAGCUUCAUUUACAAAAGCUCCAGCUUCGAAAGCUUCAUUUACAGAGCUCUAGCUUCAAAGCUUCACUUGCAAAGCUUUACCUACAAAGCUUCAGUGCAGGGUAUACAAAUACCGCCUCCGAACAACCGCCACUUCGGCCCAUACAUGGAUUCAAUUUGAAGUCUCCAGCCAACAGACUCUAUUGACCGAAGACUUGGGGGACUACAUUAUGUACCAUAUAUUGGGCCUCAACUGGGCCUCAUGAAAAAUACUUGGGGGACUCUAGCCCAUUAUUUAUGUAUUAAGGAGCGAGCCCUUAUUCUAUAAAAGGGACUCCCUCACUUUCAUUAAAAGAUCACCCAUGAUUUAUGUAUUGAGGAGCGAGCCCUUAUUCUAUAAAAGGGACUCCCUCACCAUCAUUAGAGAGCAACGCCACCAGCUGAGCAACCGCCUCGCCGCGAGCAUCACUCAUAACCCAUCAUUUAUGUAUUAAGGAGCGAGCCCUUAUUCUAUAAAAUGGAUUCCCUCACCUUUAAACGCCGCAAGCCGAGCCAACCAAGGCAACAUAAGCCACGAGCCGAGCAGCCUCACAGCGUGUGCUACUUCUAGUUGAGCGUCAUUUCAGAUUGAGCACUGCCUCAUAUCGAGCAUCAGUUCAAGACAACAUCUAGUUACUUCGGCCCACACAUGGACUGAAUUUCAAGUCUCCAGCCAAAAGACUCUCUUGACUGAAGACUUGGGGGACUACUGUUGAUACCAUAUUUAGGGCCUCGUAUUUAGACCUCGUAUAAAUACUCGAGAGACUUAAAUGUGAUUAUGUAAUAAAGGAAGGGGCAAAUAUGUAAUUAGGGGAGGAGCCCUUAUUCUAUAAAAGGGCAUCCUCACCCUCACAAACCCUAAGCCUCCUCACCCCUCUCAAAGCUCUCACUCAUAGAGCUCUUUCUCUCCCUCACUUCUCAGAGAAAUAUAAUACAAUCAGUGUGGACGUAGCCCAAACCUUGGGGUGAACCACGAUAACUCUUGUGUCAUUUACAUUUUAUGCAGAUUCACGGUCGGAUUUAUGUUGUACCAAGACCAUCCGGUUUUGUGCAUCAACAUCACUAAAGCCAUUGCAUUCACAAUUUCUUGAUCUUUCAUUUGCAAUGCUUGUGACAAAUCAUUUGUGAGUCCCAAUAUGACUUUCAUCAAGAAAAGGUGAAACACAAACUCAAAAGUACGUAUAUCUCUCAUUAACUUAUUUGCUUCACCCGCACUUUCAUUGGGAUUAUCAUCAAUAACCAUUUGAAGCACAUGAACCACGGAUGAAAACAUGGAAAUGAUGCUAAUCAAGGUACCAUAGUGUGAGUUCCAUCGUGUGUCACCGGCACGUUUGAGACUUGUUUCUUGAUUUAAGCCUCGCCCCGUUAUAAGACAAUCAUUUUCAAAAGCUAUCACAAGCUCUUCUUGAAGUUGCUCUCUAAGUAAAUCACGCCGCUUACAAGAUGCUCCAACAUGAUUAACCACACUAUUAGCCGUUGCAAAAAAAUAGGCAAUGUCUAUAUUCUUCUUUGCUACGGCAACAAGAGCUAGUUGAAGUUGAUGAGCAAAGCAAUGAACAUAAUAUGCACAAGGUUGUUCUUUCAAUAUCUUUGUUUUAAGGCCAUUCAACUCACCUCUCAUAUUGCUAGCACCAUCAUAACCUUGUCCUCGUAGCUUGGAAAUUCUCAAACCGUAGCGAGAAAAUAAUGUGUCAAUAACAUCCUUUAGUGAACUUGAAGUAGUGUUGGUAACAUGUUGGAUACCCACAAAUCUUUCAAUUACAUGCCCGUUGUCAUCCACAUAACGCAACACCAUAGCCAUUUGCUCUUUCACCGACACAUCACGUGCUUCAUCCACCAAUAUUGAAAAGAAUCUAUCUUUUAGACCAUCCAUGAUAGCAUCAAGUGUUUCAAGGGCACAUGAAUUCACAAUUUCUUUUUGAAUGCUAGGAGCUACUAAUCUGAGAUUCCCCGGAGCAUUUGCCAUCACAACUUCUCUAACUUUAUCAUUAUUAUCUGCAAGGAAUUGCAAUAGCUCCAAGUAAUUUCCCCUAUUGCUUGAAGUGGCACUUUCAUCAUGGCCACGAAAAGGAAGACCUUGUCGCAAUAAAAACUUAGUGCACUUGAUUGAUGCAUUCAAGCAUGUGCGAUAAGCCUUACGAGCUUGGUCAGAGUGUUUGCUCACUGCCGUUUCAAUAUGUGUAGAUUGAUUCAUCAAAUUUGUAGCAGCUUCUCUAGCCUUAUUAUGAACACUCCCAACCGGUCCAAUAUGCAUCUUAAAUCUUUCUCUCCCUUUCUUCCAAGUCUUAAAUCCAUCUCCAGUGAAAGCUUCACUACCCACUUGUGCAAAUUUGGUUUUAAAGAGAUAGCAAUAGAGACAAAAUGCCGCAUCUUUAGAUAUACUAUACUCCAACCAAUCAAACUCAUCAAACCAUUGGGGAAUGAAGCGUCGAUUAAUUCCCGACAUAUUAGUUAUUGGGAAAUUAUGACCUCUAGGUUGACAAGGUCCUUUUUGUAGAUAUGAUCUUCGGACCUCAUCUCUCAUAUUAGCAUCAUAAUCUAUUAUUCGAGUUCUCAAUCCAGGAUCCGCUUCAAGAUUACCCAAAACAUCAUCUAACUGACUUUGCCUUGAACUUGGAGUUCUUGAACUACCAACAGUAUUUGAACUAUCAACAUUAUUCGAACUACCCGAACCCGAUGAUGACUUUCUCUUAAAAAACCGUUCCAUAAUAAUUCUACAUAUACAAAAUAAUGAAAAUAAAUACUCACAAUAUAAACAAACCAUCAACAUAAUCAAAAUAAAUAUGAAUUGGAUUUCAAUUAAAUUAAAUAUCUCAUCUUGCAUUCUACAUAUACAAAAUAAUGAAAAUAAAAACUCACAAUAUAAACAAACCAUCAAUAUAAUCAAAAUAAAUAUGAAUUGAAUUUCAAUUAAAUUAAAUAUAUUCUACAUAUACAAAAUAUUCAAAAUAAAUACUCACAAUAUAAACAAACCAUCAACAUAAUCAAAAUAGGGAAAAUUAGGUUCACAUCCUUCUUUUUGUUACUUCAUUGAUUAAAAUCCUAUUCAUUUUCAAUUUUUGAUCAAGGUCCUUGGUAUUAAUAACAUCAUUAAUUAUUUGAAUAAUAAAAUAUUUUUAUUUUUAAAUAUAUUCCUGUAGUGUUAAAAAUGUUACAAUUAGUAUAUUUAUAUUUAUGGCUAAAAUUUUUAUCAUAUAUUUUUAUUUUUAGUUUGUACCAAUUUUUAAUUUGCAAAUAUUUUUUUAAUUUGUACCAAUUUUCUUUUCAUUUUUAAUUUGUACCCAUAUAUUAGUUUCUUUUUGUGCCCAUAUUUUUUAAAGUUUUAUUUGUGUUUGUACCCAUGUGUAUACCAUCACUUGACAUUGUAUAUUUAAUCAAUGAUAGAAAAAUUACAUAUGGUAUAUUUAUGUUUUAUGCCUAAACUUUGUACCAUAUAUUUAUAUUUUUAGUUUGUACCCACUUUUAAUUUGCAACAUUUUUUUUUUAAAAUUUGUAGUAUUUUCUUUUUAGUUUUAUUUUGUACCCAUUUAUUAAUUUCUUUUAGCACCUAUAUUUUUAAAAAUUCAUUUGUACUCAUAAUUUUUAAUCUUUUAUUUGUACCCUAAUUUAUUUAUGAUGUACCCAUUCUUCUUUAGUAAUGUACCACUUUGUUAUAUGUGAAAUGUACCAAUUUUUUUGUAAAAUGUACCAAUUUUUUUAACACUAUGGAUACAUUCUUUUGCCAUUUAUUAUUUCUUAUUUUUACAUAGUUUUUAUCCAUUUAUUCAAUUAAAAUGUUUGAAUUUUUUUUAUUAUAACCGUUUCUAAUAGUAUUAUAAUGAAGGAUUUUAAAUUUAUAGGAUUAUAAAUCUCAUAAAAUAUCAAACAAUUAAUUGCAAAACUAUAAGAAUAUAAAUAUUAAUAGUAAUAUAAUGAGGUGUACAAAGUCAAGGGACCUUGAUCAAACUUUGAAUACUAUUAAGGUUUUAAUCAAAGAAUGUUAAAGAUUAGGGACCGCAAUCAAAUUAUCCCAUCAAAAUAAGUAUGAAUUGGAUUUCAAUUAAAUUAAAUAUCUCAUCUUGCAUUCUACAUAUACAAAAUAAUGAAAAUAAAAACUUACUUGAAUUGUGAAAUUUCACAAUAACAAUGAGCAAAUACAAAGAGCAAAGCUGGUGGAGCAAGGGAGGAGAUGGAGUUGGAGGCACCUUAAUGGCGGCAGCAGGGGAGGAGAUGGAGUUGUGGGUUUGGGGGGGAUUGAGUUUGGAACUUAGGGUUGGAGGAGGAGAAAACAAAAGAAAUUUGGGGGGUUUUGGAAUGAAAGGCUUCGAAUCUGUGUGAAAUAGGGCUGAAAAGGACACGGUCGGUAUUUUUUUUUUGUUCAGACCUACCCAGGACACGCUGGGCAUUUUUUUUUUUGUUCAGAUCAUUUAAAAAAAAUUCCUGGGCCAAAACGACGUCGUUUUGCCCAGGUUUUAAAAAAAAACAGGCGCGCGCCUGCGCCUUCGUCUUCCUCUUGCCCAGCCGAGAGUUCUUUCGGACCUUUCGUCGAACACUUGGUGUGCAGCCAAGGGGUCGCACCAGCAGCUCCAAAGGGUCUCUAAGGUUGUUUCCAUGGCUUCCAAGAGGUCGUGCGACCCCAUUGACCCCACUGUGGAUCCGCCACUGGGUGUACAAAAUUCGUGGUCGAAGGCACCAACUUCAACUCCCGCAAAGAUUUCGUCCCUGGCGAGGUACUUGGAUUAUUUAUUCUUGGAAAAAUUAGUAUCCGGUCCCUAGUUUUUACUGUUCAUUGACUAAGACCUUAUUAGUUCUCAAAUUUUGAUUCAAGUCCCUAGCAUUAAUGUGAUAAUGAAUUUACAUGUUUAUUAUAUAAUUUUUUAAUAUAAAAAUUAGUAAUUAAUUUAGGGUUUAAUACUCACACCUCUAUUAAACUUCUAAUAAAUUUUCAAUUCAAACAUUUCCAAAAUAAUAAAAAAUUAAAUUAAAUUAAGUUUGUACCUAUUAGUUUUUUUAUAUAUAUAAAAAGAUUCUCAAUUUUUUAAUCUUAAAUGUACCCAUUCAUAUAAUUUUUCAAUUUUUUAAAUCUUAAAUGUACCCAUUCUCAAAUAUAUCAAUUUGUUAUAUGUAAAAUGUACCUUUUUUUUUAAUAUAAAAUCCAUUCAAAUUUUUUAAUUCAUGUUUAAACUCAUAUGGGUACAUUCUUUUUCGUUGAUUUGAGAAUGUAUCCAUGUUUUGGUACAAUAACUUUUUUUGUUAAUUUUGGUUAAUGUACCCAUACAUAUAUGUAUACACACACACACACAAUAUAAUAGAGAGUAUAAUAUUUAUUAUUUUUAAUCCCAUAAAUUAUGGGUUUUAUUUAAAAUCUCAUUAAUAUAAACAAUUACAAAUUUCAAUUUUGAAUUUUGAAUUAAAAAAAUAUAGUAACUUACAUUAUUACAUUAAUGUCAGGGAUCUCAAUAAAAAACCAAAAACUAACAAAGUUUCAAUCAAAGAAUGUUGAUAGCUAGGGACCACAUCCAAAGUGUCCCUUUAUUAUUCUUUAAUCUUGUUCGUCUUUUGGUUUUAGUUUUAACAUAAUACCUAAUAUGGAUAUCUCUCUCUAGGUUUUGUUUUACUUUUACAAGAAUAAAGGAGCUAGGGUUUUCUAUUUACGCAUUAUGUUUAGGGUUUAAGGUUACCGUUAAAAAAUAGAAAAUUUAGCACAAGUAUCAUCUGAACUAUUCCAGGAGUGUGCAUUUACUAUCAAACAAUUUUUUUUGACAAGCUACAACCAAUACUUCCUUUUGAGUGCUAUUUUACUUUCUUAUUUGCUAGCACAUGAUCUCUGGCAAUCCAAAGCCUAUAAAACCACUUUCACAUGAUCAUAAAUAUAUGUAGUUGACCUACCACCAAAAAGUAAAGACGAAUAAUUGAUCAGCAUAUAAAUGUUUCUCAAAUACUGUCUCUCUCAAAGUCUGAAAGAACAGACAACAAUAGUCUUUGUCCGACUGAUGAUAAUAUGAUCAUCUGAACAUACUAUGGACUGCAUACUAGAAAACAGAGAAGGAAGCUUCCCUAGUCACUCUCAUUUUCAAGCUUUUUUGUGUUACUCGACCUUUCCCUCGCGGUGAAUGAACAGAUGAAUCGAAAGAUAUACUCACGCGUGGAGAUCAUGGCUAGAGGAAAUGAAAGUGAGGCUGAAACUUGAAUGAAGAGAAAUGAAAGAAUAAGUUGUUAUCGUUGAAAAUGAAUUUUACAUUGAUGGGAGGAGGAACUUUGCAUAGACUUUUAUGGUAGAACCUCAACUUUUUCAUGAUACUAGAACAUGUUGUCCCACGUGUGAAGCCCAAUGGCCACACGAGUUUCACGUCAUCCCGUUUGUGUUUGUCCACGUGUUAGGUUUGAAAUUUGCCACACAUAAGGAGGCGUAUUGAGAAUGAAUAUCAUAUUGAUAGGAAAAUGGACCCUGCAUAUGAGCUUAUAAGUAAGUUUGUCUAUUCAUUAUAUUGCCAAUUAGUUUUAUGGUGUAACUCCAACUUUUUUCAGUUAUUCCAAAAUAAAAUCAAAUGUACAUGGCCUCACAGGAAGGAUUGAUGCCCUACUCAUACACAUGUUGACAUUUCCUGAUCCCGUGUGAGAUACUUGGAGAAGAAUCAUCAAGGCCUUGCCCAAUAUGUGUUUUAUGUCACUUUUACCAACAAAAUACGUAUCACUAAGAGAUAUGAGUUUUGAUGGUCUUAUUUUCAGUCCCACACGUUAUCUUUCGAAAUUGAGGGCAGCUGGAAUAAUUGAUCACUAGCCACCAACCAAUUUUAAGAAAACUAAAGGAAAAGAAGUAAAAAGGCCAAAAGAAGAGGACCAUACAUAUUAAUUAUACCCUACCUUAGUGAUUGUGUUUGAUUGAACAUUAUUGCUCUUAAAAUGGCAAUUUUAUCCUCUCGAUCGAUAGAAACCACAAAGUUGGAUAGCUACAAUGUGUGUUCCACGAGGCAAUUAUGAGUUUUAAAUUUUAUUUUUUGUGAUUAUCUCGACGUAAGGAUUUUAAAACUAGAAAACAUUAAACUUACUGCAAAUUAUAAUACCAUUUAAAUCCCUAGAUUUAGGAUUGCUCCAGCUAAAUCGACCUCUAAGUUAUGAUUAUUAUUUGAGCAGUAGAUUACACCGAACUUUAGAGACCAACUUCUAGAGGUUGAUAUGUAUUAUUUUUACGUGUCGUGAUCGGAUUAUACUAAUAGAAAAAUAAGCACGUUAAAUAGUAAUAAUUCAAUCAUCAUCAUGUCAUAUAAUUUAAAUUGAUAAUCUAUUUAGCAUUAUCUUAAAAAAUGCUCCAAUACUACCUGUAGGAAUAGGAUCCUCUCUGGAUCUUUUUUUGUGGGAAUCAGAAUGAUAAAUCAAUCGUGUCCAUUUAUCGUAUAUCGUUCGUUUAUAGUUAUUAAUAAAAACUGACCGCACAAUAUUAAUUGAUUCCUUAAUUCCCACAAAAAUGAUCGGAAAGGAUCCUUGUCCCUACCUGUAAGCUUAAUCUUCAGUGAAAAAAUGAAUUUGGGUCUGCCACGUGUACAGACAGAUCAUUUCGAGGUCAAGAAAACAAUAUAAAAAUCAAACUAAUUGUGAACAAGCUUCUCCAUCCUUCCACCGAACCAUUCCUGAGUGUUCAUUGUUUUUUGACAUUGACAUGUUUCAUACCACAUGGUUUAUAGUACAAUCAUUCAGAUGAUAGCCUGGCUGGACCUUGCAUUAUUAUCAAGUUCAAUGGUUGUGGCAAUUUGUAGUCCCUUUCUGCACACGUGGCCUCUUUGCCCACACUAAAUUUGAAUGAGAGGUCAUCUAUUAGAAAAUGUCACACUUUGCCAUGUUCUUGGAUAAAAAUUUUGCUAACUCUUAGCGAAUAAAUGACAAUAAGUAGCAAUGUCCAAUUUAAUUAGCAAUAUCAAAAUGAAAGCCAAACUUGUUUACUACUACUUUAGUGAUGAAUGAGUCAAAAACUUCUAACACACAAGUUAUAUUAUUCAAAGCUCAUACAAAUAUGAUCUACAAUACUUACGUGUGACAUUAUAUAUAAAAAGAAAGAUAAAUUGCUUCCAAAAAAAAAAAAUUAAAAGAUAAAUUUAUCUACCAUGUUAUAUGUUUUAAGAAACGAUAUUUUAAAACACUUUAAUUUAAAAAAUUUAUUUGUAUUAGAGUGUGUAUCAGUAACAUGAACCAUUUGUAAGUCUAAAUGGCAUUACUCUAUAAAAACAAAAAGACUCAAACUCAAAGACAAAAAGACGGACACACUAUAUCGGCCCACCAAUUAACCUUACUUCCUUGUAUGCAUAACUAGAUAGAAAAGCCUUACUUCUUUGUAUACAAAACCAAAUAUAAAAGCACCAUUUCCUCGCAUUAUAUAACCAAGUGAUUUCCGUCAUCCAAUCCAACAUCAAUAGCAUGGAUAAUCAUCCAAUAUCCGAAGACCCCAAAACUCCACUUCUCCCUCUCCACGAUCAAAUCCAACGGUCGCAGAGCUUCCAUUCAUCCUUGAAAUCAAUUCUAACACUCAAGAACUUCUUCGUCCUCCUCGGACCUCUUCUGUGCACCAUUAUAUGCCUCUGUGUGAAGCUAGAUGGCCCGGUGGCCAGCCGGAACAUGUUGGCGGUGCUGGUGUGGGUGUUUGCUUGGUGGCUCACGGAGGCCGUGCCCAUGCCAAUUACCUCCAUGUCCCCACUCUUUCUCUUCCCUCUCUUCGGAAUUGCCUCUGCAGAUGAUGUUGCCCACUCUUACAUGGAUGAUGUUAUUGCCCUUCUUCUUGGAAGCUUUAUAUUGGCUCUUGCUGUUGAGCAUUACAACAUCCACAGAAGAUUGGCCUUGAAUGUGAGUUUCUCUAGCUACUAUGUUUCUCUGCUAAGAUGGAUCACCUUAAUGGUUAUUUAUGCUAUGAUUGUUAUGCUUAAUGGUUAUUUUAGUACAAGCGCACAGAUACAUGAGAAAAAGAAAGAAAGGGACCAAAUGGCAAACAUUUUACUUCUCUCUUCAUUCACAAUUUCCCUCUGUUAUGUUUGCAUUCCUUGUUUGGUAGAAAGCUAUUGCAGCCAUAUUAUAUUACAUAUAAUAAUUUUAAAUUUGGUUUGUCCGGAAAUUCAUUGGAUUAGAUUUGAGAAAUCUGUCAUUUACUAGUUAGUUCACUAACUAAUCCCAUAGAUAUAAUAAUAAGGAGUUUUAACGAAAAGUCCGUAAUACUGUUCAUUUUAACGAAAAACUACAUUUUUACAUUAAAAUGUCAAUUAUGAUACUAUUUACUUUACCCAUUAUUUUGUUUUUAUUGUUCAAACUCAAAGUUUUAAAGUUAUUUUCAUUAAUUUUCUUUAUAUAAUAUCCUAUCGAAAUUCUAAAUAUUGCAAAAAAUAUAUCUGACUAUUUUUUCUUCCUAAAUUAAUGCACUUUUGUCCAAGAAUACGGAAAUGCAAGAGAGGAGCGUCAAUGACGCUUCCCUAAUCCAUGGUAAAUGUAACGUUAGAAAGGAAACGUGAAUUUGAAUUCUCAUACAUUUCAUUCCAAAAUCAACAAGAAUCAAAUGGAUAGUCCUCCCUCCAAUGACCCCAAAAUCCCACUUCUCCCACUUGAUGAUCCAAAUCCAAACCAUAACUCACAAAUCAACUACCCUUCUUCACUGGAAUCCAUUCUAACAUCCAAGAACUUGUCCAUCCUCCUGGGUCCUCUUUUGAGCACCGUUAUUUGCCUCUGUGUCAACUUAGAUGGCACCAUCGCUAGCCGGAAUAUGUUGGCAGUGCUUGCCUGGGUGUUUGCUUGGUGGCUCACAGAGGCCGUGCCGAUGCCAGUUACCUCAAUGGCCCCUCUCUUCCUCUUCCCGCUCUUCGGAAUUACCUCUGCAGAUGAUGUUGCCCACUCUUACAUGAACGAUGUUAUUGCCCUUGUUCUUGGAAGCUUUAUUUUGGCUCUCGCCGUUGAGCAGUAUAACAUACACAAAAGAUUGGCCUUGAAUGUGAGUCCUCUUUUCAUUGUUGUUUUCUCAUAUUAACCCAUUUAUGUGAUACAUCGUUCACAGAAUAUUAUUGACGUCAAUAAAGCAAACAUAAAUAUAUUUUCGACAACAUUAAUAUAUGUCACAACUUGAGAAUUGAGUGCCUUAGUGUCUGAACCCUACUAGGGUGAGAGCCACAUUGUGCUCGAACCCUGUCGCACACUAUCCGCUUAGGGUUUUCAAAAUAAUUUUGUUUUGGGAUUCAAGCGAUACUAAUGAAGAAGAAUCGAACUUUGGACUUCAAGUACAAAAAUAAUUUAUGGUAAUGCUAAAGAGACAAUUUAUUUAAGCUAAAUUUUGGAGGCUAUAUGGUGUGGUUGUUGAUGAUUGAGAGAAAAAUUUUAAUGUGCCGGAAAUACGACUCGGUACACCAAGUGUUAUAAUAAAAUUGGUUGGAUUUUCUUUUUUCAAGUUUCCAACAAAGUGUAUUAUUACACUUGGUUUGUUGGGCAGUGUUUGCAGCACACAGAAAAAUCUCUCGACGUUUGAUUAUUACUUAAAAAGUAAUGCUAUGGAAACUCAAUUUGUAAACUAAAUUAGCAAAUCAAAUGAUCUAUCACUAAUAAAAAUGAGUUAUCAAUAAUUAAGUAAUAAUUCAAUCAUCAACUUACAUGUCAUUUAAUUUACAAAAUUUAGUCUACAAAUUGUUCUUACUUAAAUAUUGAUUCACGUAUUGGUGGAACACUUACAAAUUGGACAAGUUGAUUUACCUAGUAUUACUAGUUAACCCUUUUUUUAUCCCGAACACAGAUAACCCUGGUGUUCUGCGGAGAUCCCUUGAAUCCGCCAUUGCUGCUGCUGGGAAUAUGUGGGACCGCAGCAUUCAUCAGCAUGUGGAUGCACAACGUGGCAACUGCGGUGAUGAUGAUGCCCGUAGCCACCGGCAUUCUCCGGCGGUUUCCAACGGGUCCCGACCAGUCCGUGGUUGCGAGCAACUUUUGCAAAGCCGUGAUUCUGGGGAUGUUGUACUCCAUAACCAUAGGAGGGAUGAGCACUCUGACGGGGACAGGUGUCAAUCUCAUAUUGGUUGGAAUGUGGAAGAGCUAUUUCCCACAAGCAGCUCCGAUCACCUUCAGCACCUGGUUCUGUUUCGCCUUCCCUUCGGCAUUGUUGAUGUUCUUGGCGCUGUGGGCUUUGCUUUGCUACUUGUAUUGCUCAAGGAGUUCAGGCCAGGCUCUCUCUGUUUAUUUAGACAAAGCCCAUUUGAAGAAGGAGCUCGAAUUGCUAGGUAGGAGCCCUCAAACUUAGAGCAACUUACAUACAAUCAGCAUCGAAUUGUGGUGUAUCAUAAAUCAAUCACACAUUGUCGUGUGUGAAUUUUUUGACAACUAAAAUUGCUUCUAACUAAAUUAGACAAAAAAAGUUCAAAUGUGUUUUUGAGGGAGUAGGACUUUUAAUAAAAAAUCAACGUGUUUCUCAUGAAAGUACUGAUAUUAAAACGUUGAUGAGAAAAAGUGUUUCUUACAAAAACAAUUUCGAAAAAAUUACUCUUUUUUAUGGCAAUUGUUGUGAAUACCCCAAAUGCCAUAAUAAAAUAGGUAACACAUGGUAUCACCGUAUUAGUCAUGUUCUUUUCGGCUUUUGGCCCAAUGUUCAGUAUCCAAUCUUAGGCACUAGAGAACACCUUCUGUGUAAUUGUAUUUCCAAAUCAACUUACAAGUGUUGAUGCGGCAACCGGCAGGUCCAAUGGCUUUUGCUGAGAAGAUGGUACUGGCUUUGUUUUCGGUGCGUCCCCAAGUACUCAGUUUCGCAUAGUUUUUUAGUAUGGAUGUGUCCUCCAAUUAUUAUGACUAGCAUUUUCUGCAGAUGCUGAUUGUUUUGUGGAUGACAAGAAGCAUAACGGAGGAUAUUCCGGGCUGGGGAGUCCUCUUCAACGGGCGUGCCGGAGAUGGAACUGUCAGUGUGAGUAUGGACCUUUCUUCUUAUGUGUUCUAACUUUAAACACGAAAUAGCCUUACAAACAGACCUUUCCGUUGGAUCAAAUUUUCAAGUGUGACUUGAAAUGUUUGUAGGUUAUGGUUGCAACAUUUUUGUUCAUAUUUCCAAGCAAAAAGGAAAAGGGUGAGAAGUUGAUGGACUGGGAAAAAUGCAAGAAGCUACCCUGGAAUAUCAUAUUGUUACUAGGUGCUGGUUUAGCCAUAGCUGACGGAGUUCGAUCCAGUGGCCUUGCUAAUAUAUUAUCUGAAACCCUAGAUUUUUUGGAGGCAGUCCCAUAUGUUGCCAUUGCACCUGCUGUGUGUCUCAUAAGUAGUUCCAUCACUGAGUUGAUCACAUCAAACAAUGCGACAACCACGCUUAUUAUUCCUCUCCUAAUUCAAAUUGCCAGAAAUAUGCAUGUGCAUCCUCUCCUUCUGAUGAUUCCGGGUGGCAUUGGAGCACAAUUUGCUUUCUUGCUUCCUACGGCAACUCCUUCAAAUACCGUAGGAUUUGCCACUGGCCGCAUUGAAAUCCAAGAUAUGAUCAAGAUUGGCUUGCCAUUGAAGAUUGUUGGGAUUGCUGUGUUGUCCCUUUUGAUGCCCACUCUCGGUAACUUUCCUUUUCUCUUCAUUAUUUAGCUCACUUCAAUUUUGAUCAAUUUUCAUCUUCAUUACAUGGUGUUGUGUUCACAAGUAACUAUUGUGUUUUGGCUAUUGCAGGAGCUUAUGUAUUUAAGACAAGUGAACCAGUUUAAUGACUUGAAAGUUCAGAAAUGUUUCGGUGUCUCGCAAAAUUCUAGGGCAUAAAAAAAAUUAGAACAUAUUUCAUUAGCGAUAGUCUUAUGAUCACUUUCAUAUGUGAAUUAGUGACUGUGAGAUACCUAUAUGAAUUCAAAACACAACUUUAAAUUACAUUUUAUAUAUGAACUCCACGAUGGUCAACCUUAUAAACAUGAGUGAAUAUGUAUGCAUAUACAUUUUUGCUUAUUAUACAAGAUCACAUCACCACAUCAUCUCUAAUAAAACAUUACAUCCCAAGCAAAUUUAAGUUUUAACAGCACACCAAUAUAUAACUCGCACACGAAGUUCAAGGCUAGAGUAACCAAGAUAAACCAAUGAUCGGAGGCUUCCAUGGAGAUGGUGAUUUUCUGGGCUCUUAUUGAUCACUCCAUACUGAUCAACUUUGCUUUUGUCCAAACUCCUCGCUGGUCAACCGAGCAGGGAAAAUUUUUGAACUUGAAACAACUGCUAAUCUCCAUGUAGCUAAGUGCAGGCAAAAUUUUCCUCAAGUUCUCCCAAUCUUCCUCAAAGCCCAGAAACUUCAAACACAAACCCUCAACAUUUUUCCAAGUGGACUGAUCACUGGUCAGUCUCACAAUGUCACAAUUCUCGACACAGAGAUACUGCAAUCUAGAAAGCUUGGCAGGAUGAAACCAGUUGGGCAUUGUUUUGGAAUGAUAAUUCCUUACAUACAGCUCCCUGAGAUUUGGAGGCAUCUGAAGAUUGUCUAACUCACUCAAAGUUUUAUUUUCUUUACAUUCUUCAGCAUCAAUGGUAAGAACCUUGAGAAACCUGAGGCUUGAUAGGAUGCCUAUUUCAUCUUGGGAGAUUUCAGCGUCAGCACUUAGGACAAUUCGAAGAACUCUUAGCUCCUUUAGUUCUUUGAGCUCACGAAGGGCGCAACCUUGUGUUUUGGCCGGAUUCACCACCUUGAAUCCGGUGAGUUCUUGUAGAAGACGGAGGCUCCCUAGACCCUUGGGUAGGCAAUCAAGGGGACAAUCUCCAAGGUCCAAGACAAUGAGCCUCUUCAAAUAUUUGAUUGAUGGGUGUAUUUUGACUAGCUUUUUGCAUCCUUUCAACACCAAAAGCUGGAGGUUAAGCAGUUUCUGAAUUGAAGAUGUGACUUCCCGUAUCUGAGUUCCACUCAAGUUUAGACAUGCUAAGCGUUUGAGAGAACUGAUAUAGCUGAAGAGAUCCUCAGCGCACGUCACUGUUAAAUAAAACAUGUGACACGUGAGACGGAAUAUUUUGUUUUGUUUCGUUUUUUGUUUUUGUUUGUGGAAAAUGAUUUCUACACGUCUCUUCUUAUUAUACACACUCGUGUUUAUUUUUUCCUUUGAUUUAUUAUAUCCAAAGGUCGUAAAUAAAGUAGGUGUGCAUAAAGGAAGAAAAGACGCGUGUGAUAAUCAUUUUUUAUGCACAAACAUCACAUACACAAGUGUACACACUCAAUAGAUCGAAAUUAGAAAGCAUGAUGAAGAAUUUAAAGUGCGUUCUACCUGGAGACGGGCUGCUGCUAUCUUCGACAACUUUAGAGUACGACAAGUCCAACACCCUGAGGGACUCCAGGAACCUAAAAUUCUUGCCAAAGUUAUUAGGAGGGCUUGACAUGAGAAAAAAUGUCCUCAACUUUGGAUUAUCUUCUAGUUCCUUCUCGUCAUCAUCCAUGUCUUCGCUGAUACGGAACCAUCGUGGCUUUUGCUCAUUUUGCUCAUGUUUCUGCAUUAGCUUUCCUUGCUCAUUGAAGAUGCAAAAUGCCUCCUCUCCCGCAAUCUUGAUAAUUACCUCCCGCACCAUAUCGUGUAUCUUGCACUUAUAAACUUUCCCAUCGUACCAUCGCCGAUCCACUACUUCCAGCAGGCUUCUGUUCACUAAUUCUGCGAGAUAUUCAAAUCCCAAUUCUAUAGCUGUUGUUGAGCCCUUUUCCCGGACGAUGCCCUCCCCAAUCCACCAGUGAAUUAACUGUUCCGCAUCUAUCUCAAAGUCUUCAGGAUAAAUGGAGAGACACAAUAGGCAUUGCUUGAGACUGGUAUGCGGAAGUUCAUCAUAGCUUAACUGCAGAGAGUCGAUGACAGAGUCAGUUUUUCCUUUUUUUGUGAGUUCAUGGAAUUUGUCCGAAAUGUCUGUCCAUUCUGAAGGAGAACCAACCUUCUCAGACAAUAAGCUUCCUAAAGUCUUUAUUGCCAGAGGAAGGCCACCACAUUUCUUCAAGAUAUGCACUGAGACAUCUUUAUAAUGCUCACUAGGGCAUUUUCCAUUGCUUUUUCGAAAUGCAUAUUCACUGAAUAAAUCCCAGCUGUCUUCGUUCUCUAGAGGUUUAUGGUGAUGAAUUUGUGUGUUUCUAAGAACCAUUUUUUGGGCAACGUCUUCAAUCCUGGUGGUAAUAAUGAUGCAGCUGGAUUUACCAACUGAUGUUGGUAGCUGGGAGCACAGGUCUUUCAACCAAUCUGAUUUGUUUUUGUAAGGCCACACAUCAUCCAGGACAAUGAGAUAGGAUUUACCGUUAAGGACAGUGAUGAGUCUGCGCAAAAUUUCAUCACUAUCCAAGGAAGACGUUUCUUCAUUAACUUUGUUGAGUAACUUCUUCAGGAUCCACUGCUCGCAGAAAUUUCCUGAAACACAGACCCACAUUGUCUUUUCAAAGUGAUCCAAGAUUUGAGAAUCGUUAAAGAGUUGUUGAGCAAGGGUGGUUUUGCCCAAGCCCCCCAUCCCCACAAUGCCAAUGUAGUUCAUUGCUGGUUCCUUCUCGUCGUCAUUAAGUAUCCACCCUUUCAACUUUUCUAUGUCCUCAUCCAAUCCAUAUGUCUUAUGUGGGUUUAGUGAACCAACAAUUCGCCAGCUGCUGCUGAUUUGUUGGCUGAUACUACUAUCUGGUGCAGCAGCUGAUGCACUAAAAUAGUUGAUCAACACGUCGUGCACGUUCUUCAUAUCAGAAUUAAUCUUCGUCAACCUCCUGCCCAUCGCAUGCGGGAAAACCGGAUCCAGAGGCAACAAGCAUGAGAAGAACCUCUUUUUCUUCUUUUCUUCCUCACUGAUCAGGCAAUCCGUCAAUGCGUUGUCGGCUUCAUAAAUGACUUCCCUUAGCUCACUCAAAUAUUUCUUGACCGUUUCCUGAUCAGACGACAGUUUCAGUUUCUUAUCUGCGUCGACAACUAAGCAUCUCAUUUUUCCAAGCCAUUUUUCCAUCUGCUCAAGCUCAUUUUUGAAUUUAAAAACGAACCGAGCUUCCUGCACCACAGCACGGACCACUUGUGCUGUUACGGCCUGAACCAGAGCUUCUACCAGCAUCGUCAUCGAUCUGUUACAUUUUUACACAUUUCGCUCUUAGUUAUAUUAUAUUUAUGAUACUAUUAUUUAAGAGAAUUAAAACUAGAUAAAAUCCAUAUUAGAAUAAGUCCCGUGAAGUGGAGCUUCACAUCUUAUAUCCCGUGAAGUUGAAUUUUGCCAUUGUUGACUCGAAGUAUGCAUGCUGGGCUAAGGUGGAAAAAAUAUAGCCCGAGAAAAACUUGAAAAACGGGUUGGGCUUCUGGCCCAAUAAGGAACCCAAGUUUGAAACGAAUUUGGGCAGCGAUGCACAAUGCCGAGACUUGACUGAAGGCGCAGAAGGAGCAGAGCUUAAAGACGGGCUAUUGGCUAGUUUACUCUUACUUUAUUUGAACGAGGAAAUAUUAAAAAAUUUCAAAAUAAUGAAAAUUGAAAUGAUGAAAUUUUAUUUUUUAGAAUUUUUUAGUUUUUUUGUUUAGUUAAUCUAAAACAACAAUAAAAUUCGAAUAUGGAAUUUGUUAUUUUUAAACUCUCAUCCGUAGAAAUCUGGAAAUGACACAUAUUUAUAUGGAAUUUAAACCUGAGAAUUUUAAAAAAAAAUUCUAUGCAGAAAUUCUAAAUUUCUAUGUCUAUGAAUCUAAGCAAGGAAAUUUGUUCAUGUUAAUUUAUAAACUUUGAUUUCUAUCAAAACUUGAAGUUUAUUUUUUCAUCUAAACAUAAUGUAAGGGUAUGUUUACGAAACCCAAGUGAAAUACGAAGCAACGGAAUUGCACUUUUUUUCGAAACAUUCAAGCGUUUAUUAAUAUUUCAGUAAUUGGAAAUAAGGUGAGGUCCACACAAAAUUAGGAAUUAAAUUCCACAGGGGGUAUUUGUAUUCUGGGAUAAGCCUCCUCCAGAAAUCCAACUUUUCUACCCACCACUCCUGUUCCUUCUACCUUUCAGCCGAGUCUAUCGACUCCCUUGAACAUUCACCAGCUCAAUCUCGUCAAUCGGCGAGAUGGGCCUCAAGCUGCACGGGUUCAGGAUGAUUUUGUCAAGAUGGGUUUCGAAGCUGCAGUUGGUGAAGAAUAGGUUGUCGUUGGCGAAGACCGGAUUUGGAACUCGUUUGGUGCACAAUCGGCAUUGAAUAGACACUCCGGAUCUACUGUUAUGGUGGCUGUGGGAUAUAUUACGGUGGCUAUGUUGUUGGAGAGAGAGAGAUGAGAAGUAGAUGGAGAAAAGAGAUGGGGAAGUUGAAAGAAUUGGGGGAUGGGAAGAAGAGUAUCAGGGAGCAAGGAUGACGGGGAACAAGAUGGAGAAAAGAAAAAGAAAAAUGAAUUUGGUAUUAACAUUAUUUGUGAUUUAAUAUUACGAUAUAGUAUUAUUCUUUUUUAUUUGUAAAUGAAAGGUUUUAGGUUCAAUUCUCGUUAAAUACGAAUUUGAACUAUAUUAUUAAUGGUUUAUUAUGAGAUUAAAUAUUUAUUAAUUUUCAUUAGUGUAAAUAAUAUCAUUUGUUUAAAAUUAAAAAAAUUAAAAAAAUAAAUAAAUAAAUAAAACUAUUUGUUUAACGACAUGGAGGAAUCAGACUCCGUAUGGGAAUCAUCGGUUGUAUGCCAAAUUUGUCCUCCCAGUUUUUCUUAUAAUACUAAUCUACCUUUACCAAUAAAACCGAACAGCAUAAAACGUAUCUUUCAUUGUUUUUUUUAGUUUUUCAACACCCAGUCGUUGAGAACCCUGUCCAAUUAACUUUACAUCCGUUUUAUUACUCUUUUCUACAGGGUGUGCACUAAGGUUUAUUAAUCUGUUUCUCCAAAACAUUAGGAUGACAACGGGGCGGGGUCGGGCGCCACCUCCGUCCCAGCCUUAGUUGGUGACUUUUUCCUCCAUAACCGCAUUCAUAACUUCUAUUUUUUUUGGACGAAACCGCAUUCAUAACUUUGCUAAAUUAUGGACUAAAUCUCAUAAUGAGUUAGCCACAACAAUUUGAUUUAUUAGAAUUGAUAAGAGCUAUGGAAAAAUCAUUAGAUCGAUCUAUAAGUGUGUGCCCCAAAUUAAGAUGAUACACACACACACACACACAAAAUGCUAUGAAACGGUGUACUGUGAGAUUUCCAUACAAAUUAAUACUUGAAAAAUUCUAUUUUGAAAGUAUGCAGAAGUUGUAUGUUAUGACAUUUCCAGAAUAUCAAUGGGAUUAUUAUGCAAGAAUAUGCAAUUCAAUUGUAGUUGUUUGUCAAUUAAUAAAUGAAUUAGACAAUUUGUUUGGCUGAAUGUCUUUUCAUUCUAUCAACUUAUUGGAUUGGGAUGUGGGAAUAAUCAAAACCCUCAAAAAUGAAAAAGAACGUGAAAGAAAGAAAGAACAUAAAAAAAUCUCAUUUGCAUAUGGUGUUUGGUUGGUCAAAUAGAAGCAUGAAAUUUUUUUUGAAAAUUACUUAAUGAGCAUCAUAUACAGAUAAGAUUUCCAAAUAGAUUAAUGUGAAUUUUUGUUAUAUUUGAAAGUUUUAAUAAAAACUGACAUUUAUGAAUUUAGGUCUCAAAAUUUGUUGGAAAACAUGCCUAAGCCCAACGGUAGUUGGUGGGUGACGCGGGAAGGACCAACCGGCUCGACAUCAACGUCGUUACUGACUCAGAUGCAGAAAACAGGUGGCUUGAGGGUACCAUCACUGCCCAAUCCUUGACUGCCGUUGAGGAGGGAGGGGACUAUGACGUUAGUCGCAUGGGGAGAAGGCGGCUGACGGCGCGGGAAAAACAUCGUGAGUGCUGGAUUUCCAUAAUCCGGCGAAAUUCAACCGGAAUCUCGCGUGUCCGUUCGUUAGGGACAAUGUCUCGACCUCACGGUAUAUUCGGCUCAGCACAAGCGCUGGGCUGAUAGUUUGGGCUUUGUCUAAUACCCAACUCGAGAUUUAGUUCUUGCAGAAUUUGAGUUUAGGGUUUGUUUAUUUGAUUUCCAGAUUUUUGGUCAGUAACUCCACAUAACUCACAAACACCAUAAUUCAAGAAAUUCACGAUAUGAUAUAUAAUUUUAUAAAUUAUUAAAUUGUGUUCAUGCUUCAUAGUGAUUGUUUAUAUAAUCAAGGCUUUGAAACAUGAAUUUGAGUUUAGAAUUACCCGGUUGACGUGGCCAAACUUUGAACUUGAAGUGACCUCUCCCCAAUCGAGUACAGAGCACUGCUGCCCUUGCUAAUGGUGAAUCUACAAAGAAAGCCAUAUAUAAUUAGAACAAACAUAAUUGUGAAUAAAUGAUAAUCAUCACUAUAAAAGUUUCAUAAAGAAAUAUAGGGAGAUGAUCCUUCACAGACUAUUUGAUUCAGCAAACUCCAUAUACUACAAUAAAAUACCCCCUUAGCGAGAAGAUAAUUCCUCUAUAAAAGCAGGAAAUGAGUCGCAUAAAGGAUUUUCAUCGAGGUAAUCCCUUCGGAGAUGGUCUAAGGCGAGGAACUAUUGAUCGCCAUUUUUCGAUGAAUUAUUUCUCACUAUAUAGUGCAGCUUCAAAAGCAUGUUUGUCUUACUGAUAAAUGUGUUGAGAAAUAAAUUAUAAAAUAAGAAGGAACAUGAAAGAGAUACGUGUGUUUUAACCUUAAACUUGUGCCUUUAUUCAUACUAAUUCAUAGUGCCCUUUACUUAACCCCAAGAAAUACAGUCAAACAGAGAAAUAAUCUUCUAGAUCCUAUAGAACUUGUGCCUUUAUUUAAUAUAAAAUACUAUCCAUAACAGACUCAAUUUGUUUUCUUAAUAUUUUGCUCUAUUCAUCACAUAUAUGAUCUGGUUUUGGUGUAUCUAGUUUCACAAAAAUCAAGUUUUUAAGAACAUUUAAAGUAUUUUUUGGCGUAAAACAUCAUCAUUUCUUGACGUUCAAAACAUAUAGAUCGAGGGCACAACCAAAUCAACUAAGAACUUGACAAUAAUUAAUCUAUCAUCAUUCAGGAGCACAUACUCAAAUUAACGUAUGCGCGCGGAUCGAUCGAGAUGGACUUGACUAUCGGAGGACUUCAAAUCCUGCUGAUCAGAUACAAAGAAUUAAUCCAUUUGUGAGAUAUAUAUACAUAUAUAUAUAUAUAUAUAUAUGUAUAGUAUAUGAAACCAGAAAUUAUUAAUUGAUGGCUUUUACUCUGUAAUCUAUAGUAUAAUUAGCUGGGAAAGAUGGAGAAGAAAGUGAAUACUACCUUGUUUUGUUUUCUGGUGAAAGCUAGCUAGCUGUGUCAUCUGCGUCUGACUAUGUAAUCAGUGAGAUUUAUGCACCAAGACUACAUAAAAAAAAAACCUUAUAACUUGUACUCUUGGGCUUGAUAUUUCAUUGAAAUAUAUAUAGAUAUAUAAGCACACAAGUAGGGGGCGGUGAUUAUCUUUUGGGACUUUCAGAUAGCCCGGUUUCAUAUUUAGAAAACUAAUGAAAAAGGUUGUAAAACUUUGAGUUUAACGAUAAGGAUAAAAUAAAAGGUAAAGUGAAUAGUACCAUGAUUGACUUUUUAGUGUAAAAAUGUGAUUUUUCGUUAAAGUGAACAGUACCGAGAGUUUUUCGUUCAAGUUCUCUUCAUAUUUUGAGGUUUUUUUUUUAACAAAUAAUAUUAUUUAUACUAAAAAUGAAGGAAUGGACUUAGCAAUAAUGUGAUUCGUAUUUACUUUUGACGAGAAUCGAAUUUAAGAUCUCUCACUUACAAGUAAAUAUAAAUAUUAUUAGACCGUAGUACUAAGUCAUAAUUUUGAGGUUUUGAAAGUUUAGAUUUUUUAUUUAGAAAAUACAAACAUUUUAAUCGUUAGAAAAUACAAAAAUUUAUAAUCUAAAGAUUAAAAUAUUUGAAAUAUCAGAGAACGCAAGAAUUUUUUUUUUUUCUUUUGACGGUCCACAAUACUCUAUUAUUGUUGUCGAACUUUAGUAAUCAUUGGUUCUUGCGGGUGACGGAUGAUAGCCAUGACGUGUAUAUAACAUGUAAUGGAUGACAACACGAAUUCAAUCUAUUUGAACUUUAAGUCAGCACAAACUCUAUUAUCGUUAUCGGCUUUUAAUAAUUAGACAAUUAGAUUUCUUAUUUAAACCCGUAGGGUAACCUUCGUUUUUGAGUGCAGACUUAAUAAAUUGUUAUCUUUCAGUCACAAUAUGCCGUUAACUUAAAAAGUGAAUAGAAACAUGAUUUUAUGCCCACACUUAAUAGAUUUUGUUAUAAAUAGGCAAAAUUUAUAGAGAGAUAAUCUUUACUCGGUGAAGGAACGAAGCAGUUGCAGAGUAAUAUACCGACACAAGCUGUUGCAGAGGAAGUAAUGUAUAUUAUUGCUAUUAGAUAUAUUUCUCUUUUCUUUCUUCUUCUCAUUCACUAAUCUUUGCACAAUUGAAGUGCUCUAUUUAUAGAGCUACUUCAAUGAAAAAUUACAAAACAUUACUAUUUAGCUUAUGAGUAUAUAGUAUACACAUGUGAUACUUUACUAUACAGAUUACUAUACACAUGUGGGCAAACAUACCCAUUAUUUACAACACUCCCCCUUGGAUGCCCACAUAUCAACAUCAGUUGCCUCAUUAAAACCUUGCUUGGAAAAAUCCUGUGGGAAAAAACCAUAGCGAAGGAAAAAGAGUACAACUUUACCCGGAUGGUGUUGAGCAUGCUUAGGUUGCCUCGUUAAAACCUAGGAAAAACCCAGUGGGAAAAAUCCUAAGCGAAGGAAAAAGAGUACAACAUGCAUGUAUCAUGGAUGCUCCCCCUGAAUUGUAUCUCCCCCUGAUUCCGCAUUCUUCAAAUCUGUAAGCCGACGUAAUCCGAUUCCCUGUACCCACUUCUGAAAUGUGCACUUUGGUAGAGAUUUGGUGAACAAGUCUGCUAAAUUUUCAUUGGAACGGAUUUGUCUGACUUCAAUAACUUUAGCCUUCUGAAGCUCAUGUGCGCUGAAAAAUCUUGGAGAUAUGUGUUUAGUCUUAUCACCUUUGAUAAAUCCUUCCUUCAUCUGGGCGACACAGGCUGCAUUAUCUUCAUGGAUGACAGUUGGAGUGUCUGUCUUUGAAGGUAGACCACAUGAAUUCCGGAUGUGAUGGAUCAUUGAUCUUAACCAAGAACAUUCACGACUUGCUUCAUGUAAAGCAAUUAUUUCCAAAUGAUUGGAAGAUGUUGCAACUAGCGUUUGCUUUGUUGAUCGCCAUGAAAUUGCAGUAUCUCCAUUAGUGAACACAUAUCCUUUUUGUGAGCGGGCUUUAUGCGGAUCGGAGAGAAAACCAGCAUCUGCGUAUCCAACAAGGAUUUUGUUCAUUUGUGGGCUUGUCUGAGUAGAAGAGACCCAUAUCUGUUGUCCCACGAAGGUAUCGUAGAACAUCUUUGACUCCCUUCCAAUGACGAAUUGUUGGAGCAGAGCUGUACCUGGCUAACAAGUUAACUGAAAAAGCUAUAUCUGGUCUAGUACAUUGUGCUAAAUACAAUAAAGCACCUAUUGCGCUCAAAUAUGGUACUUCUGGACCAAGGACCAGUUCAUCAUCUUCUUUUGGACGAAAUGGAUCUUUCUUAAUGUCCAAAGAACGAACGACCAUUGGGGUGCUAAGUGGAUAAGCCUUGUCCAUGCCAAAUCGCUUCAGUAUUUUUUCAAUGUAAGCUGAUUGAUGGACCAAAAUUCCACUAACACAAUGCUCGAUCUGCAGACCUAGACAAUAUUUGGUUUUCCCAAGGUCUUUCAUUUCAAAUUCGCUUUUCAGAUAUUCAGCAGUUUUGUUGAGCUCUUCAGGGGUUCCAACUAAGUUCAUAUCAUCGACAUAUACUGCCACUAUAGCAAAUCCAGUAUUUGAUUUCUUAAUGAACACACAAGGGCAGAUGACAUUGUUGGCAUAUCCUUCUUUAAUCAAAUACUCACUAAGACGAUUAUACCACAUUCGUCCAGAUUGUUUCAGCCCAUAUAGUGAUCGCCUUAAUUUGAUUGAGAACAUACCCCGUGGUUUGUUAGUUGCUGCAGGCAACUUAAGUCCUUCUGGGACUUUCAUAUAUAUGUCAGUAUCUAAUUCUCCAUAUAGAUACGCGGUGAUGACAUCCAUAAGUCGCAUGUCAAGUUUUUCUGAAAUCACCAAACUUAUUAAGUAACGAAACGUAAUUGCGUCCAUUACAGGAGAGUAUGUCUCUUCAUAAUCAACUCCAGGUCUUUGUGAAAAACCUUGUGCAACGAGUCGUGCUUUAUAUAUUGCAAUCUCGUUUUUCUCGUUACGUUUCCUUGUGAAUACCCAUUUAUAACCUACGGGGUUCACACCAGGCGGGGUUUGGACUACUGGUCCAAAAACACUUCGUUUUUCCAAGGAUUUUAAUUCUGCCUGGAUUGCAUCUUUCCACUUAGGCCAAUCUUGUCUCUGUUUGCAUUCAUCAACAGAGCGUGGCUCAAUAUCAUCACUUAAUAUGAUUUCAGUGGCUAUUGCAAAUGCAAACAUGUCAUCGAUGAUUAUUUCAUUUCGAUCCCACAAUUCAUUAGUACAUGCAUAAUUUAUGGAUAUUUCUUUGCUUUCAUGUACUUCUGUCUCUUCAGGGACAUGUGUCUCAUCAAGGACAUUUUCUUUUUCUGAAAAUACAGAGUCACGAAUUGUGGAUUUAUCAUUCAAUUCCUUUUCUUGAAUGAUAUCAUUUGGGUUCAAUUGGGCCCUCAUCUUUCUCUUUCGAGGGGCUGAAUCUUUUGAACCUGGGGGUCUACCACGCUUCAGGCGUGCACUGGAUGAAUCAUUCGCUGCCACUUUAUUUUGUCCAACAGGGACAUCAAUUCUUGCAGGUGCGUUUGCAGCCGGUAUAUAUGACUGUGUCACUUUCGAAGCAUCAUUAAAUGCAUCUGGCAUUUGAUUAGCAAUACCUUGAAGAUGAACGAUUCUUUUCACUUCGUUUUCACAUUGAGUGCUUCUUGGAUCAAAAUGAGAUAAGGUGGGAACAACCUAUGUUAGCUCUUGUCGUUCUUCUGGAACGGUCUUUUCUCCCCCUAACGACGGGAAAAUUGUCUCAUCAAAAUGACAAUCAGCAAAACGAGCUGUAAACACAUCACCAGUCAAAGGUUCCAAAUAUCUAAUGAUAGAUGGUGAAUCAAAACCCACAUAAAUUCCCAAUCUGCGCUGAGGUCCCAUUUUAGUUCGUUGUGGUGGUGCAAUAGGCACAUAAGCAGCACAACCAAAAACUCGUAAAUGUGAAAUAUUUUGGCUGAUGUCCAAACACGAGUUGUAUUGAUGAGUAUUGGUGGUUGGCUAUGGGUCUCAAUCUAACCAAUGAUGCAGCAUGUAAUAUGGCAUGUCCCCAUGUAGAAACUGGCAAUUUCGUUUUCAUGAGCAGAGUGCGGGCUAUUAAUUGAAGCCGCUUGAUAAAUGCCUCUGCUAAACCAUUUUGAGUAUGGACAUGAGGAACAGGGUGUUCAACAUUAAUGCUCAGUGCCAUACAGUAAUCAUCAAAGGUUUGAGACGUAAAUUCACCAGCGUUAUCAAGUCGAAUGGACUUAAUGGGAUGAUCUGGGAACUGUGCUCGCAACUUAAUUAUCUGAGCAAGAAGUCUCGCAAAAGCUACAUUUCGAGUAGACAAUAGGCAAACAUGUGACCAUCGGGUAGAUGCAUCAACCAAAACCAUAAAAUAUCGAAAUGGUCCACAAGGUGGUUGAAUAGGUCCACAAAUAUCCCCUUGAAUUCUUUGCAAAAAUGAUGGGGAUUCAUCAUCAACCUUUAGUUGUGAUGGUCUAAUUACCAACUUCCCUUGGGAACAAGCCUUGCAAGGAUUAUCAUUCGAGACAUUAAUGUGUGUGCUCAGUAAUGGAUGUCCAUUAGAGUUGGUAAUGAUUCUACGCAUCAUGGUAGAUCCUGGAUGACCUAGACAGUCAUGCCAAAGCAUGUAAACCUUUGAAUCAAUGAACUUCUGGUUCAUGACAGUAUAUGCCUCAACUGUCUUUAUGUAUGUACAAUACAAUCCACUCGAUAAACCAUGCAACUUCUCCAAUAUACGCUUCUGGGUAUCAUUGGAGGUAAUGCAUAAAUAUUCCACAUUUUCUACACUUUUCGUUUCAAGGUGGUAUCCAUUUAGACGUAUGUCUUUAAAACUCAACAAAUUUCGAAUGGACCGAGUAGCAUAUAAUGCAUUCUUUAUAGACAAUAUUGUUCCAUUUGGUAACAUAAUCUGGGCUUUUCCUGAGCCUUUCAAUUACAUCUGAUGGUCCUGAUAUUGUUGUUACCUUUACUUUUGCAAGUACCAAAUUCGAGAAAUACUUUCGAUCUCGAAGUAUUGAAUGCGUGGUUGCGCUAUCUGCAAGACAAAAGUCUCCGCCAUUGAUCUUGUUUUGAGAAUAACCAUAAUUUUUAUCCAUGAUCUCUGAGUAAAGAAAAAGCAAUUUAUUCAUACUGGAAUACUACUUUUAUUGAAUUGAAAAUGCGAGCAUUAAAUCACAGGUACAAAUAACAUGAGUACAUUAAACAUAAAUAAUUCAAUCGGACCCAUAAACUUCAUUCCCUCUUUCAUUAAUAAAGUCUGUAGCAUCCAGGUGGGUUGUGUUUAACUGUCCUGAUAAAUUGGUCACUGGAUCAGGGGUUUCCAUUGGUUUAGCCUGGUCAAAGAAAUUGAUCUCGACACCCUUCUCCUUGAAGGAGGCUUGAUAUAGUUCCACCAGAUGCUUUGGGGUGCGACAAGUACGCGCCCAAUGUCCGUUGCCACCACACCUAUGGCAACCUCCUUCAUGAUUUCUAGGAGUGUUCACAUGAGCUUUUCCUUUCUGGCGAUUGGUAUUUUUAAAGCUCGGGCCUGGAUUAUACCUUGGAACCUGGUUGUGAAACUGGACACCAUGGUUCUUGCUUUUCCCUUUCCACCGACCUUGCUUGUGGCCACGUCCUCGUUUGUAAUUAUUUCCACGGGAGGAUAUGGUAUUCCUUUCAAGGGAAGCAACAUUCACUUCUGGGAACGGUGCUGAUCCAGUAGGUCGGGAAUUAUGGUUUUUCAUGAGAAUCUCAUUGUUCUGUUCAGCUACCAGGAGCACAGAUAUCAGCUGGUUGUAUUCAGUGAAGCCUCGCGCUCUAUACUGUUGUUGCAGUACCAUGUUAGAGGCGUGAAAUGUGCUGAAAGUCUUUUCCAAUAACAUCUCCUCAGUGAUAGUAUCCCCAUAGAGUUUCAUCUGAGAGGUAAUUCUGAACAACGCCGAAUUGUACUCAGCCACUGAUUUGAAAUCCUGGAUCCUUAGGUGAGUCCAGUCAUAGCGAGCUUUUGGAAGAAUCACCGUUGUCUGGUGAUUGUAUCUGCUUCUCAAGGCAUUCCAAAGGGCUAAUGGAUCUUCAACUGUUAAGCACUCACUCUUUAGUGCCUCAUCAAGAUGACGACGAAUAAAAAUCAUGGCCUUUGCCCGAUCUUGAGAGGAUGAGCUGCUCUCUUCCUUGAUGGUAUCUCCAAGAUUUGCUGCUUCCAGAUGGAUCUUGGUAUCCAGUACCCAUGUAAGGUAAUUCUUUCCAGUAAUGUCCAGGGCAGCAAAAUCAAGCUUUGCCAAGUUUGCCAUUUUCUUUUCUGAAAGAAAAAUGAGGUGUGUAAGAACUUGCAGUAAUAUGUGUACUGGAGAAAUAUAUUGUUAGAACUUCUGGUUCUUACAAAUUUUUUUUGAUCUUCAGGCCAAAAUGAUAAGUACUCGAAACUUCAGGCUCGAGAUUUACACAAUUAAUGAGAAGGGCAAUUGUACCGCACCAUUCUUAUCGAAAUAAGUAUAGGAUGAACGAUUAUUCCGCACUACUUUAACAGCAGGAAAAUUUAAAUAUGUAGAGCAAGGUGGACGAUUAUACCGCACCACCUAAAAUUGCAAUAAAAUUAAAUAUGUAAAGCAGGGUGGGUGAUUAUUUCACACCACCUAAAAUUGCGAUAAAAUUAAAUAACGGGAAAAUUUAAAUAUGCAGGAUAGAGCGGGCGAUUAUACCGCUCCACUUAAAAUUUGCAGUAAAAUUAGAUCUGCAGUCCAAGAUAGGCGAUAGAACCGCACAAUCUUGGAUUGCAUAAAUAAUCAGUGGGUUAGUAGUCAAUAUCUACACCAAACAAGAAAUCAAAGAUAUAAGUGACUGUUAGUUGGAGAACUAGAAGUAAACAUGGUGCAAACAGUUCUUCGCGAGGGUAUACCCAGCAAUUGAGGGAGAGGAAGAAGAAGAACAGUAAAAACCUUAGAGGAAACAUUUUUUUUUCUUUCGGUGAAAGGAAAUGAGAAAAUGAUUAGAGAGUCGUGCUGAUAACGUGUUAUAAAUAGGCAAAAUUUAUAGAGAGAUAACCUUUACUCGGUGAAGGAACGAAGCAGUUGCAGAGUAAUAUACCGACACAAGCUGUUGCAGAGAAAGUAAUGUAUAUUAUUGCUAUUAGAUAUAUUUCUCUUUUCUUUCUUCUUCUCAUUCACUAAUCUUUGCACAAUUGAAGUGCUCUAUUUAUAGAGCUACUUCAAUGGAAAAUUACAAAACAUUACUAUUUAGCUUAUGAGUAUAUAGUAUACACAUGUGAUACUUUACUAUACACAUUACUAUACACAUGUGGGCAAACAUACCCAUUAUUUACAACAGAUUUAAUGGUUUUUAAUUGUUAUGAUUCGAUUUUUUUUUUAAUCUUGAUAGUACGAAAGAAAUUUAAUGAUAUGAAAAAGAAUGUUAUACUUGGUCAGGAGGGAUAAAAACCUUACUCCUCAUAAUGUAAGAAAAAUAAAAUACAAGAAAAGAGGGAUGACAUACAUCUUACCCCCCCCCCCCCCUUGAAAAAGAAAAUACAAGAAAAAAAAAGGGGAACAAGACCUUAACCCUCUUGAAAAAAAAUACAAGAAAAAGAGAGGGUGGGUGGAUAUAGGACCAAACCUCUCUAAAAUAAAACCUACAAGGUAAGAACCUGCAAGAUAAGCUGCAAACAAAAAAAAGGAAAAUCCAAAAAAAAUUAGGUAAAAAGAAAACCACACAUCAAGAAGGGGAGAUAAACUUGUAGGUCGACAUAUCAAAGAAAUCUGAUUGCAAAAAAGGAAGAGUCUCUAUAGGAGGAGUAGAAUGCCAAACAAGUGAAGACGAGAGAAGCCCUAAAUUGGCCAAUUUAUCAGCAACUACAUUCCCUUCUUGAAAUGUAUGAGAUCAACAGAAUACCAUGUGCUGCAAUCGGAAAAUACCGUUCUUUCAAUGAGUCUGGAGUGACCAAGGAAGAGAAAAAGAACCAAAAUCAAAACAAGAUAUUAUGCUAGAAGAGUCACUUUCAAGCCAUAAAUUCUGCCAACCCCGCGCGUGAGCCAAUUCCAUAGCAAGAAUGGCAGCAUUAAGCUAUGCAUAGAAAGAAGUAUGAUACCUCAAGCUCAGUGAGAAACCACCAAGAAAAUAACCCGCAGAAUCUCGGAAAACCUCACCACAAGCCAUAGGACCCAGGUUAGCAAGGUCAUUUGUAUUCACUUUGACCCAAGAAAAUGGAUGGAGAUGUCAAAGAACAUGAACUAUAGAAUAAGCAUUAUAGGAUUCAGCCUAGAUUCCAAGAGAGAUUAAAAGUUGCUUAAACAAAUUCCCCCCUUGUUAAUAUUUGAACAACAUUUUAUAUGGAAUUUUGGCACUUGCCACCUACAUGAAUCUUCUUCAACUUUCUUUUUUCUUUUUCCUCUUAUGUUUAAGGGUGUAUUAUCCACAUAAUCCUUUUUAUUUCUCACACAUCCCUUGUUAAUUUAUAUCAUUUGAUCUUAUUCAAUUCAUCUGAUCUAAUGAUCGAAAAUUAAAAGAGUGUGUGAGAAGUAAAAAAGGGUGUGUGGAUAUCACACUCCUAUGUUUAUUCUACAAUGCCGACAAAUAUAAGGUAAGCAAUUUUAAGAUUCAUGUUUGUAUAAGGUUUGAGUUUUCGAAGUUCCAUUGCCUAUAUUGGAGGUAUGAUGAGUUUGGGAUUUGUGUUUUUCAAUCUGUGUGAGUGUCAUACGUAUUUGGAUGUCAAUUUGUUUUUUAUUUCGUAGAUACAUUCUAUGUUUUUACAUAAAAAUUUGUUUCCGCUGCACAUUCUGUUGGUGUAGUUACCUAUCUAUUAGGCAGAUAAGAGUAUUGUUUUUUUUUAACCAUAUUCCCUUCUAACUUUCUACUAAAUAAAUUUGGUAAGUUAACCUCCUACUAAAUAAAUUUGAGUCUCGUGUUAACUUUAUACUAAAUAGAUUUGGUAAGGUAUUUUAUAUUGCUUAUUUUACUUUUGAUAGGUAACUAACUUGUUUAGAUGUGUUGCAGGUGCCCCAUGGCAAGAACAUUCAAAAUAGGAAACAAAAAAGAAAGAUGCAUAAAUUAGGGAUUUUAAUUAAUUAUCAUAAUUUAACAUAGUUGCGGAAUGGAAAUAAAAAUAGAGAGUUUUAAUAAAAUGAGUUUCACAAAACUAUAAACAAUUUUUUUUUAAUUACAUGUUACGGGCAAUCGUCCGAACGGGAACCACGAUUACUAUACUUGGCCCAAAAGCAAGUCUGCAUAGACUCGCUAGAUGAAAAUUUAAAAAUGGGGCCCACUUUGAAAAAAAAACCAGACAUUAGAUAUAUUUUUGUUUCCCACGUUAGAAGAACAUGGGUUAAAAUAUAUUAUGAUACAGACGUUUAGGUACACUAAUUAGAGGAAGUAAAAUAAAUAUAAUGAAUUAAAAUGUGUAUAAUAGUAAAUAAUUUUAAUUUUAAUGUAAUUACAUUAAAUAAGAUAUCUAUUAAAUAUUAAAAUCAAAAUAUAAUAUAAAUUUGAAUUAAGUACACAUUAGAGGACUAAAAUCAAUAUCCAAUCUAACACCAUGUUUUUAUUGAAUUUUAAUCUUCUUCAAGGAUUAAAGUUCAAAAACCCCAAAAAAAAUAUUUUUAAAGACACCCCACCCCAAUCACUUUUAACGUGUAUCACAAAACUAUUUAUCUUUUUCACCUCUUAAAACCACUAUCGCCCUCUUUUGUAGAACACAAUCCUAACCUAUAAAACUACAAAUACGUUAAUUAAGAAUGGAAUAUGAGAUCAACAUUUCAAGAGCUUCACGUGAGGUAAGACUUCAUGGCAUGCCUAUAAUUGCAUUAUGAAUGAUAUCUCUCAAAUAAAGUAGGAGGCUGCCGCUUCCGACAGAUAUCCAACUUUGUUUCAAAUUAUUAUUUAAAACAUUGAACAGAUAAUUAUUAUCCCUUAAAUAAAGUAUGUGAUGACGAGGAUCCGAGGAAGCAAAAGAAUGUGAUUAUCUAUAGCAUAGAAUGAUUCGCCAUAAAAUAUAUGUCCAGGCAUAAUUCCUUGAGUUUAAUUUUUUCCCUAUAAUCCUUUUGGCUUUCUUGAAUCAUGUAAACUCAAACAGAAACCUGUCCAAAUUGUCCAACCAGCUCUUUACUGAUUAUGCAGAGAAACACAUGCAAAUAAAGUGGACCGACUCUCUCUCCUAUUCCACCCGCAUCAAUACCUCGUUUAGGAUUUGUUGAACAAAAUCCCCCCUCCUUCACUUGUGGUUUGGGAGAAGUUAGAAAAAUUCCGGCAUCACACUGCCCUUUAACUUCACACUGAAGGUGCUUUGAUGGCCUUAUAUAUUUGCAUUUAAGAUGUAAAGAGUGUUGAGUGCUUUGGAAAUGUGAAGUGCACGUAAAAAAUGUGAAGUUUAUUUUGAAAAUGUGACGUGUGAGGGUAUUAUGAGAAACAUUGUAGAGUGUAUUAAGAAUUUUAGUUAAAAAAAUAAAUGUGGAGUAUAUUAAGUAUGUGAUGUGUAUUAUUGGGAUUGCGAAGGAGAAAACAAAAUGAAACUGGUUUGGUAUGUGGUGGUAGAAGAGAAGAAGAUAAGUGGAGGCGGAUGCGGCCACGGUGGAGAAGGGUGUAUGCCGUCGUGGUGGGUGUUUUUUUUAAGUUUUUUUUUUUCUUUUCAGUUUUUAAAUUGUUUAUUGAAGGGUGAUAUUGAUAUUUUGAGCUGAACAUGUUUAUGGGGUGAACUUAAAUGGGAUGAGGAGUGUAAAUAGAAAAACUAUAUUCCUUAUUCAUAAUUUUCUUUAAUUCUUCAGGAAACUUGUACACCCAUAACUGAUUAAUUUCCAACCAUCAUAGAUGAUUUCAAAGACCAACAGAUCAACUCAACCCAAACUCAUCUUUAUCCUCUGUUUUCUGGAUUAUUUGCUUGGAAAGUUGCUUUUUGACCGUUCGGGGCAUUUUCAUUUCGUCUUUAUGAUUAAAGCUUAACUUUUUAGACGGCAAGUGGAGCAUUUUUUGAAAAGCUUUACUGUUGAUGUCGAAAGAAAAAUAACAGAUUAUGCAUGAAACUAUGUGUCCGUUGAUCAAAACCGUUCAUCUUAAGAUUAUGUCAACAAAAAAUAAUCCAAAUCCAAAACUAUAUGUCUGUUGAAUUAAAUUUAAUGUUUCUUUGUAGAAUUGUAUUCUGUCAUUAUCUUCCCUAUAAAUGAAUGUCUUAAUGGUUUUGGAUUUGUCUAAUUUUUUUUUUUUUGCAAGGAUGAUCAAUGAAUCAUAUACUAAAAUGUAGAUGAUUUAGAUUUUUGAAAUACAUUACGAAGUAGACUCUACAAAAUAAAUGACUAAAUAUGUGUCAAAAAAAUGUGUCCCGAAUCUCAACCCUUAUACAAAAGAAAAAUAAUAAUAAUCAUUUAUGUGAUCACAAACCAUUAGCACAGAUGUAAAAGAAACCAUGAAACCAAAAAUAAUGAUGAAUAAAUUAAGGAGAAACUAGAAACACUUAUUCAAAUUGCAAAACAACAUUUAUGGUAAGACCUAAAUUAAGGAUAGUUUAAUUUCCCGCAACAUAUGAAAUUAAAGUUGUUUGGGUUAAUAUUUGAACAUUGGGAUGCGAAUGUGAGAAAGUCCAGAUAUGCCAACUAAAAGAAAACUUGCCCGAAGCUCAGCACUAGGCCCAGAGACAAAUUGGCGCCUCCCCAUUAAUGUAUAGACCAUGUGUCUUUGAUUUAAAUAUCAAGUGAUGGAGACUAACUCACAAUCAGCGAAAAAGUACUUUUCAGUGGCAUUCAGGGUAAAAAGUUGAUGACUCACUACCCUCCAAGUGCUUUCGGGCAAUAACAAAGCUACAGCAGUCGGGCUGAAUUGCCUAUAAAAGGAGGAAGUGGCCCUAGAGACAAGGACACUCAACCAAUCAAACAAACAUACAAACUAUGCUCUUAAGCCAAAUUUGCAUCCAAAAGUUGAAAUCAACCCAGAUUCAAUCCUUUUUAGUGACAAACUAUCUCUUGUCCAGUUUAAAGUCGUAAUCAGCCUAUAUCUCAUAUCUCUUAGCAAUAAUCUUCCUUAGAAAGCCUAUCUCUCUCUAGUUUAAAGCUCUGCUACCUCUCUUAGCGUUGUAGUAUCGAUUCCCUCAUGUAACCUUGUUUAUCAUUCAUCCCUUUUUAGAGUAUAAACCCUGUAAACCCAAAGAGAAGUGACUGCAAGAAGUUCAACCUUGCCAGACAAGGUGAAAUCUUGCACGAGUCCCUUUGUUUGUUCUCUAAAUUUGUAGAUCUAUUAGAUAAUGCAUUCUCCAAUAUGUAUUCAAGUUAUUUCCAUCAGUUUUCCUAUUUUAAGAGUCCCAUUUGCAUCUGGAUCUGGUUAGUUUAAUGAAUAUGAUGUCAUUAAAAUCAAUCAGGAACUAAGUAAAUGGCUUAAAGGGCUUUGGACUCCCUCCAUUCGAACAUGCAAGACUAAGAACUAAAAGUCCUUGUUCACAAGGCAUGAAAAAGAACUUAAUGUGGACUUAACUCAUCCACGACAAUCCUUUGAUAACAAGAAGUCCAAGUAACUUGGGGCGCAAGUAAUCGACCCAAACACACUUGUUCUACAUCUGCUAUACUGAGAUAGCAGUGGCGCGCCUAGCACUUAGUUAGUUUUGUUUGCGAGCCUUAAGGCCUACACCUAAGGCCCCACAAAGACACCUUUCAGAACUAACUAUAUACUCUUCUUGUAGCACAUCAAUAAGCAAGAGCCCGACUAUACAUCCACAGUGCCAAUUCCUGGGGGAGCUGUGCUGAGAACUGAUGACCCCUCUCUGGAGAAAUCUUCGACCGAACAAAAGCCUUAAUAUAUCAUGUGAUCAAUCAACAAAAUCAUUAGUAAACAUAUAAAAAAAAACAUGAAACAAAACAAAAUGAUGAAUAAUCAACAACAAAAACUCGUUUUCUAGACCUUAAUCUUAAAAAAUUUAAAAUUAUGUGAUAAAUCAACAAAAUCAUUAGGGUAUAAAAGAAACCAAGAAACAAAACAAAAUGAUGAAUAAAUUAAAGUAGAAACUGUAAACACUUGUCCAAAUUGCAAAACAACAGUAAUAGUAAGACAUAAAUAAAAGUAGUCUUUAAUUUUCUGCAACAAAUGAUAUUAAAACCUUGAUCUCUCUACAUAUCUCUCCACUUUCCCUCGGCAAACAAGAAACAAAAUAAUCAAAUCACAUAGUUGAUCAAUGGGGACCUUUAGAAGUGAAGGCUCUGUGCAAUUGCACAAGAUAAUCCUCCUUAAUGCUGGCACUAUGUACUCUAUUAUUGUUAGUCUUUUAGUAAUCAUGGUUUUCGUUCGUGCGAUUAAGCUUUGAAUAAAGUCUAUCUUGUGGAAUUUUAAAGCUUAACUUUUGGACAGUAGGCGGAGCAUUUUUUUGAAAAGCUUAACUCUUGAAUUUUGAUGCCAAAAGCAAAAUGACAGAUUAUGCAUGAAACACGGCUUUUGUGCAAUGAAUCAAAAAGUGGUAGAUAGGAAAAUAAUUGUUCAUAGAUAUGACAAUAACUGUUCAUGGAUAUAACCUAAUUAUUUCAAGCAAGAUUCCAAUCAAAUUUGCAUGUACGCACUCAAAAAAAUUCCAAUCGUUCAUAAUAGACAUAUGUGUAAAGGACGACAACUUUAAACGAAGCCGAUUGUUUGGAGCUUUACAGCUUAUAACUUUAAACGAAACCGAUUGUUUGGAGCUUUACAGCUUAUAACUUUAAACGAAGCCAAUUGUUUGGAGCUUUAAGCUUAACUUUUGGACAAUAAGUGGAGCUUUUUAAAUAAAGCUUAACUCUUGAUCAUUGAUGGCAAAAGCAAAAUGCCAGAUAAUGCAUGGAACAAGACUUCCACUCAAAUUUUCAUGUACGCCACUAAAAAAAAUUCCAAUCGUUCAUAGACGUGUGUAAAGGAUGACAACUUUAAACAAAGUCGAUUGUUUGGAGAUUUAAAGCUUAACUUUUAGACAGUAAGUGGGGUUUUUUUAAAAAAAAACGCUUAAGUCUUGAACAUUGAUGCCAGAUUUUGCAUGAGACACGAGUUUUGGUCCGAUCAAAUUCGGCGCUGAUGAUAAGAGGAAUAAAGUCUAGUUGGUCCAAGAGGGAUAAAGGCAAAAUGUUUAAAAUUGAAUAAGAUGUUGUUAGUUACAAAAAUGUAAUCCUAAACUUCUUGGUUUAGGGUCUCCUCUAUUCUUAAUUAAUCCACAAUUGACAGCUGUAAUAAACUUUCAGCUCAGCAUGGUCCACUACCAAUGCCACUAAUGUUGCCUCCACUUAACCACCUAUCAAAUAAUUUGAUAAAUAAGAGAUUGUGUUUUAAUUAAUUCACAAUUAACUCUCUUUUAUUUAUGAUUUUGAUUCACUCUCCUUUAUCAUUAACUGUGAUUUAAUUCUCUCUUCCCCUAACACUCAUGCUUCUAAUUUUCUCCUCUCUCUUUUUUUUUAAUUUUUUAAGAAAACUAGAUUUUAAUUCUUAAAUAAGAUGAAGUUUAGAAAAAUGUCUUAUACAAGAUUAAAAAUUGAUUUUUAUCCUAGACUCUAUUUAAUGCUAGUAUAUGUAUUUGAUGUCUCUUUUUUUAUUUAUAAUUUUAUGGUGUUCAUAAAUAAAAAUUUAAGAUUAUAUUAUAAAUUUUAAUUCUCAUUAUGGUAAGUAUCUUAUAUAAGAAAAUAUUUUCGUAAAGAUUUUUCGGUACACUUAUAUUUUUGCAUAUUUCUUAUGCGCCACUAAUUCAUUGUAAUAUAUUUAGGUACGAAUAUUUCGGUACACUAGUUUAGUAUAAUAUGUUAGGUACGAACAUUUCGGUACAAUAGUUUAGUAUAAUAUAUUUAGGUACGGACAUUUCGGUAUACUAGUUUAGUAUCAUAUAUUUAGGUACGAAAUUGUUGGUACACUUAUAUUUUUGCAUAUUUUCUUAUGUGCCACUAAUUCACUACAAUGUAUUUAGGUACAACAAUAUAUUUAGGUACGAACAUUGCGCUACACUAAUUUAGUAAAAUAUAUUAUGAUACGGAUGUUUAGAUACACUAAUUAGAAGAAGUUAAAUAAAAUCAAAGAAUUAAAAUGUGUAUAAUAAUAAAUUUAAAAUUUAAUGUGAUGACAUUAAAUAAGAUAUCUAUAUUAAAUAUUAAAACAAAAAUAUAAUAUGAAUUUGAAGUACACAUUAAAGAACUAAAAUCAAUAUCCAAUCUAACACAGGUUUUUAUUGAAUUUUAAUCUUCUUCAAGGAUUAAAGUUCAAAACCCCCCCUGCCGCCCCCUCUUUUUUUUCUUGUCAAUCCGCUCUAUUUUCUUUUGUUGAGUUUCUUGUACAUCUCGUUGCUUAUCCAAUAAACUAUCUUGGGGUAUUAUUUUUCUCGAAUACCUAAUGUUUUGUGUUUAGAUCUCUUCACAAAAUUUGGUGGCUAUUUUGGACUUCUAACAACCAUCUUAAUCUCUACAAACAACCCCACAAUCACUCUACAUUGUGAAUCUGUGAUAGUAGUGUACUAGAUUUUUUUAUUCUUUUGUUCUGUCAAACUAAUCAGGCAAUAAUUUCAUAUUCCAUAAUUUGGCUUCUAUGUUUUAUAUAUAACAAUCUACUGUAAAGUUAAUCUAUAUAUGUAUAUAUGUGUGUAUAUAUAUUCAUCAAAUCUAAAUCAAAACGAAUAUAUAUACCCUUUUUAAUUAGAAGUAGCCUCAGAUGGAAAUUCAUAAUCGGCCAUAUAUACGGGCCACCAAAAUAAUCCAAAUACUCAUUCUAGACAAGGAUUCAUUUGCAGCUUCCCAGAAGGUGUGAAACGAGCUGGAUUUAGCAGAGCACAUCGACAAGGGCACUGAUGAUGACGUGAGUUAUUUAGUGUAUGAGGGAGGGGAAAGAGAAAAACAUAACAAGCAAUGAAAAUAAAAUAUAGAAAAUUUGAGAGCAAGAACAUAAAGUACUUAACCAAUAUUUCUAACUAGCCUGAUAACUACUGUAAUGUGUAUGAAUAAAACUAGAGAAAAGUUUGAAGAGAAGAAAUGGAGACACUACUACAUAUUGCGUCAUCAAUAACAUAAAUUAGGGUGCCAUAUAAAAUAGGGAACUUUAACGAAAAAUCACGUUUUUACACUAAAAAGUCAAUCUUGGUACUAUUCACUUUACCCUUUAUUUUGUCCUUAUCAUUAAAACUCAAAGUUUUCAAGCCUUUUUCGUUAAUUUUCCUUAUAAAAUAUGCUUUUCAAUAACACCUUUUCCACGUCAUAAAUAAAAAACAAGCAUAGUUGAUUAAAAAUAAUGACGCUUAAACCGCGACGGCCUCAGAAGGCUUGGUGGGGCGUUGCUCUGAUUCUAGUUUUGGUGGGUUCAACAUAUAAAGCACGAACGUGGAUGCAGACUGGCAAGGGAGUCUGUGUAAAAUGGUGAUAAUCAAUCGAAUCCUAGCUAGGGCGUGGUUGAAGGAGAUGAUUUAGGCAAGCCCGACGAAUAUAGAUAGAUAUGAGAGAAUCGAUUGGAUGAGACGAUGGGAGGUAUUCAUGUUAUAAACAAUCUUUCUUAUUCGUGAAAAAGAAAACUUGGGGUUUCUGUUAUUUAAAAAAGGUACUCAUGUAAUAAGCAUUGAGGUUUUGGUUUUUGUUUGAAAUUAGUGUGGCUGGAGUGGUACGUACACUGUGUCAUAAUAUGAAUGGAGAAAAUUUUAUUUUUCAAGUGUUCUUCUACUUGUAUAAUGAAUCAGUGAUAUGUAGUGUACUACCCUAUAUUUCCAACACAUUGAAAAAUCUCUCGUUAAUUGCAGUAACAAAAUCUAUCUAUUUGGAUUUAAUCACAAUUGCCAUGCUACCAGAGCCAUGAAAUUUUGGUGUAAUAGUUGGGGGUUAUCUUAUUCAAAACUUAAUAGCGGCAGAGCCAGAGAACAAAUUAGAUAUAGACAAUUAAACCAUAGCAGGGAUUUGAAACUGAAUCAAGAGGAAGUUUCUAUCCUAGGAUGAUAGAGUAAAAAGACUUAACAAGAGUGAAGUCGAUAAGCAGGAAAGAAAUGGAGGUCUUUCUCCCAUGCACGUUUUGACCUCUUGUUUGCACUUUACAGGUUUUUUCUUCCAGCUUUUUUUUUCCUUUCCUUUUUUUAGUUCUAUUUUAUAAAAUCCACAUCAGCAUCCAUGUAAUUUAAUCAUUUUUUGAGAGCAUUUUUUGCUCACCAUCAUAACUAUAGCCUAUGCUUACCAUACACCUUUUACAUUAGACAAUUUUCAAAGGAGAUGUCAAAUUUUAAACACAAUUUAAAUUUGAAGGCUUAUGUGGCACAUUAAUCUUUUGGUAAAUUUUGUUCUCCACCCAAUAUGUCAGAUUUAAACUAUUAUAACAAAAAUUGUAAAAAACAUUUAUUACUCACUAAAAAUAGAUUUGAAACAGCUAUCAGCAACUCCCUCUGCUAUUAUUUCAUGCCAUGUCAUAUAUAAUUGAUAUUUCAGUUGAAAAACACUAAUACUGUCUUUUUUUACCGUUAUUACUAAUAUAGACUUUUUAACUUCUCCUUUAAAUUUCAGUUGGAAAUCAUUUAUCUUUUUUUACUACAUUCCAUUAAAGAUAAAUGUCCAUCACACACCCUAAUGUUAAAUGAUGAAUGUUAAAACCCUAGUGCUGCCUUUUUACACACCUUAAAGAUAAAUUUAACUCAACAACGCAAUCUUAAUAUUUGUAUCCCAGAUUCUCUACCGUCUCAUAUAUCUUCCCCCCUCCUCCCAUCUCUUUCCUCUCUCGUUUUUUCCCCUUCUCUGUCAUUGGAGCAAAUAUCACAAAUCAAAAAUCUCAAACUGGUGAAGUGUUAUUGAAUCCAGAAAUUUAUGUUCCAUUCAGGAGAUCCAAAUUACAAUAUUGAUUCCAAUUGCGAUUUGAGAUUGAAUCUCCGGUUUGGUUAAGUAACAGAGAAAGGGGAAAAACAUAAGGGGACAGAGCGAGAGGGUGAGGGUUUUUGCUUAUCAACAAAUUUGCAGAAAACAAUAAAAAAAUGUGAGAGACUCCGGGAAGACGAAACGAUGCCGUGCCAAAAAUUGUGCGAUUACUGCGUUCCAUACAUAACUAAUUAGCCAACAGACAAAAUACAAAUUAUAUAAUACAGACAAUCACAAACCCUUCUGUAAUUUAUAAAUUAUAAGUAAACAAGUCAAUUACUGAAAACAUGAAUAAAAUCAUCACAAAUAAACCCAUUUCUUCAAAUGCUUAAUAUCAUCAAAAGAAAAAAAGUAUUCGAGAAACCCAAUUGGGAACACCACAAAAAUGACAUCAGUAUCACCGUAAUUAAGGAAUGGAGGGUUCGGAGGUGGACUCGGCGUCCAUGGCCCGGACGAUUUGAAUUAAAAGAUGGAGGAAUGGAGGGUGGUGGCCUCGGGGCGUGGAUGUUUGUUGCCGUUGUCGCGGUUGUGGUGGUGGCCGUUGGAUCGAAAAGAGAAGAAGAGGAGGACGAGGUGUUUCGUUUGGAAAUUUUUAUUAUGUUUAAUUUAUUUAUUUUUAACUCUUUUCAAAAGUAUUUUAAUAUUAAAUUUAACCCUUAGUUGGUGGGACACAUGGUAAGUUAUAAGAGAGAGGUGAGCAUCCAACAAAGAUAGCGGUGGUGAGCAAAAAUACUCCUGAAAAAUAAUGAAAUGAGUAUCGUCUCUAUUAAAGAGAGAUCAAAUAGUGAAAUGAGUAUGACUAUAGUUAUCACAUUUUUAUCAUUUUUCUAAGGAAAAAUUAGUUUUCGGUCUCUAAUUUCUAAUGUUCAUUGACUAAAACCUUAUCAAAGUCCCUAGCAUUAAUAUAUUAAUGAAUUAUAUGUAAGUUACAUAGUUUUUAUAAAAAAAAAUAGUAAUUGAUUUGGAGUUUUAAUACUCACUCCCUUAUUCAACUCCUAAAUAAUUUUCAAUUCAAAAAUUUCCCAAAUAUAAAAAAUAAAAUUAGAAUAAGUUUGUACAAAAUUUUCAAAUUUUUAAUCUUAUAUAUAUCCAUUCUUAAAUAUACCAAUUUGUUAAAAAUGUACCCAGUUUUAUAUAAAAUUUCAUUCAAUCUUUUCUCUAAUCCAUUUUUUAAACUUAUAUUAUAUGGGUACAUUCUAUUUCAUUGAUUUGAGAAUGUAUCUAUGUCAAGUUUAAUAGAAGAAAUUUAAUAAUGUUAUUAUGCCUAAUAUUUUCUUUUUUUUCGUGCUUUUGAAAAAUGUACCCAUGCUUUGGUACAAUAAUUUUUUGGUUAGUUUUGAUGAACGUACCCAUGUGUACACACACACACACACACACAAAAUAUAUUGGAGAGUAUUCAAUCUUGAUACUAUUCACUUUAACCUAAAUUUUGGUUAGUUUCGUAAUAUAAAAAGUCAAUCUUGGUACUAUUCACUUUAACCUAAAUUUUGUCCUUAUCGUUAAAACUCAAAGUUUUCAAGCCUUUUUCAUUAGUUUUCCUUAGUGUAAAAAUGUGGUUUUUCGUUAAAGUGAACAGUACCGCAGACUUUUCGUUAAAACUCCUUAUUUUAUAAGGAAAACUAAUUAAAAGGGUUUGAAAACUUUGAGUUUUAAUGAUAAGGACAAAAUAAAGGGUAAAGUGAAUAGUACCAGGAUUGACUUUUUAGUGUAAAAAUGUGGUUUUUCGUUAAAGUGAACAGUACCAUGAGCUUUUCGUUAAAAUUCCCUAUUUUAUAUUGAUGACCACAUUACCGAUUGCGAUGUUGACCAUCUUUAUACAUGGGUCUCAUUUCCACAGGUGGUUUCGUAUUAUAUAUAGGCAAUCGACUUUGAUGGAGCAAAUUAUCUUCUACAACGAGUCACGACCCAGCAAUAGAAAUGAGUAAGCCUUCUCUAAUACUCCAGCUUACUAAGCUUGUUUUAUACCAUAUUCUACUUUGGCAACUUGGACGCUGGCCUCAAUCCAAAUUCCACUGUGGAGCCGACGUGGCCGGACUGCCAGUAGAUGAAGGUAUUCAUUACCAGUUUCACUCCAUCUGUUUUCAGCUAACUUUCUGAUUAUAUCGCCUUCAAACACAUGUUUAAUUAAUUAAUUUCAGCUAAGAGGCCUGAUCAUCGUAUUUAUUAAUUACUUACCGAAAUAUUGGCAGUGUCUGCUCUUCAAGCCAUUACGAGAGACUUAGAAUUGAAGCAACAACAAACCAUUACAGACAAAUCGUGCGAUGGAACAUUUUAUGGUUUUACAAUCAAUUGUGAUUGCAAUAACGCGACUAAUCUAUGCCGCAUCUCUAAAAUGUAUGUAUGAAACAAUAUUUCACAAAUACGCAUUUGGUCAAAUAAAUCAUCAAAAUCUUGUUUAAAUUAUAUAUAGAAUGGUAUUAACCCUUUUUUUUUUUUUUUGUGCACUCAUUUUGUGUGGCAGUGAAAUAAACAACCUUGAUUUAACUGGAACCAUUCAUGAAGCUGUGAGUUAUCUUAGCAAUCUAACGUACCUGUACGUAAUCUGACUCUUUCUCUGCCCACCAAUCUUUAAUGUAACUUCAGUUGUUUAUGUUACAUUGCAGACUCCAGUGACAACUUUGGGGUGUAAAAAGAAUAGAAAACUUCAUUUUAAUCCCUAAAUAAUAUUGCUUUUUCAAUAAUACCGUAUGGAAGAUUAAAAACUAAAAAUAGUCCUCCAUGUCAAAUUAUAGUAUUCCAUGUCACAUUUAAUCAUUUUUUAAUAAAUUUAUUGCAUUUUUAGUUUCCCUAUUUACCCUUAUUACUCUCUUAAAACCAAUUAGAGAAACAAAUAUAUAAUUAAUUUUUCAAGAAUGCUUAAUUAACUAGAUCCAUAAUUAACAUGUUUGUUAUAACAUAAAUCUCCAUGUGUUAUUCCGAUCAAAGAACCCAGAAAACUCAGAAACCAUGAUCAAACAAAAAAAGCCAUAAAACUUACAAACCAAAAAUCUCGUUGUAUUCGGAAGAAAGAAGAAAAAAGGGGCUUUUAGAUGCCAAAUUGACGGUGAAUCCAGAGAUAAAUGAAAAAAAAAUACAGAUUGAGAAAAUAGAAUGUGAAAUCACAACUUAAUUGACCGUACCAAAUUAAUCGGACAUACACUAUAUAGUACCUAACCGAUCAUACCGAAUAGAUAAGACCUAAUUGAUAGUACCUAAAUAAUUAAGGUGCAUUUAUAUAGGUACUAUGAUUUAGGUGCAUUCAUAUAGGUACCAUGAUUUAGGUGCAUUCAUAUAGGUACCAUGGUUUAGGUGCAUUCAUAUAAGUAUCAUGGUUUAGGUGCAUUUGACUUGGUACUAUGAUUUAUGUGCAUUCGACUAGGUUAUAUGAUUUAAGCACAUUAGGACAUGGUUUAAGUGCAUUCGAUUAUGUAAAAUAUAUGAUUUGACUAUUUAUAUUUCCUCUAUGCUUUGAAUGGUGAUAAUGAAUUAUUUGAAUUAGGUAUUUGUUAAUUCUUGUAACGUAUCACUAAUAUUUUUUUGAAUUAUGUUUAUCAUUUUAGAAAGUCAGACAAUAAUCAAUGCCAAAAAAUAUGGAGCUAAUUAAAAUCAAAUAUUUAAUAGGGGCAUUAUAGGAACCAAAAAAACACAUUAAAUAUUUCAAAACAAGAAAAUAUAAAUUUUAAUAUUUAUGUUGACAUGGAAAUUUAGUCAAAGGACUAUAAUGAAUAUAUAAUCUAACAUAAGGUUUUAAUUGAAUUUCAAUCUUUAUCAAGGAUUAAAAUGGAGAAACCCCUAAAAAGAACUAACCUUCACAAAAAUAUUCACUAAGUGUGUAAAGAAAUUAUAAGUUCAACCUAAUUAAAUUUUGUUUUUUUUUCUUUCUUUUUAUAUAUCAUAUCAAAAGCUCUCUAGCCAACAACAAACUUCAUGGCAGCAUUCCUGAUACAUGGGGGAAUUUGAUGGAUCUCGAAUACCUGUAAGUAAAUAUAUACUAGAUGGUUACACGCACACACUAUAAUUUGCAUGAUUAUGAAUAUAUGGAUAGUUUUACAUGAAAAUUCAUUGUUAAUCAAUCAACUAGAUGCUUUAGUGUGUACUUGUGAAAAUUAGAAUCCUAAAUUGGGGUUCUCUAUAUCAAGGGAUCUAUCCUCCAAUCAACUCAGUGGUCUAGUACCAGCAAGCUUAGGGAACCUGGCUUCUCUUCAAAACCUGUAAGGGCUUUAUGUCGCCAAUUUAAUUGUGGAGAGUCAUCUUGAUUAAUUUCCAUUAAUUUCUUUUGUUAAAAUUCUUAUCAAGUCAUUUUCACGCUCUAUAUAUAUAGAUAUCUGAAUAACAACUUGCUUAGCGGAGGUAUACCACGAAAUUUUGGUUCAUUGACAAAUCUUAUUCAAAUGUGAGUACAUAAAUUAUAUAUUUCUUUUAUUAAUCUCCUCCACCUCAUAUUUUAAUUUUGAUGGAUUAAUUCAUUUCAUGCAUGCUUUACUUUCACCGGCUUUUGCAGGACUAUGCAGUUUAAUAAGCUAUCAGGCUCAAUUCCUGAUGAUUUUGGAAAGCUUUCGAGUCUUUCAUAUAUGUUUGUACUUUGCUUACACCACAUUUAAUUAUACUUAUAGACUUGUGAUUUUAUUUGUAUGCAUGUUUAUAUAAUAAAUAUAUAUAUAUAUAUAUAUAUAUAUAAUUAAUCUUCUAAAACAUUAAUUCUAAGUCUUUUGUCAUUUUUUCCCAUAGGGAUCUGUCUGAGAAUCAGCUCUCUGGUCCUCUUCCAGAAAGCCUCGGAAAUUUGAAUUCACUCAGCUCCUUGUAAGUUUAAAUGAAAAAAAAAAAAAUCAAACUCAUCGCUUAAAAACUAAAUAAAAUAGAAAUAAUAAUCGAGUUAAUAUGCAAAAGUAAUUAACAUAGGAGUGUCUCUUUCAUUGUUGCAGCUACGUGUCGGCCAAUUAUUUGAGUGGGGAAUUUCCAAAAGGUUAUGACCAGCUCACAAGUCUGGAAUACUUGUAAGUGUUCACUCCUGUCAAUGAUUAAUUUGAGGUUUGCCACACAUUAAUUAAAUAAUUAAGAGAAUAUGAUGGUGACUGGUGAAUGCAUACAGUUCAAUAGCCGGGAAUUACAUUUCUGGUCCCUUACCAGUUGAAACCAUAGCCAAGUGGACUAAUAUCAAUUACCUGUAAGUAAUUUUUAGCUUUACACUUAGCAGGUAGCAAUAGUAUUCUCUCCCUCUUACUAUUAAGGUUUCUUAAAAAGACAAUUUUUUUUUACACGGCGUGCAGGGUGCUCGUGGGAAACAAUUUCGAAGGAAACUCGACGACUAAAUAUACUGAAAUAUUCAAUUUGCCAAACCUUCAGUAUCUGUAUAAGACAUCUUCCUCUUUCUUUCGCUUUGCUGGUUCUAUAAUAUAUAUAUAUAUAUAUAUAUAUAUAUAUAUAUAUAUAUAUAUAUAUAUAUAUAUAUAUAUAUAUAUAUAUAUAGUGUGUGUGUGUCUAUAUAUAUAUAUAUAGGGUAAUGCUAAGGAGGCUACAUUUAUAGACAAAAAUUGCAAAUUAAAUAAUAUGUUUCUAGUAUAAAUGAGCACAUUUAUCAAUGUUUACGUAAUAUCCAAUCAUGAGCUUCCAUGUCAUUUUAUUUACAAAAGUUUUGAUUACAAAUUUUGUUUAUCUAGCAUUAUCCAUAUAUAUUAUGAUUAGAGGUUGAAAAUGUAUAUAUAUUUAUUCCUCUGCAGGUUCAUAAGUGACCUGGCAAAUGACGGUUUCCAAUUACCACCAAAUAUCUCCAACAGUGCCAAUUUCAUUUCUCUGUGAGUGGUUAGUUGUAAUAAUUGCUUCUAGCCCAGUUUGUGCCGAAAGGCUUCAUUUUUCAUUCUUCACGUUGGUUUUCUACAGAACACUGAGGAACUGCUCAAUCACCGGCCCAAUCCCCAAAUACAUUAGUGAAAAUAUGACAUCUCUAAGAUACCUGUAAUUUCACUUCACUUUUGUAAUUCUGCUUUUGGAGUUGUCCUGUUAAUUUGGCUGGAAGAAAAUUUAGAAAACUAUAUUUUAGUCCUUAAAAAUGAUUACUUUUAGAUAAAUAUCGUAUGUAAGAUUAAAAACUAAUUUUAGUUAUAUGACUCGUGUCCAAAUCAGCAUUUAUAUUCCAUGUCAUUAUUAAUUUCUUUUAUGUAAUUUUACUAUGUUUUGUCUUCCUAUAUUACCCCUAAAUAUUGCUAUUAAAUGGUUCACAAUUGAAUGAAUUUUUUUUUAAUUCAAAAUGAGCAUCCGGCAUUUAAAGAUGCAACAUCAAAGGAAUUAGAGAUUAGGCUUCUUAGAAAAAAUGAUUUGGCUCUUGCAAUUGAAGCAAACCAUCCAUGUAUUGCUGAUUUCUUCACACACAUCUUCUAAUUACAAUUUUCCCCUUUUUCUCAUCAUUUGUAGUAGGUCUCUCUCUAGUUUCCUUCUGUUGGUUUUGAAUGUUAUAUGGCUUGUGUAUCUAUGUGGAUUCCAACGAUUUGCAACGAAGAGAAUGAGUUUAGUAACUUUUUUGUGGCAUUGUGCUUGUGAUAUCUCUUAUUUUAUUAGUUUUUGUUGUUAUUUUGUGUUGGUUGAUUUUAUUAUCAGGUUUUGAUCAUUUUGUCGGUGUAUGAAUUAUUAAGUUUGGAGUUGGGUUUGAUCUAUCGCAUCUAUACUCGAUUCAGUACGAUAAUGUAGAUGCAUUCGAUUAGGUACUAUAAUGUAGAUGCAUUCGAUUAGGUACUAUAAUGUAGAUGCAUUCGAUUAGGUACUAUGAUGGAGAUGCAUUCGGUUAGAUAUUAUGAUUUAGGUGCGUUCAACUAGGUACUAUGAUUUAGAUGCGUUCAACUAGGUACUAUGAUUUAGGUGCGUUCAACUAUGUACUAUGAUUAGGUGUUUUCAACUAGGUACUAUAAUUUAGAUGUGUUCAGUUAUUUACUAAUAUUUAGAUACAUACACUUUUUUGGUGUAUUAUAUGUGUGAUACCUUAACUUUUUUCAUCUUGUAAUUUAGGCAUGAUGAUAUGAAAAGUCUUUUCAGGCACCAUAAUCAUGGAAGAAAUCAAGCAUAAAUGAAUCAAAGUCAAAAUUAGUUCCUAAUAAUUUGGAACAUGCCAAGAAGGUCGAAUAAUUAAUUACAAGGGCACAAUGGAAAACAAAAAGAACCAUUAAAGAGUUUAAAAAUAACAAAAUAUGAGUCAUAAUAAUCAUGAUGACAUGGAAGACUAAGAUCAAAUAUCUAAUCCUACACCAGGUUUUAAUGAAAAAUUAAUCUAAUACAAGGAUUAAAAUUCAUUUACCCCAAGAAAAUUGAAUCAGUUUUAGGGCUUGUUUUAUAAUCAUAAACAUUUAUGCUAGAAAUGUUUUCAUUUAAAACGAUUCAAAUUUUUUUAUUAUUAAAAAUUUAAGUGAUUUCUUGCAAAACCACUUACAAGUGUUUCCUUAAAAGCAUAUGACGUGUACUGAUUUUUUCAAAACACACUUUUAGGACCCAAAAUCAUUUAUUACUUUUUUGUGACAGACAUGGUCGUAAUUGCAUUUAAUUAUUAGAAAGUACUUUUAGCUACUCUCCAACAAACCCUCAACCGCUUCAUUGGACAAUUAAUUAAUCAUCGUCUGAUAUAUCUUUCCAUGUUGUAUUUUUUAUUUCACAAUAUAUAGCCAAUUACAUGGAACCAGAAUUGAGCAUGUUCUUAAUAUCAUUGUAGAUCAAAACUCCUUUAACUGUUAAUCUAAUCCUCUGUGUUUUGUCUUGCAGAGACUUGAGCUUCAAUAAGUUAACCGGUGGCCUCCCUUAUUAUAUGAAAUCAGAUAUGAUUUACAUGUAAAGGAAUAACAUUCUUAACUAGAAGAAUUUAGAUUAACUACAUAUCUAAGUCUUGUUAAUUACAUGCGUUAAUAUAAUAUAUAUACCCUUAAUUAUGUUUAGGUCUUUUUCUGGAAAUAUGCUUAACGGGCCAAUCCCACGUUGGAUAUUUCGGGCCUUGCAAACUAGGAUGUACGUCUUCAUAUCCUGAACUAAAGUUGGAAGAACUUUCAUUUGUAACAGCUUUAAUUUUUUGCUCAUAUGUACAAAUUAAACGAGAUUGAUACAUGCUAUGUUAUUUUUUAGGGAUCUUUCGUUCAACAAUUUUUCAGCAGUAGACUAUGCAGUUCCAAGCAACCUACAUCUGUGAGGAUAUGUUCUUUCUUCUUUUUCUGUUGACGAAAUUGAAUGGUUCCACUUCCACUACUAAUUGCAUCGAGGCCUUUUGUUUAAACUUCACCACAACUAUUGUAGCACAUCGCCGAAGUUGGGGACAACAUCAAUUAUGAUUUUUUUGUUUCAUGACCUUAAUUUUUUUUUUUUUUUCCAGGAAUUUGUUUGCCUGCUGCCGCGACUCCUCAACCUCUUUACCAGAUAUGUAUGUUUUUUUCCCUUUUGUGUUAGUAAGAGACUCGAUCAUCAGAACCUUGUAUAACAAAUUGGUAACUACUUUUAGGAUGGAUCCGUUUGAAAUGAAGAACAAAUACUGUCCUCGAAACAAACCAAAGUGUAAGUUUAUUCUUCGGAAAUCGGCAUCCUGAAAACAAACUAAAUGCUGCAGGACAUAUUAUAUGUUAAUUGUUCUUGCAGACCAUUCCUUGUUUAUUAAUUGUGGUGGUGAAGAGACAACUGUUCUUGGGAAUAUAUAUGAUCAAGAUAAUGACACAUCCCCCUCUUACACAAGUCCAAAUAAAAACUGGGCUUACAGCCUUUCCGGAGACUGGCUUGUACAAACAGUAAUGGCAGUGAUUACAUCAAGAGCACGACACGUGGAGUUUCCAUUACUGAGGCACCCCUGUAUGAAAAAGCUCGUCUGUCCGCGGUAUCUCUCAAGUAUUAUGCUUUUUGUCUGCGCAAAGGCAAUUAUACUGUGACGCUUUAUUUCAAAGAAGUUGUAUACACUGAUGAUGCAAACUAUACUAGUCUAAGAAAACGUGUAUUUGAUAUAUAUAUUCAGGUAACAGUUCAUUUUUUUUUUUUUGGAAAACAACAGUUCUUUUUUUUGUCAUGGUAACAGUCACAUCAUUCUACUUUUAUUUAUUGUAUUAUCUUAUUUUAAGUAAAUUUUGUUGCAGGGUAACAGGACAGAAAAUUAUUUCGACAUUAUAGACAAGGCGGGCAAUGGAGAAAAACCGAUAACUGUAAAUCAUUCAGUCGAGGUUGCACAUGAUAGUGAUACGUUAGAGAUCCACUUGUACUGGCCUGGAAAGGGGUCUACUGGUUACCGACCUAGUUUUAAUGGACCUCUAAUAUCAGCUAUUUCUGUGAAUCCUGGUAAUAUUUUAUUUCGUGUAUUGAUUCUUUUUUAAUUUAUUUUGUUCAAAUGAACACUCAUGUAUUAUUACUCUCUUCCCGCUAAAUUCAGCGUUUGAAAUUAGUCUCGAUAAAUAUAAACGUCUACUCAUUGCAUUGAUUACGAUUGCAUCCUUGUCUUUUCAUUACAUGCCUAGUUUUAAUAGACAUCUAAUAUCAGCUAUUUUUGUGAAUUCUGAUAAUAUUUUACUCUGAAUCGUUUCCUUUUCAAUUUGUUUUGUUCAAAUUAACACUCAUGUAUUAUUAAUUUAUUACUCUCUUUCCACUAAUUUCAGAGUUUGAAAUUAAUCCCGACAAACUAAAAGGUCAACGUGUUGCAUUGAUUACGAUUGCUUCAAUUGUUGCUGCUCUGCUGCUUUUAUUGGCUUUUGCUUGGAGGAUGGGGUGGCUGACAAGCAAAGAGGUCCACAGUAAGUGUCUAUAAAAUGGGAUUUGGAUCCUCUCCUGAGCUUAAGGAGACGAUCCUCCUGACCAACAUAUAUGGGCCGUUGGAGCCGUUGGAUUUUCAUCCAACGGCUACAAAAAUGGAGUCUCUUUAAAGUUAUAAUAAUUAUAGCCGUUGGAUUUUCAUCCAACGAUCCAUAUAUAUUGGUCAGGAGGAUCCUCUCCUUAAGCUCAGGAGAGGAUCCAAAUCCUAUAAAAUGCAUGCUAAGCUACAAUUAUAUACUGCAUUGCAAUACAAGAAUAUGUCCUCUUUGAUACACUAAAACGAAAAGAAUUAAAGUUGUCUGAUUGAUAUAUGUUCUUGAUACAUUUUUUCUCUGGACAGAGAUCAAAAUAGGUGUAGAAAAAAUAGAUGACGAGCUUCAAGAUAAAUUUGUCACCAUCAAAGAAUUAAUAAAGGCUACUGAAAAUUUUAGCGACAAAAAAAAACUUGGACGUUAUGGGACAGUUUAUAAGGUAAACUUCUGUACUUGUAUACAUUCUAUAAUUUUUGUAAUUUUGUUUUAUUCUAAAAUUUUUGUGUGAAUGAAGGCAAAACUGCAAGGUCACAUUGUGGCCGUGAAGAAACUAGAUCCCGCUCAAUUUAAGAAAAAAAUUGAAGACCUGAACAAGGAAAUUGGCACCAUAAGGUCAUUACAACACCAAAAUAUCCUCCAACUGUUGGAUGGUUUUUUUGAUAAAGACCUCCAACUUCUUGUUUACGAGUAUAUGGAAAAGCAAUCCCUUGCCGAUAUCUUAUUUGGUAAUAUAUUUUCUACUUCUUGUUUACUUGUACUGUGAUGUUUUGAUGCGUAUAAUGGUUUAAAACUAUCAUGAAAGACGAAUACAACAUAUAACGUAUUGAAGUGUAUGCAACUGCAGGCUCGAAUACUUCUAGCACAUUCAAGCUUGAAUGGAAUACAAGGGUUAACAUUUGCUUGGGAAUAGCAAAGGGUUUGAAUUAUCUACAUGAGCAUCCGAGAGUACAGAUUCUUCAUAGGAAUAUAAAAUCCGCUAAUAUUCUUCUUAAUGAAAAUUUUGAGCCUAAGAUAUCUGACUUUGGAUUUGCAAGUCUUUAUACCAAAGAAGAUAAGGUUAAGGUCAUCACAAGAGAAGUUCCGAAGUAAGUAAACUAGUAACUCACCAGUUUUAUAAGGCAAAUUUAAGUCUAUGUAAAAUUAAAUGCUUAUGCUUAUUACAGAGGCUACAUGGCGCCAGAGUGUUACCUUGAAACAAAUGAUAUAACGUACAAAGCAGAUGUUUACAGCUUUGGGGUGGUCAUGCUUGAAAUUGUUAGUGGGAAGAGAAACAUAUUGAGCAAACCAAACGAGGAAACUCAGGUUCUUUUAGAUAGGGUAAGUAAGAGUGACAGGGUUGUGUUUUUGUGUUUUCUUCUCUAUAUUUGAUUAUGCAUUUUUAGGUGUGAUUACGCAUUCAAGCUUGAUGCUAACAACCCAUCCUGCAUAUGUGCAGGCUUAUCAAGCACUUGCCGAAGGAAAUUUGAAGAGCUUGGUUGAUAAAAGUUUGUCUAAAUAUGAUGAAAAAGAAGCCCUCGUCAUUAUGAAAUUAGCAGUGUAUUGCACCACUCUAGGUCCUAGUGUCAGACCUAAAAUGUCUGAAGUUGUGAGUGUUCUUGUUCGCGAAAAAACCCUUGACGAGGUUUUUCCACCCGCCAAGCUCACUGGCGAUGGCAAUGUUGCUGGUUCCACCUCUUUGGGGAAGACUUCAGCAGCAUCAACUUCGUCUAAUGAUCACGGGAAAGUAUUUCUAGAUUGAACAAGUUUCAUAUGAUUAGCAUUAGGCGUUCUGAUGCGACUCUAAGCUAAUGAGCUUUGGUUAUGACUAGUUAGAUCACUUAGUGUCAAUUUGUCAUUACUACCCAUUAGGCCCACUACUUAAGUAAUAUUAUUAGGCCAUCCAUACCUCAAACCCUAGCUAUCUUUAUAUGUAUUUAAACAUCUUUUAUGAUGUAAAGGGGAUAUGAAUGAAGAUAUGAAUUUCCUUUGAUUUCCUUUUCUAUUUCCUGUAUUACUUUUCUUGCAAUUUCCCUUUUAUGCCAUGUCUGAUCCUAUCAAUUGGUACCAGAGCCAGAGAUCCGCAAUGGAUCUAUGGUUUGGACCCGUCGAUCCCACACUUCCAGCGCCGUGGACAAGUGUGACGGAUGAUUCCAGUGGUAUGGUGUUUUAUUGGAAUCCAGAAACCAAUGUUUCUCAGUAUGAAUAUCCAAACCCGCCUCCACCACCUCCUCCUCCUCCCGAUCACUACCAGUUUCCAUUCAAGUAUACACCUACCUUUCCCUCAUCUGCUCUUACCUAUCAACCACCAGAUUACCCAGCCUCGUAUAUGCCUGAGCUUCCCGUUGCUCCUGUAUAUACCAGUCCCAUUUUCCUCCCGCACCCCGCACCACCUUCCGUUGUGUUUUCGGCCUCCAUCGAUGUCCCUCAAAUCCCUCAUUCCUAUACCACAAACCCUAAUUUUCAAGAUCCCCAAAUUUACUCUCCAUCGUCGUACGAACAAAAUUCGUGGGUUUUCGAUUCUGAGAACCGUCUACGAUUUAAUGACCCCCAUCAGGUAUCUCCUUACGAAAUUGACUUGGGUCCCGAUUUGAACGUGCAUACAGCUUCUACAGCAGGAAAUGUCUUCAGCAUGGUCAGAGGUGUUCACCACACAUCUCCAAAAAUGCCGCUUAAAUCGGUUCGAGCAAAGCAUAAACUUGCAGUGUGUUCUUAUUGAAUAUUAUUGAAUAUUCUUUAAACCCUAAUAGAUGUAAAGCUGUGUUUAGCUAGGGUUUAGUGAGCUGUGUUAUUCCCUCUUCUGUGUAAAGCUUGUUAAUAAGCUGUAAAGCAUGUGUUAGAGAAUGUGGAGGUCAUCAUACUCUCAUGCUUGCUUAGCUGACUUGCUUAGCUGCCAUUGUCCCCCUCUCCUCUCUCUUUCCCGAUUAUUCUUCUAUUUAUGCUUAAUCUUGUAAACUGUUUUGACAAUGAAAUAUACAUUAAGAUUGUCUAUAUGGUAUCAGAGCAGUGAUCCCUCAAGGACCUGCAUCUGUGUUCUUCCGAAAUCCUACCAAAUUCAAACCAGUUAAAGCCAUUAUGGCAACAUCAUCAGAGAAAGUUUCAAAAAACGAAACUAUGGAUACCAACCCAAUUCAACGUUUGAGCUCAGUGCUCCUAAACGAAUUCAACUAUCUGCCUUGGUCACGAGCUAUUUCUCUCGCUCUUGGAGGACGUGGAAAGCUCCAGUUCAUUCAAAAGGAUGAUAUCAUGCCCGAAACAACUUCACAAGAUUAUGCAGCAUGGGUGUCCCAAGAUCAACUUAUCAUGUCUUGGCUGUUGAAUUCAAUGGAACCAAAGAUGGCUGAGAUUUUCAGUUAUUCAGUAUCAUCUCACCACCUUUGGAUUUCUGUACGAGACAUGUAUGGAAAUCUAAACAAUGCUGCGCGAGUCUUCCAGCUGAAGAAAGAUCUUACAGAAUUACAACAGGGAAAUCUCUCUUUUGUUCAACAUCUUGGCAACUUGAAGGCCAAAUGGAAUGAAUUGGAUCUCUACAGACCUCAUACCACGGACACAACCAUUCUUUUAAAGCGUGCUGAAGAAGACAAAGUGUUCCAGUUGCUUGCCAGCAUCGGACCAGAAUAUGAGGAUCUUAAAAGUCAUCUCCUGAUGACACCUGAACUUCCCACCUUCCAGAUGGUCUGCAACGUUAUUCAACGCGAAGAAAUAAGGAAGAAGGUCAUGAAUGCAGUCGUUGUCGUUGGAGAAUCAGAUCUUAGGCCAUCAGAAGCAAGAGCCUUCACCUCUUUCAGACCAUACAAGGGAAAACGACCAGACUUAAAGUGUUCUCACUGUGUGAAAAUAGGUCGUCCAGGCAUUGGACACAUAAAAGAAAAGUGCUGGAUUCUUUCAUCCAGAACUUAAACCCAAGUUCAAUGAUGAUGGAAGAGCACCAAGAAAACCAAAUGAAGCCUGCCUACACUCAUCAAGGAAACCUUGUUUGCGACAAUGUCUCCAAAAAUGUGAUGAACUCUUCUUCUAGUCCCAUUACUCUCAUAAAUGAAUUUGCUAACUUCCUGCAACAGAAACAAGGGACAACAAAUCAUGAAAAUCCUGCAACCAUGCUCGGCAAGUUUGCUGGUUUCCUCGAACAAUCAAGCUCAGUGUCACAAAAUGAUGUGCCAGGUAUUGUUGCAACUAUUUCCACUGCAUUGGAUCUUAGUAGUAGCCGUGGUUUUUGGAUAGUCGACUCAGGAGCUUCUGAUCACAUGACUAACGAUGCAUCUUUACUAAAUGAUUUUCAAAACUUCUCCACUCCUUCUUUUAUCUCCGUAGCUAAUGGCACCAAAGUUAGUAUAGUAGGCAUAGGAAAACUCAAAAUCUUCUCAAGUAAAAAGGAAUCCCUUGUCAUGCAUGUCCCUUCCUUUCCUUUCAAGUUGCUGUUAGUAGGAAGUAUAACACAAUUGCUAAAUUGUCUUGCAAUUUUUUCCACUCACUGUGUGAUUUUCCAGGACCGAGUUUCGAAGGAAACGAUUGGUAAAGGUUUCUUCCUCAAUGGACUGUACUAUGUCAAUCUCUCUUCAAGUUUUCCAAAAGGUUUCUACGUAAACUCAAAACACAGUAAACAAGGAGCAGCUGUGGCACAUGAGAUUAGCUCAUCCUUCUUCCCAUGUUAUGUCUUUUAUUUUUUCCUAGUUUCUGUAAAGAGAUUUCAGAUUGUGAAGUUUGUCAAAAAUCUAAGUCCACCAGGUUACCCUUUCCCCAUUCUCUCUCUAGAGCUACCAAAGUGUUUGAAAUUGUCCAUUCCGACAUUUGGGGACCUGCAACCUUAAAGUCUUUUGAUGGCUACAGAUUCUUCAUCUCUUUCAUUGAUGAUUUCUCUAGAACUACCUUUGUGUAUUUACUUAAAUUCAAGCACGAAGCUUUCCAGUGUUUCAAAAAUUUUCAUAACUUAGUUCAAAAUCAUUUUAACUCUAAUAUUGGCAUCUUAAGGUCUGAUAAUGGCUCUGAGUAUACUUCCAAAAUCAUGACAACUUACUUAAGUGAGCAUGGAAUCUUGCAAACAAACUAGUUGUGUAGGAACACCACAACAAAAAAUGGCAUUUCAGAAAGGAAGAACCGAGAUUUGCUUGAGAAAACACGAUCACUAAUGUUACAAGCAAACCUUCCAAAGAAGUUCUGGUCCCAAGCUAUACAAACCGCUGCAUACAUCAUAAAUCGACUUCCUAGCAGAAUCUUGAAGUUUUAAAUCUCCUUGUCAAAUUCUCAAGGGGAGAGAUAUUGACAUAAGUCAUCUCCGUGUGUGUUUGGAUGUGUGUGCUAUGUGCAUAUUCAAACUAUUCACCGAGAUAAACUUGAUCCAAGGGCUAUCAAGUGUGCAUUCGUAGGCUACUCAACUUCCCAAAAGGGAUACAAAUGCUAUUAUUCUAAAACCAGAAAGGUGUUUGUAUCCAGGGAUGUACGGUUUGAUGAGACACACUUCUUCUUUCAGAAGCAUGAUGAUGAACCUCAGGGGGAGCUCUCAUAUGAAGUGUUUCCCACUCCUCUCGUCCUUGAUGAUCCAAGACUGUCAACACCGCACAAUGAAGCAAUUGAGAUAGAGCCAGCUCAUGAAAAUAUGGAGGCAAAUAAUGAAGAAGUCCUCCACGAAAGGAGAGAGCCCCUUGAACAACCUACUCCUCCACGAAGGAAUCCUUCUCGAAACAGACAACCUCCAGCCAGGCUUGAUGAUUUUGAAAUCUACAUGCCUAGAUAUCCUAUUGGACAAAUGGUUUACCAUAGCAAGACCUCUCCAUCUCAUGCAGCAUUUGUCACUAAGUUAUCUCAACACUCGGAGCCUCGAUCCUUCGAAGAGGCAAACCAAUCUCCUAUAUGGAGAUGUGCUAUGCUUGAGGAACUGAAGGCACUCGAAGAAACUAAAACUUGGAGCAUUGUUUCUCUGCCAAAAGAUCAACGUGUGGUUGGGGCAAGAUGGAUUUACAAGACAAAAUUUAACUCAGAUGGAACCAUCCAGCGGCACAAGGCAAGGUUAGUUGCAAGGGGCUUCACGCAAACCUACGGGGGUAGAUUACAAAGAAACCUUUGCCCCGGUGGCAAAGAUGAACACAGUUAGAGUUCUUCUUUCGGUGGCUAUCAAUUCACAAUGGUCUCUACAUCAAAUGGAUGUAAAAAAACGCUUUUCUUCAUGGAGAGUUGGAAGAAGAAGUGUACAUGCGCCUACCACCUGGUCAUGAACGAGAGAAGGAACAAGGAGUAGUAUGCAAGCUUCACAAGGCCAUUUACGGUCUCAAGCAAUCUCCAAGGGCUUGGUACUCAAAACUAAGCUCUGUCCUUAUGUCAUCCGGUUUUAAACGAAGCAAUGCAGAUUCUUCAAUGUUCACUAGGCUUGGCACACAUGGAAGAUUGGUGGUACUUGUUUAUGUUGAUGAUCUCAUUGUCACAGGAGAUAAUCCAGAAGAAAUCAAUGUUCUCAAAGCCACCUUACAUUCAACAUUCUCAAUCAAAGAUCUCGGCAGACUUAGAUACUUUCUCGGAAUCGAAAUGGAUCAAUCUCCAACGGGGUUGUUUCUAAAUCAACAAAAAGUACGUUCUCGAUCUUUUAGAAGAAGCCAAUAUGAUGCAUUGCAAACCUGCUAAAACACCUCUACCAACAAAAUUUCAAGCAUGAAACCUCAGGCAUCCAGCUUGAAAAUGUAUCGGAGUAUCAAAGGUUGGUAGGAAAACUUAUCUAUUUGACUAUAACUCGACCUGACAUUGCUUAUGCUGUUAGCUUUGUCAGCCAGUUCAUGCAUUCUCCCACAUCUCAUCAUCUGCAACUAGUUAAAAGGAUCCUUCGAUACUUAAAAAAGCUCAAUGUCUACCGGGAUUUUCAUGCAAAACAACGGACACUUCACCAUUGAAGGAUACACAGACUCUGAUUGGGCAGGCAACGUCCUUGAUCGCAAGUCCACAACUGGUUACUGCACUCUUGUAGGUGGUAACCUCGUCACGUGGAAGAGCAAAAAGCAAUCUGUUGUAGCUCGGUCCAGCGCAGAAGCUGAGUACCGUGCAAUGGCAUCUACUGCAUGCGAACUAAUUUGGCUAAAGAGUUUGCUACAUGAUCUUGACAUCAUCUCUUCCAAGCCAAUUCUCCUCCACUGUGACAAUCAAGCAGCGAUGCAUAUUGCUGCCAACCCCGUCUUUCAUGAACGAACAAAGCAUAUCGAGGUUGACUGUCAUUUCGUCCGCAACCAAGUCCAGUCCAAGCUGUUACAAACUGCAUUUGUUCGCUCCAGUGAUCAACUAGCCGAUGUGUUCACCAAGCCCCUUCCUUCUUCUCAACUUGAUCGUAUUCUCUUCAAGCUUGGAUCCAGAAAAUCUCUCGAUCCAGCUUGAGGGGGAGUAUUGAAUAUUAUUGAAUAUUCUUUAAACCCUAAUAGCUGUAAAGCUGUGUUUAGCUAGGGUUUAGUGAGCUGUGUUAUUCCCUCUUCUGUGUAAAGCUUGUUAAUAAGCUGUAAAGCAUGUGUUAGAGAAUGUGGAGGUCAUCAUACUCUCAUGCUUGCUUAGCUGCCAUUGUCCCCCUCUCCUCUCUCUUUCCCGAUUAUUCUUCUAUUUAUGCUUAAUCUUGUAAACUGUUUUGACAAUGAAAUAUACAUUAAGAUUGUCUAUAGUUCUCAUGUGAGGAUGAAAAGGAAGGCUUCGUCUGUGAGUUUUUGCCAACGACGACAACGGAAUCAGGUGCUUCCGUCGUUCUCUGCUGCUCCAUCAUUGUCGUUGGCACCUUUACCACAGGCGCAUGAACAAACUUUUCCAACGAACAGAGAGCAGCACCUGCUCAAUACCAACCAUAGCGCAGGUCCCGAGCGGCUUCUCAGUCUGAAGCCUAUCAGCUUCGGCGCACCAAAGCAUCUUGUUGAUUCGGAGGACGUGGAAGGGGUGAACCCUAACCCUCAGGUGGAACUUGGUCAUGUACUUGUUGUAGGUGAUUCGUGCUGCCACGAGAGCCUCGCUGGAACCGUUUUCCUUCUCCCAGGAGCCGAGGUGGAUGCAGAAGGGGAACUCUUCGAUGCCCUUCUUCAUGCCAACAUCGUAGAUUCGGAUCUUGGGGUCGGGCACACCGCGACUGAAGCGGGAUUUCGGGUAGGGUUUGUUCUUGAUAUUUGCUAUUCUGAUGUUACGGCAGAGCAAGGGCAAGGGUAUCAACAGUUUCAAUUUGAUGUUCUGAGUCUUGUUGGAAAUCAACCUUGGGUUCCCCAUGCAAUCCAGAUGUUUGAUGGAAUGCCAAAAAGAAGAAUUAAGGACCCAAUGCCUAAUUUUCUCACCUUGGACCUUAUGGAACAAUUUAAGUCUGGCUUGGCUCUUAAUGAGUAUACAAGCUGUGCUUUGAGAGCUUUAAGGGCAAUUCGAAUGUUGAGAUUUCUAUUUGAUGAGGGAGGGGAUCUACGAGAACUACAAAUUGUCGAGGCUGUGUUUAGGCAACUAUGUCAGUUGACAGAAACAAGUAUUAAAAUUGUUUCGGAUCAAUUGAGCAUUGUGGACAUUACACUUUUGUAUCCUGUAAGUCUAGAGCUCACUCUCUUGGCUUUAGAAUGGAGCAAGUUGCAUAUUACAAGACCACUAAUCUUGAUCCUUACAGUAGUGUUUCUGCCCUUUGAAGAUUUUUCUAUUAUUUGUAGACAUUUCCAAACAGUCUCGAGCAAGGAAAAUAUGGUGUACCACUUCAAGGUUAGUUAUACUGUCGAAGUAAGGUUGAUGCCUCUUAUGACUCACACUCAUUUCCUUCCAUAUGAGGAUAUUAUUCUUGCCUUGACAUCUGCAUAUUGGAGUUCAGAAGCUAUGCACUUACGUAAGUUCAUUGCUACCUCUUUUCAUAAGAGUGGGUUACUAAAUAAUGAUUUUGCAUUGAUUGUCUUGCACCAGCACCGUAAGCCGGUUGAGAAAUUCAUGGAAAUAUUUGAGAACGUGUGGAUAAGCUGGAUGACACUACUUAUUAGUAUGAAUCACAAAGGGGCGCUGAACAUGGCAUCUCUCAUUAAGUUAUAGAGACUUUUACCAUUCACAGGAGUUAAGUUUAAGUACAACAAUCCAGUGGCAGCCACCUACUUUAGUUCUGAAAAUCAAAGACAUGUUUGUCUUAUCUUUCGUAUUAAUUCCAUUGCUUUGAGAACUGCUUUUGAAAAGUAUUGGGAUAGUGAGGACUACGUAACAUGGUGCCACUUCAAUGUCACAUGUAACGUCGAUCUUAUGGCAGCUAUGUUUGUGACUCAUACGACUCAUGUUUUUUUAAUGGAGAGGUAUUUUUCUGGUCCUACUACUUCUAUGUCUCCUACUCAUGUUCAGCCUCCAGUGACCACUUUUGUUCAUGGUUUGCUUUUUCACCUUCAUAAGCAUGAAUUAGAUAAUGCCUCAGUGGGGAUGAUAACUCAAGUUGCUGCCACCCUUAGUUAUUGGUUGAAUGUUAAUGUUUUGUUUAUUGCCAAAUGGGUUGAGAAACAUAUAGUUUUCGUGUCAUUGUUCACAUGGAAUGAAGUGUUGAGCAUAACUUUUGUUGUCGCUGAUCUUUUUUGUCAUCAUGCCAAAGUGCAAGUUCCCUUGGAAAAUAUGAGAGCCAUACUAGAAUUUGGAAGAUGGUUUUCUCGGGUGUACAUGGAAAUUAUUACUAAUUGCUGGAAAUUGUAUUAUGUUCGACGUGAAUGUAACUAUAACACUCUUUUGAUUACUCUAGCUUUGGUGAACAUGAUCAAUAUUCUUUAUGGGGAAGGAAUACAACCAUUACUUUCAGGAGGUGGACAGGGGUCAAACAACAGAGUGGAAGAGAAAUGUUUAUCUGCUUCACAUAUUCACCUAUGCAGUCCAGAGUAAUGAACCUGCUGUCAUCUGGUUCCUCACGAGUGAUGGAGCAUCCGCAGCUUGGAUCAGACCUGUUUGCUUGGUCGUAGACCAGAGGGCAAAUUAUAGGAUGCUCAAUCUGGAAGUUUUUGCUAUUUGUAUCUAUGAACGUAGAGCCAUUUUUCAGCAAGCAUUUUCUUAUGUUGUGAGACUUUUUGCUCUUCUCAAACUCAAUCGGCAUUUUUCUUCAAGGUAUUUCUCUGAUCUCAUUCCUUCAAGAGCUAGUGUGGAUGUUCAGCUUACAGUGCAUAGAAUUCUUCAUGAUCGGGCAUUACAAAUUCGUGGGCAUGCUUCUAACCUUCUUUUUACUACUAAGGGGUAUCCACAUGUAGUUAUUUGCAUUAUUGUGGAUGAUGAUAAGGGAUCUCUGAACGUCAUUUUUCUUAAAGUUCCUGCACCAUUAAUUAUAUGGGAUAGUGAUGAUUCACACCAUGAAAAAUCUGGUAGGGGAGAAAUUCAAGAUUUAAGUUUUGUCCUGUAUGGUGGAGAAUGGAGACCAAUGCUUAGGGAAGUUCACUUAAUUGGGUGGUUGCUUGGCCACAUUAUUCCUUAUUUUCUUCGUUCAGCAAGAUUGUGUGUUCAAAUUGUUGGUAAUAGAGAUAUAGAUACUAGACACUUGAACUCAUGCCAACACCGGCUUGAAGACAUUGCUAUGUGGGAAACAUCUCUUGCUGUGAGUGAAGUGGGUGCUGUUGCACAGAAGAUCUCCCCUUUCAAGCCCAUAACCAGUAUUUUUGUUGGAACUAUUGAUGCCUUUGGACUGUUUAAGGGAUAUGAUCUUCGACAAUUUUUCAAAACUGUUCUGCCAGGACAAAACAAGCUAAAUGGCUUCCUGAUUGGUGAUGCAACAACGCCGAUUGUUCUCUUGCUCAAUGCUACCAAGAUUAGUGUGCUCCAACUCUUUUCUUCCCUCUCACAGUAUUUGGCAAAACUGCAUGAUUUCAUGUUGGCAGGAUAUGAGUUAAUGAUCUUUGGUUUUUGGGAGUACACACUGAAGCUAAUACUGAAUAUGAUUAUGGUACACCAUUGGACAAAUUGGCGGGCCUCUUUCCCUGACUGCUGCUGCAUGCGUCCUUCUCAGUUUGAGAGGCUUGAGGACAAGCCUCAUCUUAAGGGGGUGGGAUUGAUGCGACUCUAAGCUAAUGAGCUUCGGUUAUGACUAGUUAGAUCACUUAGUGUCAAUUUGUCAUUACUACCCAUUAGGCCCUCUACUUAAGUAAUAUUAUUAGGCCCAUCCAUACCUCAAACCCUAGCUAUCUUUGGAUGUAUUUAAACCUCUUUUAUGAUGUAAAGGGGAUAUGAAUGAAGAUAUGAAUUUCCUUUGAUUUCCUUUUCUAUUUCCUGUAUUACUUUUCUUGCAAUUUCCCUUUUAUGCCAUGUCUGAUCCUAUCACGUUCUUGAAUUGCUGCCGUUACUGGUGUGGUUUAAAUCUUUUUUGUGGUUUCUUUCGCAUCCUUGUGAACCCUUUCUUCCAGCAAAAUGUUAUAUCACAACUUUGAGGUUUUGGUUUUGGUUUGAAAAUUUUCCCUUUUUGUAGUCAUUGUAUAUCAUGUUAAUUGUGAGAAUUUUUUUUAUUGUGUUCGAAAUAUGAAGUGGUCAGGUAGUCGACAGCCGGCACUCCAUGAUCACGUCGAAUCCUUAUGAAAAUGAAUCCAGAACAAAAUCGCGCUAAAGCUAGGGCGUCACCCGUAAGUGGCGCGCUGUGUGGCCCGAGCACAGUGAUAAGUGAGCAAGGGUCGCUGUAUCUCCAUCGGCACCCGGAUGCAGUGUUAAAUGAGCAAGGGGGCCAUCGAAACUUCUUUUCGAACGACUCCACUCAAAGUUGUUUGGGAGCAUAUGCUCCUAUCAACUUUACCCGGGACACACAAAAGAAGUACUUUGAUCCUAUUAGACGGGGGAGGGUGAAGAAGCUAGGACAGAAGGGUAGAGUUCAAGAGAGCAAAAUGCGUUUAGGAACGUGGAAUAUAGGAACCUUAACGGGAAAAUCUAUGGAAGUAGUGGAAGUUAUGGUGAGGAGAAGGAUAAAUAUUAUGUGCCUACAAGAAACUAAGUGGGUUGGUAGUAAGGCAAAGGAUCUAGAAAACUCAGGGUUUUAAACUUUGGUAUUCGGGCACAAAUAGAACGAGAAACGGUGUUGGCAUCAUCGUGGACAAGACCUUGGUACAAGAUGUUGUAGAUGUCAAGAGGGUAGGAGAUAGAAUCAUGGCAAUCAAGAUUGUAAUAGGACAAGAACUUAUCAAUGUGAUUAGUGCGUACGCACCUCAAGUAGGGUUGGAUACGAGUUCGAAGGAGAAAUUUUGGGAAGGAUCUUGGAGACUUGGUGCAAGGAAUUGCUCAGACGGAGAAGUUAUUUAUAGGAGGAGAUUUAAAUGGACACGUGGGCAGGGAGACAGGCAACUAUGGAGGUUUUCAUGGUGGCCAUGGUUUUGGGGAGAGAAACGAGGAUGGGGAAGCUAUCUUGGAAUUUUGCAAUGGCAUAUGAUCUCUUCUUAGCCAACACCUUCUUUAAGAAGAGAGAAGAACAUGUGAUCACCUACAAGAGUGGGUCGUCAAAAACACAAAUAGAUUUUCUUCUAAUGAGGAAAGGGGAUCGUAUAACUUGUAAGGAUUGCAAAGUUAUACCAGGAGAGAGCGUGGCUAAUCAACAUCGCUUGUUGGUGAUGGAUGUACAUAUCAAAAGAGUAAGACAAAAGAACAAGACUUGGAAGUGCCCAAGAACUAGAUGGUGGAAUCUAAAAGAAGAAAAACAAGCCAUUUUCAAAGAGAAGGUAAUCACCCAAUGUGUGUGGGAUAGAGAGGGGGAAGCUAGCCAAAUGUGGGAUUCCAUGGCUAGUUGUAUCCGAAAAGUAGCAAAAGAGGUAUUAGGAGAGUCCAAGGGCUUUGCCCCACACCAAAAGGAAUCUUGGUGGUGGAAUGAGGAGGUACAAACAAAGGUGAAGGCUAAGAAGGAAUGUUGUAAAGCCUUAUACAAGGAGAGGACCGAUGAAAAUGGUGAAAGGUAUAGAAAAGCGAAGCAAGAGGCGAAGAAAGCUGUCAGAGAGAAGCUAAGUUAGCGGCUUACGACGAUAUGUAUAAACGACUAGAUACCAAAGAAGGAGAGUUGGAUAUCUAUAAACUAGCUAGAGCAAGGGAAAAGAAGACAAGGGACCUAAACCAAGUGAGGUGCAUCAAGGAUGAGGAUGGAAAGGUUCUUGCUACAGAGAACGCGGUUAAAGACAGAUGGAGAGGUUAUUUUCAUAAUCUUUUCAAUGAAGGACAUGAAAGGAGUGCUUCUUUAGGGGAGUUGAGUAACUCAGAAGAGUGUAGAAACUACUCCUUUUAUCGUCGAAUCCGGAAGGAAGAAGUGGUUGUAGCUUUGAAGAAGAUGAAGCAUAGAAAAGCAAUAGGCCCAGACGAUAUACCAAUCGAAGUGUGGAAAGUUUUGGGAGAGACAGGUAUAACAUGGCUCACUGACCUUUUCAAUAGGAUUUUGAAAACGAAGAAGAUGCCAAAUGAGUGGCGAACGAGCACUUUGGUGCCUAUCUACAAGAAUAAGGGCGACGUACAAAAUUGCAUGAACUAUAGGGGUAUUAAGCUAAUGAGUCAUACAAUGAAGCUCUGGGAGAGAGUCAUUGAGCAUAGAUUGAGGCAAGAGACACGGGUUUCGGACAACCAAUUCGGGUUCAUGCCAGGGCGCUCAACCAUGGAGGCAAUCUAUCUCUUACGAAGAUUGAUGGAAAGAUAUAGAGAUGGGAAAAAGGAUUUACACAUGGUCUUUAUAGAUUUGGAAAAAGCGUAUGAUAGGGUCCCAAGAGACAUUCUUUGGAGGAUUUUAGAGAAGAAAGGAGUACGAGUAGCAUAUAUAUCCAAGCUAUAAAGGAUAUGUAUGAAGGAGCAAAGACUGCCGUAAGAACUCAUGAAGGACAAACCGAAAGCUUUCCCAUAACUGUAGGAUUACAUCAAGGCUCAUCCUUAAGUCCUUACCUUUUUGCGUUGGUAAUGGAUGAGUUAACAGGACAUAUUCAAGAUGAUAUUCCUUGGUGUAUGCUUUUCGCAGACGAUAUAGUGUUGAUAGAUGAAACUCAGGAAGGGGUAAAUGCAAAGCUUAACCUUUGGAGAGAAGUGUUGGAAUCUAAAGGUCUUCGCCUAAGCCGAUCAAAGACAGAAUAUAUGGAGUGCAAGUUCAGUGCAAAUGGAGGCCAAAACGAGUUAGGGGUGAGGAUCGGAGAUCAAGAAAUACCAAAGAGCGACCGUUUUCGUUACCUAGGAUCUAUCUUGCAAAAGAACGGAGAAUUAGAUGGAGAUCUCAACCAUAGAAUACAAGCUGGAUGGAUGAAGUGGAAGAGUGCAUCCGGCGUGUUGUGUGACCGCCGUAUGCCACUGAAGCUCAAGGGAAAAUUUUAUAGGACGGCAAUAAGGCCGGCGAUGCUGUAUGGCACAGAAUGUUGGGCGGUGAAACAUCAACACGUACACAAAAUGGGUGUAGCGGAGAUGAGGAUGCUUCGUUGGAUGUGUGGGCACACGAGAAAGGAUAAGAUUAGGAAUGAGGAUAUCCGGGGUAAAGUAGGAGUAGCCGAAAUUGAAGGAAAGAUGAGAGAAAAUCGGUUACGGUGGUUUGGACAUGUGCAAAGAAGGCCUACUGACGCUCCGAUUAGAAGAUGCGACUAUGGGACAGAGGUUCAGGGCCGAAGGGGUAGAGGAAGACCUAGGAAAACUUUGGAAGAGACUCUAAGAAAAGACUUAGAGUACUUGGAUCUAACGAAGGACAUGACACAGGAUCGAGCACAAUGGCGUUCUAAGAUUCAUAUAGCCGAUCCCACUCAGUGACUUGGAUUUUCCAAGUCUCCAACCGAGAAGUUUUCCUCACUCGGGAAAUUAAGGGAACACUACCCCAACCUACAUGCUCCACUCAGAAAGCUUCAACAUACAAGCUUCAACAAAAGAAAAUUCAAAGAACUUAGCGAAGAAGGCUUUGGUGUAUUUAACACAAUACGUUGAAAUGAAGGAAAGCUUAUUUAUUGAUAUCCCCGAUAAGCUACAAAUAUGUACAUAUACAUGAGUCAAAAUAAACACACAAGAGGGAGCCUUCACAAAGGUUGCUUAGGAGAAGUCUCAGCAGUCGGUAGAGCCCCAGAAAGAGAAGGCACCGGAGGGGGAUCAUUUGGAGCCUCAGUACUGGACAGAACCCUAGAAGGAGGAGGCAUCAGAGGUUGAUCAUUUGGAGCUUCAUUACGCGGUACAGCCCCAGAAGACGAAGGCAAUAAAUGCCUUUGGAACAAACCCACAAAUCUCUGAUGAUCAAGUAAAACCUGACCAUCAGUUUCCUUCAUCUGGUCAAGCUUCCUCUUCAUGUUUGUAGCAUAGUCAUGUGCGAGCCGGUGCAACUGUUUAUUCUCAUGCUUGAGCCCUCUAAUCUCCUGUUUGAGACUCAUCACUUCAGCCGCCAAUGAUUCAACUUGGCGGGUUCGAGCAAAUAGGCGUUGGGCCAUAUUAGACACAGAACCUGCACACUGAACACUGAGAGCCAGCGAAUCCUUAACAGCUAACUCAUCAGACCGUUUGGAAAGUAGUCUGUUAUCUUUGGGAGUGAGAAGGUUCCUGGCCACCACCGCAGCGGUCAUAUCAUUCUUCAUCACGGAAUCCCCAACGGUAAGAGGACCAGUAGGGGAGACGAAGGAUGGGCGCCAUAUGUUUGUCUGGAGAAGGCGGGGCUGCCUCUUCAACAAGGUUCAAGUCAAAACGACGGUCGGAGGGGCCAGACAUUUUCAAAGGUGUUGAAGAGAGAAGAGGUCGGACAAAUCAAGAUCUUAGAAGUGCAAGAAUGAAGCUUCUACUGGUGGAGAUUCAAGUGUGCUUUGGAACUUAAUGCCAGCCCCUAUAAAAAUCUGCACUCGACGGAGCUUCAGAAAUCAAAGAGGCGCCUGCUCAGAAAUCGAAGAGGCGUUUGCUUUCUCAAAAGCUGGGCUGCUUAGAGAUCACGAGGGUUGAUCUCAGAAAUCGAAGAGCCGUUUGCUUUCUCAAAAGUUGGGCUGCUCAAAGACCACGAAGGCCGAUCUCAGAAAUCGAAGAGGCGCUCGCUUUCUCAAAAGCUGGGCUCCCUAGAGACCACGAGGGCCGAUCUCAGAAAUCGAAGAGGCACCUACUUUUCCAGCCUUGUCAGCACCUGUCACACGCACACACUCAGCUUUGCGGAAAUUAUGGGCAUUCUGUCAAAGACUUCUGGGGAAGUAGAAAACACAUGAAUCUUACUGUUCAAUCACCCACUUCCCACACGCAACAAUAGCUCAUGGGUACCACAGAUAACUUUGCCAAAGUUCUCUGCCAAAGUUGAGCACGUGAAGCUUGCAGCUCCCACUACAUCGCUCUGACCAAGAAGGGUAAAAGAAUAGCAAAGAAACAGCACUAACAAAGUUUAGACCCAUAAAUUUUGAAGGUCUAGCUACCAUAUUAUUACCCACAAGGGUAAAGGAACAGUACCACUGCUGGAUAAUUGGAAAGUCCCAUGUGUGUCAACCUCUGUGCUUCGUGGCAAGGUAGACUAGCAAACAUGCCCAACCUUUACUCACAUUCGAGAAAAACACUCCCAAUAAGAUUGCUUGCUCCAAAAUCGAAGAGGCACCGUCCUCCGAAUCUCGAGAGCCAGACUCCCAACAUGACUACUUUCUUAAAAAUCGAAGAGAGGGUAAAGGAACAGUACCAUUGCUGGAUAAUUGGAAAGUCCCUGUGUGUCAACCUCUGUGCUUCGUGGCAAGGUAGACUAGCAAACAUGCCCAACCUUUACUCACAUUCGAGAAAACACUCCCAACAAGAUUGCUUGCUCCAAAAUCGAAGAGGCACCGCCCCCUCCGAAUCUCGAGAGCCACUCUCCCAACAUGAUUACUUUCUCAAAAAUCGAAGAGACACUGCUCCCCGAAUCUCGAGAGCCAGACCCCCAGCAUGAUUGCUUUCUCAAAAAUCGGUGAGGCAUCGUUCUCCGAAUCAAUCGAAGAGGCGCUCGCUUUCUCAAAAGCUGGGCUGCUCAGAGACCACGAGGGCCGAUCUCAGAAAUCGAAGAGGCACCUACUUUUCUAGCCUUGUCAGCACCUGUCACACACGCACACUCAGCUUUGCAGAAAUUAUGGGCAUUCUGUCGAAGACUUCUGGUGAAGUAGAAAGCACAUGAAUCUUACUGUUCAAUCACCCACUUCCCACACGCAACAAUAACUCAUGGGUACCACAGAUAACUUUGCCAAAGUUCUUCUCUGCCAAAGUUGAGCACGUGAAGCUUGCAGCUCCCACUACAUCGCUCUGACCAAGAAAGGUAAAAGAAUAGCAAAGAAACAGCACUAACAAAGUUUAGACACAUAAAUUUUGAAGGUCUAGCUACCAUAUUAUUAUUACCCACAAGGGUAAAGGAACAGUACCACUGCUGGAUAAUUGGAAAGUCCCUGUGUGUCAACCUCUGUGCUUCGUGGCAAGGUAGACUAGCAAACAUGCCCAACCUUUACUCACAUUCGAGAAAACACUCCCAACAAGAUUGCUUGCUCCAAAAUCGAAGAGGCACCGUCCUCCGAAUCUCGAGAGCCAGACUCCCAACAUGACUACUUUCUCAAAAUCGAAGAGAGGGUAAAGGAACAGUACCAUUGCUGGAUAAUUGGAAAGUCCCUGUGUGUCAACCUUUGUGCUUCGUGGCAAGGUAGACUAGCAAACAUGUCCCAACCUUUACUCACAUUCGAGACAACACUCCCAACAAGAUUGCUUGCUCCAAAAUCGAAGAGGCACCGCCCUCCGAAUCUCGAGAGCCAGACUCCCAACAUGAUUACUUCCUCAAAAAUCGAAGAGACACUGCUCUCCGAAUCUCGAGAGUCAGACCCCCAGCAUGAUUGCUUUCUCAAAAAUCGAAGAGGCAUCGUUCUCCGAAUCUCGAGAGCCAGAUACCACAGACCACUUUUUCAAAGUGCUCUGACAGAGUUAAAAACAUGUGAAACUGGCAGCUCCCACUACCGUGCUAUGACCAAGCAGGGUAAAGGAAUAGCAUUACUACUUGUUGUUAGGGAGACUCCUAUAUAUGUCGACCUCCAUCCCCAACGACAGGCAGACCUGCAAAAAUGCUCAACCCUUCAUCAUAUCUGAGAGGGCACUCCCAACGAAGCCUUUCGAAAUAUUCAGCUUUCUUUCCCCCCGAUAAUACCUCUGCAAACAAGCUAUACUAGAGCAAGAAUAUCUCAUAUCAUCAGGGUUAAAAGCAAGAGUAUCCCAUAUCAUGCUUUUUCCCUGUCUUUUCUUUUGGCCUUGUUUUUACCUGCAAGACAAGGAGAAAGAGAGCAAUCAGUCAGCACUUGGAAUCAAGCUUCCAGCCAGGAACUGACUGCCUGGAACCCCUUACCUGAUUACUUACCUGGCAUUGCUCUCGAGUACUCAUCUUCAACAUCUUAUGUUUCCAGGGAAGAUUCCGCAUCUGCUUGAGGAACAGAUAGGGCAAGUGCGAAGGAUACAAGGAAGCAUGUGGAGACAAGCGUAACAGCACACGUGCCGAUACAUCCAUUACUCUGUCAAAAGCAAAAGUAUCCCAUAUCAGCAGGGUGGAACGUACUCUAGAUUUGAUGGACUUGUUUUGACCCUCAAAUUCUUCAGUCGGCCUUAUACUCUGGAGGAAACCAGAAAACCCUCCAGCUCAGUUCAAGAAUAAGCCUGUGGAAAGUUACUUCUUCAAAAGCAAAAGUAUCUCAUAUCAUCUCUUCUCAUUUUUCUUCUCUUUAUCCUUCAUGCUGCUGCAAGAUGGGGAGAAGGUGAACAAUCAGUCGGAGCUCUGAUUGCUUACCUUGUCUGUCACCUCUUUCAGCAGACCCCCUAGCUCGGCGACUUGGGGGACUCCUACUACAUGGUUUGUAUCGCGCUUGACCAAGCCUGAAACUACAAGUAAGCUUCAAGUGAAAUUGAUACAUUACCUUGUGCAUCUCCACCAGUUAAAGAUACCACCCCUGGAUGGAGGAAGAGUACUUCCAGAGAAGAUGCCCACAUCUACCUAUGAGACAGAUAAGGCAAGUCAAGACGACACCACACUCCGAUACUUAGAAGUUUCGUGAUUACGAGAUCAUUCUCCCACAAUAUUUCCUAAUGUCAUUUGUACUAAAUCAUUCACUUGUACUCACUAAAGGAGAGCUUGAACCUAUGUACUUGUGUAAACCCUUCACAAUUAAUGAGAACUCUUCUAUUCCGUGGACGUAGCCAAUCUGGGUGAACCACGUACAUCUUGUGUUUGCUUUCCUAUCUCUAUCCAUUUAUAUACUUAUCCACACUAAUGACCGGAGCAAUCUAGCGAAGAUCACAAAAAGCGACCGUUUUCGCUACCUAGGAUCUAUCUUGCAAGAGAACGGAGAAUUAGAUGGAGAUCUCAACCAUAGAAUACGAGCUGGAUGGAAAGAGUGCAUCCGGCGUGUUGUGUGACCGUCGUAGGCCACUGAAGCUCAAGGGAAAAUUUUAUAGGACGGCAAUAAGGCCAGCGAUGUUGUAUGGCACAGAAUGUUGGGUGGUGAAGCAUCAACACGUACACAAAAUGGGUGUAGCGGAGAUGAGGAUGCUUCGUGGGAUGUGUGGGCACACGAGAAAGGAUAAAAGAUUGGGAAUGAGGAUAUCCGAGGUACAGUAGGAGUAGCCGAAAUUGUAGGAAAGAUGAGAGAAAAUCGGCUCUGGUGAUUUGGACAUGUGCAAAGAAGGCCGACUGACGCUCCGGUUCGAAGAUGUGACUACGGGACAGAGGUUUAGGGCCGAAGGGGUAGAGGAAGACCUAGGAAAACUUUGGAAGAGACUCUAAGAAAAGACUUAGAGUACUUGGAUCUAACGGAUGACAUGACACAAAACCGAGCGCAAUGGCGUUCUAGGAUUCAUAUAGCCGACCCCACUUAGUGGGAAAAGGCUUUGUUGUUGUUGUUGUUGUUGUUGUUCGAAAUAUGAAGUGGUACAUUAUGUGCCAUUAUACAAAGGAUAAUGCUAUGAAGACCAAAAUUUUAAACCAAAUUUGCAAACCAAAUGAUGUGUAACAAAUAGAAAAUAAGCAUAUUAAUCAACACUUAAAUAAUCAUUCAAUCAUCAAAUACCACAUUAUUUGGUUUACAAAUUUGGCUUCUCUAGCAUUACUUUUAUAUAAAUAGAAGAAAAUUUUAUUGUUCAACUAUCCUCCAAUUAUAAAGUAACAUGUAAUGUAAUACUUCGUAUUUCCAGCACAAUAAAAAAUCUAUCAUUAAUUAUCUAACUUGUCACGCUUUUGCAGAAACUAUUAAAGAUCUAACUUGUUACACAUUAGGCGACCAGUUUUCUGAUCCAUCUUAUUUUGUUUUGCUUUUUCACCAUAUUUGAUGGGUCACAUUUGAAACAGCAGUUGUUUCACUUUAUUGGGUAGAGCCCUAAAAUUUCCUUUUUAAGUGGAGCCUUUGGACGAUCCGUUCCUAAAGGAAAUUGGACCCUCGGCUUUGAUCUUAUGGACCGAUGAAGAGGUGAUGAACUAGGUUAAUGUGACUUCAAUUGUUCAGCUCUUCAGUAUGAUUAAUAUUAUUUUUCGUUAUUCUUUCUUAUUAAUUGUAUGUUUUAGAGGACUAGUGCAUAAUAAAAAUUAAACACUCUUCUGGCCCUUUUGACUCGGAUUCAAGGCUGCCCACCCGCUUUCCCCUUUUUGCCCUCAGAACACACCUUUUUUUUUUUUUUUGAAGUCCCUCAAAAACACACUAAACUGUUGACAAUAUUUUUUUUUUGGAUAAGGAUUGUCUGCCCUCCCUUUUUCCAUAUCUUUCCAUCCCCUCUUGUUUAUGGUCACGGUUAAGCCACGUUAACAUUUUAUAUUACUAUUUAUUUUCGUCUUAUUAUCUUUAUUAAAAAAUAAUAUAAAAUGUUAACGUGACUUAACUGUGACCACACAAAACAAGAAUGCAUGAAAGUGUAUGGAAAAAGGGAGGGCAGACAAUCCUUGUCCUUUGUUUUUUUAGAGCAAUUCCACCCUAAGGACUUUGCGCCAUCACCCAGCGCAUUUAUCCACUCAAAUGAACAGUAACAAACUCCAAUGAACAGUAAUAGGCCAAGGCAUCUCCACCCCUAAAAAAAUGCACUAGCACCCAGCGCAUUUAUUUGGUGUGUUUUUUUUUUUAAGUUUAUUUCGGAUAAGAUUUUUAACCAAUUUCGGAUAAAAUUUCAAAUAAACUUAAAAAAAAAUUACACACUAAAAUAAAAUUACAUACUCAUCAAAUAAACUUAAAAAAAAAACACACUAAAAUAAAAUUACAUAAACUCAUCAAAUAAACUAUAAAAAAAAAAAACACACUAAAAUGAAAUUACAUAAACUCAUCAAAUACUCUUUAUUCUUCAACCACAAGCUUUUUGGUAUUUUUUUUCACACAAAAAGUAUAUGAAAGCUUUGGUAAAAAGUGUAGAAAAUAUUGAAAUGUGGUGUAAGGUGGAAGAUGAGGGUUAGGUAUUUAUAGAAACAAAAAAUUUAAUUUUCUGUAUUUUUAAUAAUUUUUCUGUAUUUUUUAAUAAAUUUUAAUUUAGUUAAUUAACGUGGACCGUUGAUCUAUGAUCGAACGGUCCAUUUUAAAAGUCAAAUUUAAAAUUUUUUUACCGUUGGAAAUCCAACGGCUAUGAUCAUGCCGCGUCAUCCCGGAGCACAAGUGGGCUGACAGCCCUCUGAAACCUUGUCGGGCACUCGCCCCACGCCGCCGUGAAGCACGCGCCAGGCCAACAGCCCGGCUUCUUGCUCAGUCUCUUUUGGGCUGGUCCAUUGCCCAGCUCGAGCUGGGUACUAGUCAACUUGAGGGGGUGGAGUCAUUUGACAGGGUCCUGGGCAAAGUCCACUCCGGUGGACUUGCUCUUAACGUUUUGGUUGCUUGAUUUGACUUAUGUAGUGACCGAGGUACAAUGUUGUUUGACUUAUUCAUAAGUUUGGUAACGUGAGGAAAAGGAGAGAGAUGGAAAAAAAAAUUGAAAUGUAUUGCAGCCUCAUGGUUGAAAAUUUUAAGUCAAGACCAAAAUGCAAUCGUUUUCUUAUACUGUGUUUCUGUUUCAAAUCGAAACCAUUUCAAGAUUACAAACUAAAUCGUCCAGUCUGAUUCAAUUUGGUUCGUAUUUUGAUUUUAGUUUUCAAUUUUUAGUGCCCACCCCUAAUUGUAUUCUCGCAAUUCGGAAAAUGGGUUAUCCUUCGAUAUUAAAUCCUUAAAUAAUGGAUUUAUAAGAGUUUCCCAUCAGCUAGACAAUCACAAUUUAAUUUUUGGUCAUUUUGACAAGUGGCCCUCUACCGCAUUUGUGAAUAGGAGUAUUGUCUUUGCACUACGACGUGAGUUCGAAUCCCCUCGACUCUCUAAUUUAACACUUAAUCUAACAAAUCUAUCGUUUGACAAAAAAAAAAAUUUGAUCAUUUUAGUAAAUUGCCAAAAAAAUUUGACAUGAUGCAAAUUAAAAUUCCAAACCAUGACCAUACCCACAUAACAAGCAUUUGUAUUUUAUCCAUCAGGUUGGUCAUCCAUAACCAUAACUAUGUAUAGUUUUUGUUGAUAUAAAAGUGAGAUGAAAUAAAUAAAUAAUUUGAGGCAGAGAUAGUGAAUUUCAAUUUAGGAAUGAAUGGACUUUGAAUGAGUUUAUAAAAAGUCUGAUUACCUAUGUUGUCAAUUUAUUUUAAAGUAAAAACUUGAUUGCCAACAUGCUUUCAAAGAGUAGAAUUCUUCCCCUCUUCUUUUUUCUCCUUCUCCUAUUUGAAUUGUCACGUUUAAGUUUUGUCAACAUUUUAUAUUAACUUUUUUUAUAGAGAGAAAAAUAAAAUAAAAAGUGUUAGAGGAGAAAAGAGAAGGCGAGAAAAAUUGUAGGGGAGAGAAUCUCACUACUCUCCGUCUUCACAUGCAUGAUCGAUGAUCCAUCCUUGUUUGUCCUUUGACCAUGUCUGUCCCUUGAGUUUAUCUAAGUUUCUUUUUUAUUGGUCGCCUGGGUUUGAAGAUUUAUGUAAAAUAACUAUUUUGUCCAUAUUUUGUUUGGGGUAGUUGUUCACUAUACUUUUCUAUAAAAGUGAGGGCAUUGCAGGAUACUGAAAACUUCACCAAUUUUUGCCUUCUCAUUUUAUGAAUAAGGAUAACUGUAGUUUACUUAAGGAUAACACCAUACCCUAAAUAUAUCAAGAAAGCAAUUGCGAAGGAAAUCCCCGAAUGACCCAAUAAUGGUCAGUAAUAUCCAGAAUCCACAAGUGAAUAUCUAACCUUCCAUGUACGAAUCUCAUAAAAGCUGAAUUUGAUAUUAAAUUAGACUUUUCAUUAUGUAGUUUAGCCGAACUCCGUCCUUAGUGUAAAAAUAUUGAUGUACUUCAAAAAAAAAAAAAAAAAUUCUAACCUUCCAUGUACGCCAAUCCCUUUACUUUCCUGCCCCUUAUGCACGUCCAACCGCCACCUAUAUAUCUUGCCAUCCCCCAAUGCAGGUCAUCAGUCAUCGCUUGUCAUUUGUGGAGUGGAGCCGGUUAAAGAAACUUCAACAAAUUGAAGAAAUCAACGGUCACGAUGCGCCCUCACUGCCUCCUCAUCCUCGCCCUCGUCCUCCUUCCUCCGGUGGCCGCUGCCGCGGACCGACGGGGUCUUAUAACCGGCGGUUGGCAGCCCAUAAAGAACAUGAGCGACCCCCAUGUGAAAGAGAUCGCAGAGUUCGCGGUGUCGGAGUACACCAAGCAAGCCCAAGGCCAGAACAAGUUGGUGUUUGAGAGCGUCGUCCGGGGCGACAGUCAGGUGGUGGCGGGCAUCAACUACCGGCUUGUCAUUUCCGCAAAAAACGAGUCGGUGGUUGACCCCGCUGUUGACGAUUAUGAGGGUAUUGUGUGGGAGAAGGCUUGGGAGCAUUUCAGGCAAUUGAUCUCAUUUCAUCAAUUGUAAAAAACAAACUAAUUAUAUGGAGAUUAUGAUAAUUUCGUAUUUUAAUCGUUGUCUUUAAUAUGCUCUACUGUACUCUGGAUUGCUUGAAGCUAUCAUCACCUUCCAUUAUAAUAAAGAAAUUGAAUGAAUAAUUGAUGUUUAAUUCUUAAUUUUCUUGAUCUCUAAUGGGUUCAGUUAUUAUUUUUAAUCGAGUAGGGCCAAAUUGCUUACUGAAUGUAUGUGAGAAUCACAAACCAAAUGUAGGAAAUCGCUAUUUUUAACAAAUAAAAUAGGGAAAACAAUUUUUGGAAUUGAUCUACUUACCUAGAUUUAGAAAUGAUUUAUUAAAAAAAAAAAUUAAGCUCCCUAAUAACGUUACCAAAAAAUAAAAAACAAACUCAUUCUUAAACAAGUGAAAAACUUGAAUAAAAUCAUAGUUAACCAUCAUAAGCAUCAAUAUAAGGCUUAAUUCACCAUCCAUUAAAAGUAUAACUACCAUCACAUAAGAGUCAGAGUCUAGCCAGUCACAUUUCUCAACUCUUUUGAGGUCCACAAGACAACUCUUAAAAAACAUUGCGUUGGUUGGUGGAGCUAGCUAGACUAUCACCUCUCCCAACUCCCCUCAAAGACAUACAAAACGUGAAUAAAACAAUACUUGUUCUUAUCCGUUGCAAUUGAAAAUACUCACAAAUAACUUUAACAAUUAAAGAGUAGAAAAAAUAAGUAAACUUUUGAUUUCAUUGAGUUACAAGUUUCUUCCCAAAACUUUGUAUGCUCAAUUACAUUAGACGAUUUACUUAAGAGACUUAAAACAAAAUCGUUAGCCAUCAUAACAUGCAUGCUUAUUAUAGCACAAAAUGACAUUAGCAACCUAAAAGUGGAGAAUAGCUACAAUACUUACACACGGUAAGUACAAUCAUUUAUUAACAGUCUGAGAUAAUCGUUAAAUAUCACUAAAACAUAUUUGACCUUUAAAUGAGUGAUUGGAUUUCAACAAGUUAUGAGUACCUUGUCAUGAAGAAUAUUGUGAAACGUUCUUUAAGGAUAUUACUGAACUUUGAUAAAGUUCACAUUCUCGUCUAGGAGUCGUAUGUGAGAAUCACAAACCAAAUAAUGUAGCAAGCAAAUAUUGGAAGAAAUCACAUCACAAAAUUAAGAGGAACUUAAUGCGAAGGAGUGUAGGUUCAAAGCAUAUGGUGAGUUCAACAAAUAUAAUUAAAAUCUAUUUAAUUUGUACUGAAAAUAUAAAGAGCCUUCAUCAUACAUGCAUCUGCGUCACAUGUAUAAUCCAGCCAUGCUCCAGUGAAGGUCAUCACUUGUCAUUUGUGGAGUGUGCAGUAAAAAAUCAUCACCAAAAUAAAGAAAACGACGGUCAUGAUGCGCCCUCAAUACCUCCUCCCUCGUCCUCCUUCCUUUAGUGGUCACUGCCUCGGACCGAUGGAGCCUUCUGGUCAGCCAUCGGGAGCCGUACACAUCAGCGACCCCAUUGGAAAGAGAUCGGGAACUUUGAAGUGACGGACUAUAACAAGCAAUUGGAAACCAAAGGCCAGAACAAGUUGGUGUUUGUGAACGUUGAAGGGGGCGAGUUCGUAGUGGCGGACGGCAUCAAAUAUCUGCUUGUCAUUUCUGCCAGGAAUGGUGGCUGACCCUGCCGCCACCUCUGCCGUCGGUUACUAUCACGCCUUUGUGUCGGAGAAGCCUUGGGAGCAUUUCAAGCAAUUGCUCUUUUUUUGCAUCAAUUGGCAGAAUUUAACUCAUUUUCAGGACAAUGAUCAUUUCAUAUUUUAAUGCGUUGUUUUAUGCACUAGUGAACUCUGGAUUGCUUGAAGUUUAUCAUCUUUCACAAUAUAUAUAAAUAGACAUGUGUGUGUGCGCGCCUAAUGAAAGAUUUUAGUAUAUUAACUAUGAUAAUUCUUCAAGAUUGAGGAAGAUUAAUGUAGAAAUAUUAAUAUAUAUAUAUAUAUAUAUAUAUAUAUAUAGCGAUAACCUAAUGAGUACUUGGCCCAUAUUAAAAACUUAAGGACUGGAGUUGUUAUAUAAUGACGAAUUUGAAUUAAGUUAUUAUGUGGCUAAGAUGAAACAUAAAAGAUAUAUAUUACGGCUGAACCGGAACGUGAUGCAUGUGCAUGCGUACCUGAAGAUAUGGGUUCGGGAUUUAGGUCGCAAAGCAUCAACGAGUUGAGUUGGAGCUUGGAGUGGAAGAGAAGGAAUGACAUGUGAAUGCCGUUGCCAAGCUGCAUAACACUUUAAAGUAAGCCAUGCUAUGUUCUUCAUCAACCUCAGCAAGUCAACUUCCAAAUUAAACGUAUUGUUGGCUUGGAGUUCGACACAACCAUAUCCCACCAAAGUACAUCGUCCAUCGUCGCUCUCACACCCAACUUCACAUUCCUAAGCAUCAUAGCGUAGAUACAGGAUAUUGGUAGCUAGAAAACCUUACUAAUUUGGCUAGGUAAGGAUAAGCGUCCUAACACCGAAGAUUUACUAUCAUUAUUUCAUACGCUAACUCUGUUUUAUAUAUGAAUUCUAAAUUGUUUAUUGAUUACAUAAAGGAAAAGAAAUAUCUUAUUAUGACGAUAGUAUCAAUACAUCAUCAUCAUUUGUCAUAAUUAGGUGCAAGAUAAAACAAUUAAGUGUUUGAUACAUAUUUGUUUUUACUAUGCCUAUUGGAUUUCACCUUAUCUUCCCAAAUUCAAAAUUUGCAACUUUGCGUUUGAAAUUUGAUUUUAGCUUCACUUUUGUCAUUUUCCAUUAAAUCCGUUAAGAAAUAUGUUAAUACUCUAACGAGCAUGAUUGAGGCCUACUUAAUUGCUGAUGUGCCCAUUCAUAAAUGAGAAUAUUUUUGUUCACCACCUUAAAGUGAUGGUGAUACUAACUAUCUUAUCCAUCACAGUUGCAUGCGUUUAAAUUUAGAGAUUUUUGUAGUGAAUAGGCAUAAACUUCAAAAUUUAAAUUCAUUCAAUGAUAAUAAAUAGGUUGGUGAGGAUUACCACAACUUGAGGGUGAUGACCAAAAUGCACCCUUGAUAAAUUAUACAUGCUCCCAGCUAAAGAAAUUUUCAGUGUACCAGAAAUAUGGCCCGAUACACCAAAUGUUAUAUUAAAAGUGAUUGAAUACUUGAAGAAAAAAAUUUAACUACUUGUAUUAUGUGUUCCGUACCUGCAUAAAAAUUUCUCCCAACUGAACGUCCCUGCUUCUCCCAACCAAGGAAGAAAAUAUCGGUAAUAUCGGAAAUAUCGGUAGUCCGAAAACACGGAAAUAUCGAUGGAAAUAUCGAGAUAAUAUCGAUAUCGAUAAAAAUUACAUGGAAACCACGGAAAUUGUAAGAAAAACUUGGAAAUUUUUAAUGAAACUUUGCAGGAUGUUUAUUUAGUCAAUUAUCUAUUAGUUUAUCACAAAAAAUUGGAAGUAAAUGCAUUGCAUGAUGGAUUUAACUGAUUUAAGUUGAUUAUAUAGCGAGCUGGCAAAUUUUUCACUCUUUAAGGUUCAAAUUUUUCACUCUUUUCCUGAAAUUAUAUAUUUUCACUUUUUCCCUGAAAUUGAGUCCUUUAUCCUAAUCUAAUCUGGACCCCCAGAUUAAUUUAUAUUUUCACUCUUUCCCUGAAAUUAUAUAAAUUGUGCAAUUGAGUCCUUUAUCCUAAUCUAAUCUGGACCCUCCAUCUUGAUUCUCACUCUCUGUCACGCUGCCACGUGGCAGACCAUUAACCCUCACCCUAUCUCUCUUUCUCUUUUCCCGAGUCCCUCUCGGACCCCUCACUCUCUCUCAGUUCUCAACUCUAUCUCUCUCUCGAACUCUCGUUCUCUCACCCCAUUUUCUCCGGCGCGGACUCUGGCUUCGGCUGGAGUCGGUCGCCCUUUCCCCCUUCCUCCUCCUGUUUUUCUCUUGUUUUUCCCUUCUCGGUAUGUUCCUCUGUCUUUUCUUCUUUCUCUUCUUCUUCUGUUUUUCUUUUUGCUUUCUCCUCUGUUUUUUCUUUUCCCCUUGCUUCCUUUCCCGAUCCGGUCAUGUCCUCCUACCCACCCCCAACGGCGAUCAUCCUCCUUCAUCUUUCAGAUUCGGCAUGCAGCUGCUUUCAAACCGCGUUUUGCUGCGGUAUUUCGAGAGGGUGCGUUGAGAUUCGGUGUUCUCACCGGCUCGGGUGCUUCGCACCACCACCCUUUCAAUGUCUCUCAUCGUCGUCGGUUUCGGGAUUCGGAGUUCUGGGUAUGUUUCUUAAUGGGUGGAGAUCCCGAGUAGCCGUCGAUCCGUAGUUCCCCUUCAAGGUUCUGAUGGAGGAGGUCUUUUACAGUCGGCCGGAGCUGUAGAAGCUCCGGCAUUCUUCUCCGAUUAGCACAGUGCCAAAAUAUCGAUAUUAUCGAAAAUAUCGCGAUAUUUUGACGAAAAUCAUUUGGAUAGUUAAAAAAAUAUUGGACCCCAAAAAAAAUGAUAAUAUCGGCAUCGUCGAUAUUAUCGAUUUUUUCUUCCUUGCUCCCAACUGAACGCCUCUCCACCAAUCUAUUUAUUCUAGAUUUCAGAUAGCAACUACCAACCUUCUGAAAACAAAAUAACUAUAAAAAAAAAAUGAAAGUAGUUUUUCUUUAUGGGAACUUUAACAAAAAGCUCUCAGUAUUGUUCAUUUUAACGAAAAAUCAUAUUUUUACACUAAAAAGUCAAUUCUGGUACUACUCACUUUACCCUUUAUUUUAUCCUUAUCGUUAAAAAUCAAAGUUUUCAAGCCAUUUUCAUUAGUUUUUUUUUUUAAUUUGAAACCAACGAUAUUAUUUAUGGAAGAUUGAGUUAAGUUUCACAAUGAAGUAAAAACAAUUCAUUCAAUAAAAUAAUUUUAAUAUUGAUAUUUAUUAAAAAAAAAUAACUAUUGUAUAAAUUUUAACUAUGUAUUUCCAGUAAUAAAAAGGAUUUAUGGAUUCAUCGGGCGUGGAGGUAAGGCUAAAUUGGGUUGUGGAGUAAAUUAGGAAAAGGGCAAAACACAAUUAGGAACCGCCAGAAGUAACCUACGAGUCCACGACAGACAAACAACAAUUGGAAUCUGUACGUCCAACCAAGGUGGGGAGCAGCGGACAGCCUCCUCCAGCCUUCUUCUGCCGGCGCUGAGGGUCUCUCCUCAGCCACCGCCGCAACCGCAACCGCCGCAGCAGCAUCAGGAUAAACGACCCCAUCGCAGCCAAAGCGCCAACAGCAACAAGAUGAAGGGAUUAUUCAAGUCCAAGCCCCGAACCCCCGCCGACAUCGUUCGUCAGACCCGGGAUUUACUUGUCUAUGCCCAGCGCGCUCCCGAUCCUCGCGAAAGCAAACGCGAGAAAAAAGGUAUCUAUUUUCCAUCUAUUCAAGCAAUCGAUCGAAUUCAAUACGAUCUGAUUGAAAUUUUGAUCCGGUUCUCCCUUGUUUCUAUAUUCUAUUCUGUGAAAACUUGGGAAUUUGGGAUUGUUCAUGUUUUUUUUUUAUGACCAAAGUUGAUUUGGGAUUGGUUGAUGUCAAAGUUUAUAUUUUCAAACUUCUCCCACUUGAUGAUCCAAAUCCGACCCAAAGCUCACAAAUCAAAUUCCCUUCUUCACUGAAAUCCAUUCUAACAUCCAAGAACUUGUCCAUCCUCCUAGGGCCUCUUUUGAGCACCGUUAUUAGCCUCUGUGUCAACUUAGAUGGCACCGUCGCUAGCCGGAAUAUGUUGGCAGUGCUUGCCUGGGUCUUUGCUAGGUGGCUCACGGAGGCCGUGCCGAUGCCAGUUACCUCAAUGUCCCCUCUCUUCCUCUUCCCGCUCUUCGGAAUUGCCUCUGCAGAUGAUGUUGCCCACUCUUACAUGAACGAUGUUAUUGCCCUUGGUUCUUGGAAGCUUUAUUUUGGCUCUCGCCGUUGAGCAUUACAACAUACACAAAAG
RNAcentral lists this long non-coding RNA (94712 nucleotides) under Malus domestica (apple). RNAcentral describes it as "long non-coding RNA (MDOM_LNC009775)". The record is from RNAcentral. Lineage: Eukaryota; Viridiplantae; Streptophyta; Magnoliopsida; Rosales; Rosaceae.